This 130223-nucleotide long non-coding RNA is filed under the name Vitis vinifera (wine grape). Its description in RNAcentral is "long non-coding RNA (VVIN_LNC002746)". Lineage: Eukaryota; Viridiplantae; Streptophyta; Magnoliopsida; Vitales; Vitaceae. The record is from RNAcentral.
UAAGGAUUUGACUUUUAAAUGAGUUACAUGGGUUACACUAUGCACUACUUAUUUAAUAAUUAGAUAAUAUUUAGGUUUAUAUUUUUAAUACGAUUAUCAUGUCCGAUUUGGGUUGAUCUAUGUAGUACAAUAUUUUGGCUUUGACAUAACAUGAACAACAUCCACCAAUAUAAAUUGUCACUCCUAAAUAUUAUUAGUCUUUUUCUAAUAAAUUACACAUGAUUUACUAAUAUAUGCCAAUCUACCUGGCAAGCAGGAACCUCUCAUCUAGCAAUUUGUCCGGGAAUAUACUUACUUCAUUUUCAAGUCUCAGAUCAUUACAAAAUCUGUAAGUAUUAGUGGCCAUGAGCAGUUAGUCACCUAAAAAAAUGGUGGCAGCAUGAAUAUCUUCUCUAUAAUCUGAUGGAGGCCUUUACUCAAAAUGCAUGAAAUUCAAAUUAUUUCAGGGAUUUAUCAUACAACAACUUGACUGGACCAGUACCAGAAUUUUUUGCAGACUUGCCAUCUUUAAAAACCCUGUAAGUAAUUAACUUUUAGUUUUGGGAUAUUCAAAUUCUUUUGGAUAUAUAUGCAGGUAAUCUGAGUAUUUGAUCUUGUCAUUGCAGAAAUUUAACGGGGAACAACCUAACAGGUUCGGUUCCACAGGCUGUUAUCGAUAAGUUCAAGGAUGGAACUCUGAGGUUUGCUUAUUAAUGAUCUUUUCUAGCACUUGUUCUCAAUGUUUGUUUAUAGAAUUCUUGACUUACCAUGUUCUAUUUUAUGCAAGUCUUGGCGAAAAUCCAAAUCUUUGUCAGUCAGACUCGUGCCAAAGAAAGAAGAAGAAGGAGAACAAGUUCCUUGUUCCUGUUCUUAUAUCCGUUCUGUCUGUAAUUAUCCUGAUUCUCAUAGCUGCCCUUGCAAUCAUCCGGAAGUUGACCAAGAGGAGAGAAACUAGAGGUAUUUUCUUUCUUUCAUUUUCAUUUUCAUUUUGUUUCUUUUGAAGUGAGGAUUUAACAUUUUAUUGCUCCAUUUUUAUUGUGAUAUCCUUUGCUACAACCAUAGAGACGGUCAGUGAACGCCCCAAAGAAGGGUCAUUGAAGUCAGGGAAUUCCGAGUUCACUUUCUCUGAUGUGGCAACUAUCACCAAUUACUUUAGUCGUACCAUCGGUAGAGGAGGAUUCGGACAAGUUUAUCUAGGCACUUUGACAGAUGGCACUCAGGUUGCCGUCAAGAUGCGUUCUCAAUCAUCAAUACAAAGCCCCAAGGCAUUACAAGCCGAGGUUAGACAAAUCAAUCCAUCCGUGGUUCUACAGUACUAGAAGUUCUCCAUCUGAUGCCUGACAUAAAAGAAUUUGAAAUGUUGCAGGCGAAACUCUUGACGAGAGUUCAUCAUAAAAACUUGGUUCGUCUAAUUGGGUACUGCAAGGAUGGUACACACAUGGCUCUCAUUUAUGAAUACAUGUCCAAUGGAAACUUGCAAAACAAGUUAUUAGGUAUAUAUCCACCUCUCUUGGUAUAACUGUCAUUGAAAGCAACUUGUGGACUUCAAUGUUUAUGCAUUUGCUGCAGGGAGAGAAGCUGCAGAUGUUUUGAAUUGGAAACAGAGACUUCAAAUUGCAGUAGAUGCAGCACAUGGUCAGUAACUAAGCGGAGAUCUACCACAUUAUAAUUAAUUUGCAUUCAAAUAUUUCUUUAAUUUGUGAUUCUUUUCUUGCUUAAUUGUGUAGGAUUGGAGUAUCUACACAAUGGCUGUAAGCCACCAAUAGUCCACAGAGACAUGAAAUCUUCCAACAUUCUAUUAACUGAAACACUGCAAGCCAAGGUAGCUGAUUUUGGGAUGUCCAGAGAUCUUGCAAUUGAAAGUGGAGCUUUCAUAUCAACUGUCCCUGCAGGCACACCUGGAUAUCUGGAUCCGGAGUAAGUUUUAACAACAUUCCUUACAAUUUUACAUAAUUGCUUCCUUAUUCAUGAAAUGUAACUUCCUAUGCAGAUACCAGUCAACGGGAAUUUUGAAUAAGAAGAGCGAUGUUUACAGCUUUGGGAUUGUUUUGUUGGAGCUAAUCACCGGCCAGCCUGCGAUAAAGAACCCUGGGAACAUUCAUAUAGUUGGAUGGGUUAGUCCUAUGAUUAAAAGAGGGGAUAUGCGAAGCAUUGUUGAUCCAAGGUUACAAGGAGCUUUCAACGCCAAUUCUGCCUGGAAAGCCCUAGAGUUAGCCUUAGCAUGUGUAGCAUUAACAGGAAUGCAAAGGCCAGAUAUGAGUCAUGUACUGGAAGACUUGAAGGAAUGUUUGGAGAUGGAGGUGACUUCCAGGAGAAUUCAAAGUGUAGGUAGCCACAGCAUCGGAUCAGGCAAUUCCCUGGACGAUCUUCCCUUGAUUCUUGGCACUCAAUUGGGUCCCCGUGCUAGGUAGUUGUUGGACGCUCCAUUUUAAUGUGAUAAAUUUGCUUAAUGUUAGCAUGUGGGAAUAUGGAUUAUGGUGCACUCCUCUAUAUUUUGAAUUGUGUUCAUGAAAAAAUCUAUAUUGGGUAAUUGUACCAACUUUUUAUAUAUUGGGUAAUUGUACCAACUUUUUAGGAUUUCAUUAAGUUGAAACAUGGUAGGCUUAGAUUUGCCUAUUUGGUUUCAUUUCUAAUCCUUUAUUUACUCACCUUUCUCUCCUUUUUUCGAUGACAAUAAUUUAUGAAAUGCAAAUUUCAUAUUACCAUUCAACAAUUAAUAAAUGCCAUUGGCCCCAAGCCCUAACUUGGUGCAUACUUUACAAGUCAAACUGUUCCUAAUACUCACAUUAUAGGUCAAUGACUCAAUACUAAUAGUCUAAUACCACGUCCCAAAGGGCAAACCCUCUAGGACAUGAUAUAACUACAAAAAUUAUUUACUUGAAUCAUAAUUGCAAAAUAUGUUUUUACUAAAUAUGGAUAAAUGAAGUAAAAUCAUAAUAAUAAUAAAAAUAAUAAUAAUAAUAAGAUUAAAAAUAAAUUAACUAUUUUGAUUUAAUACUUAAAAUUAGUUUUUACUUUAAGUUAUAAUAUUAAAUUACUUUACCAAACAUGUGAAUCUAUUUAAUGACUUAAAUUAAGUCAUUAGAUCAUUAAGUUAUUAAGUUGAUUAGUUAAAUACCCUUUUUUUUUUUAGACUUUAAUAUUUGAAAAUCAAUCCUUGUAGGAAACUUUUUAACUCUUUUGAUUUUGACUACAUCUCUUAGGGUUCUACAAAGCAACCCAAGAUAUGACACCCUCUAGCAUUGAAGUUGAGUAAAGCUACAUGGCUUCUUCAACCUAUGAAAUUACAUUGAAACAUCCAUGUUAUGAAAUGUUCGAAUUUUGCUUAAGAUGGCACUUCAACUAUUUUGUGACCAUGUCAAUGCUUUUCAAAUGAUUGUAAAUCAUAUGUUCCAUACUCAAACUAGGCACAUCAAAUUAGCUUAAUUAUCAUUUUGUACAAAAAAGUGUUGCAAUGAGCAUUUUUGUUACAUGUUAUAUUUCUUGUUAAACACAACCUACACACAUCCUUACCCUCUAUCUAGAGUCAUUUGGAGAGCUUUGUUUCAAGCUAGUAUUAUCUUGGGCAUGUUAAGAAAUCAAUUAAAAUAAGGGGAGAAGGCGAUUUAUUAUCUAGCUCUCCUACAAUUAUCAUGCACCAAUAAGCAAGAGUUCUCAUAAGUUCAUUCAAAGUUAAAAUAGUGGAGACAUGUGGUAGAAAUUUGAUUUCAAUUUUAAAAUUUUGAAAAUUUAUUUUAAAUUAACUUUUUAUUCAAAUUAAGUGAUUUCUAUAUUUGGGUUUUGUUUUUAAGUAAAAUUCAUGAGAAAAUUUUCUAUAUAAAUUAUUUUAAGAAACAAAAGAAAAUAGAUAAAAGCAAAACAUAUUUAAGUUGUACUUUUUUUUUUCUUGAUUACAAUCUUCAUAAUUAUGGAAAAUUAAAUAUAUUUGAAUGAAUUUGUUCACCUUCACAAAUUGUAAUAUUUAUAAAUAAAAGAUAAUUAUUUAAAAAUUGACUGUGGUAAAUAAAAGUUAUCCCAAAGAAUUAAUAGUAUGAUCAAUGUUUUAGGCUCAAAGAACUUGAUUAAAUGAAAUCCAUUUCUUUCAUGAGAAAGGCGGAUACUGAAAGUCUAAUUUAUUCAACUUUUGGGAAGUGAAAUAGCUUUAAGUAAUUUGCUUGUGCACAACUUAUAAGACACAAUUUUUUGACAAGAAAUAAUGUACUAUAAAUAUUUCUAAAUUUAUAAUAAAGUCAUAAAAAACAUAUAGGUUUGUUGUAGAAACUGUUUUUGAAAAUACUUUUAUAUUACUUUUAAGAAUUUGUUAUGAAAAUAGGUUGGUUCGUAAAAUAAAUUUAAGGUGUUUUUAAUCAUAUUUUGUAAAAUGUUUUGAGUAACACUUGAAAAUGUAAAACAUAUUUGGAAAACUUCUAUGUUAUCUAUAAAUAAGUAGUAAUUAUAAAAAAAAAAAAAAAAAAAACACAUUGGUUUUUAUAUUUGAAUUUUUUAAAUAAAAUUUUGUUUUUAAAGAUAAUUAAGAACUAUUUUUAAAAAUGAUUUUCAAAAAUAGUUCAAAGAUGCCUACUAUUUAUUUCACUAUAGGGAUUUGAUGAAAAUUAUUAUUGUCAAUAAAAAUUCAUAUAGGGUGUUACAUAGGGGCUAUAGAAAAGUACUUUUUCCAUUAACCAUGAACAGGUCAACUAACAAUAAAGUGGUGAACAACCCCUAUAUAAAUGACCUUUGAUAAAAAUAUAUGUAUAGAAACAAGUCUAGUUACACUAUAUAAGUGUAUUUCUCUGUAUAUUCAUAGAAAAAACACCAUCAAUCAAGUAGUACCCCCCCCUCCCACACACACACAUAAAUAUAUAUAUAUAUAUAUAUUUAGAGUCAUUUAUUUAUAAAUUGUGCAUUGAUCUUAUUCAUUUGUACAUUCCAUGACUUAGAUCUCAACAUACAUAAUCAACAAUUUGAAUCUUUUGUUUGCUAGGUACCGCUAUAGUACCUUACCAUUUUUCAUAGAAAAUGGUUGUAAAAUUAAAAAAAAAAAAAAACAUUUUUGGUAUUAUAGAAAGUUAAAAAUAAAAAUAGAGAGAAAAAAAACAACUAGAGGCUCUAUGUAUAAGGCUUUGACAUUGUCAAAACUAGUUAAGCUCCACAAUAUGCAUGCUUCAUCUUGUUUCUCUAACUUUCAUACACUUGUGUCCUUGCUAAGACCUUUCACUUCUCUUCCAACUCCUGACCAUCAAUCAUCAUACACCACCAUUCCACAUAAAAGACCAGCAUGGACAAUAUACCAACAUUGGUUUAGCUCAUCUUUGUCCCAGUCACCAUCAUUUCCUCAAGCAACAACCCAUAAUUGGUUGCUAGAAACCCCAUCAUACUACCUCAACCUUUUAUCACAACCAUCCUUCUCUCCAAAGACUUAUUGUAAAUUGUUAUAAAAUGAUACCCGCAAUGAUAAUUUGAAAAUAGAAAAUAAAAUAGAGUAAUAAAUAAAAUAAAUAAAUAAAACAAUGGGAAAAAGUGCUUACGUGGUAAAACCCUCUUGAUUAUAAGAGAAACACCCAUAGGAUAAGAUUGAAAAAUAUCCAUUAUAUGAAGACAAAAUUAUAACAUUUCUUUCAAUUAAGAUGAGAUAAUAUAAAAGUUUAUAAAAUGAUGAAAACCUUUUUUUGGGAUGCAAAGCAUAGGGAGUUGAGGCUUCCUUUUAUAUCACAAGGAGGUUAUGUCCUUUUUGUCUUCUUUCGAUGUGGGAUGACUCCAACCUUAACAUUCUCUCACUUGAAGUCAUUCUUCUAUAUCUUGUCUUAUCACAUGUUGAUUACAUUAUCACUAAGUCAUAAGAGGAUGUACACCAAUUGAAUUUGUCAGUAUUAAUUGGUUUUGUCAAGGCAUCUGCUACAUUGUCCUUCAUAUGGAUCGUUUGUUUAUUCACGAUUCCUUCUUCCACCACUUCUCAGACAAAGUGAUAUUGAACUCCUAUUUGCUUAGUCUUAGAAUGAAAGGUUGGAUUCCUUGCAAUAUAAAACACACUUUGACUAUCACAAAACAUGGAAAUUUUCUCUUGUUUAGGCCCAAGCUCCUCUAAUAACCUUUUAAUGUAGAUAGCUUCUUUGCAAGCUUAUGUAGCUACCAUGUACUCUACUUCUGUUGUAGAUAGAGCCACAACAAUUUGAAGUUUUGAAACCUAGCUCACAACUCUUAUAAGUGUGAACACAUAGCCCAUAGUAGAUUUCCUCUUAUCAAGAUCACUUGCAAAGUUUGAAUCAAUAUAGCCUUUGAUGAUGAAUUUUGAUCCUAUAAAAUAUAAUGCAACAUUUAAGGUUUUUUUUUAUUUUUUUUUUUAUGUAUCUAAAGGCCCUCUUAAUCAUAUUCCAAUGCGCUUUCCUUGGAUUUGCCAUAAACCAACUUAUUGAUCCCAUUGCUUAUGCAUUGUCUAGCAAAUAAAUCAUAAUGAACAUGCAUUAAGUUUCCUAGUGUUGAUGCAUACGUUUUUUGAGAUAGUUCCGCCAUCUCUGUUUCAUUAUUAGGACUCAUACUUGAAGAUAAUUUGUAAUUAUAGGAAGUGAGGUAUACACUAGCUUACAAUCAUGCAUGUUGAAGUGACAAAAUUAUCUUCAAAUAGAUUUUUUGUGAGAGUCAAAUCUUUUUAGUUUUUCUAUCUCAUUGAAUUUGCAUAUCUAAAAUCUUGUUUAUUGGUCCUAGAUCCUUCAUCUCAAACAUCCUAGCCAACUAUGCCUUUAAUUCUUGAACUUGAUCUUUGUUGGGGCUUACAACCAACAUGUCAUCCAACAACAAUAACAAGAUAAUAAAAUCAUCACCCACAAACCUCUUAUAAUAUAUACAAUGAUUUGAAUUGAGUCUGUUUUACAUAAGGCUCAAUAUGAAAGAAUCAAAUCCCUUGUACCAAUAUUUUGGCGUUUAUUUUAGAUUGUACAAAGAUUUGGUUAACUUGCAAGCCAAGUUUUCUUUCCCAUUUUCUUCAAAGCUUUCCAGUUGAAUCACAUAAUUUUUUUUUUCAAGCUUUCCAUGAAGAAACACUGUUUUCACAUCUAACUACUCAAGGUGCAAAUCAAGUUUACCACACAUAGGUAAGACUACUUGAAUUGAUUUAAAUCAAACAAAUAAAAAAAAAAAAUCUUGUUGAAAUCAACAUGUUCUUUCUGAACAUAUCCUUUAGUCACCAAUUUUGCACAAUAUUGCUCCACUUGGUCAUUACUAUCACAUUUGAUCUUCUACACCCACUUGUUUCCAGUAACUUUUUUUUUUCUAGGUAGUAGUGGCAUAAGUUUCCAUGUCUAUUUCUUAUGCAAGGCUUCAACCCCCUCUUACAUUAUUGUCAUCCAUAAAGAUGAAUCUAAACUAUUUCUGGUCUCUUGAUAAUUUGAAGAUUCUCUCUAUCUUCUGUAAGAAAAUGUGUACAACAUUAGUCGCCAUAACAAACUCUUAGUGUUAGGAAGGUUCUCUUCUCUCUUGAAUAGACCACUACACUUCAGGUAUCUUAGAUUCAACUAGUAGUUGUUCAUUGUGCUUUGAAACUACUUCAGAAGAUUUUGGUUGUUAUUUUAAUUGUUUUUUUUUAUGAAACUUAUAAUAUCUGUAUUUUUCAUCAGUGCAUUAUCUCUUUCUUUACUUUGUAGCAUGUUUUUUUACAAAGAUGACAUUUCUACUAAUGAUAACCUUGCAAGCAGUGGGAUCCUACAGGUGACACCCCUUUACUCCAUCAACAUACCCUAAGAAUAUGCAUUUUGUGGAUUUUGGAUCCAACUUUGUUCUUUCUUGGUCAUUAUACAUCAUAUAAGCAAGACAUCCAAAUAUGUGUAAGGAGGAAUAAUCCGCUGGCUUACCAAUCCACAUUCCCAUAGGUGUCUUAAUCUCAAUUGAUGUUGAUGGAGACCCAUUAAACUACUUACUUCAACCCAAUGUUUUGGAUAGUCCUAUAGUCUUCAACAUAGCUCUCAUUCGUUUUACGAGAGUUCUAUUUGUCUGCUUUGCUAUGUCAUUUUAUUAUGAAGUGUAAGCAAUAGUUUUCUAUCAUUGUAUGCCUUUUUUACUACAAAAUUCUCCUUCAUUGUUUGUCCUCAAAUAUUUAAUUUUUUUUCCCAUUACAAGCUUUUUCUACGCUUUAAAGGCUUUGAAUACUGGAAAAACAUCUUACUUUUUCUUGAUGGGCUACACCCAAAAUCAUUUGGAUUAACCAUCUACAAACAACACCAAAUGGUUUGCACUCCUAAGAGAUGUGACAAGUGAUUCCCAAACAUCAAAAUACACCAAGCCUAGAAUGCUCUUACUUUUUGUAGAAGAUUUACUGAAUCUUAAUCUAUGUUGCUUACUAAUAACACAAUACUCACAAACUAGUAGACUUAAAGUUUUGAGUUCAACAAGCAACUUUUGAUCAUAAAGGAUUUUUAAUUCUUUUUCUAAUAUGUGACCAAGUUUCUGAUGUCACCUCAUUGUCAAUUUUUAACUAGAGUUUGCAACAAAAGUCUCAAUCUCUUUAUAUGUCCUUUCAUGCAUCAUGAACAAAUUUACAACAUCUUCUCUGCCUUCAUCACCAUAAGUGCACCUCUAAUAACCUUCAUGAUUCCCUUUUUAUCAUAGAAUUCAUAUCUAAGGUCAUCCAAUUAUCUCAUUGAUAGUAGAUUCUUCUUUAAGCCUUUCAUAUGUUGUACUUCUAGAAUAGUGUGAAUCACGCCAUCAUCUAUCUUCACUUUGAUGGAGCCAAUGUCAACCAUCUCCAAGGCAUGAUCAUUACCCUUGUACACUAAUCCUCUUGAGAUGGGUUUAUACAAGUGAAACCACUCUCUAUGAAAAGUCAUUUGUCAUAUUGUAGCUGAGUCAAUUAACCAAACUUCAACAAAUCUUUUUUUGCCUUUCGCAAUUGUUGUUACUUCGCUAUACACGAUUUUACCUUCGUCCAAAGUAUUUGCUACAAAACUCUAGUAUUUGAUAACAUAGAUUAGUUCAUUUUCAUGUUUUUCUCUACUUCUCUUUUUUAGUGUCAACAAUUUUUAUUUUUAUUUAUUUUUAUUUUUAAUUUUUUUACAUACCCUUGUUUUCUAAAGUGAUAGCAUUUAACUUUUCUCUUACCUUGGGAUUUUGACCUAUUUUGGUUGUGGCACCCAUUAGAACCAUGUUCUAUUGAUCUUCAUCUAGAAAUACUUAAAGUCUUGGUUUGCUAAAAAUAUAUUUUGUCUUCUUUGUUUUUAUGCUCAUUUUCUUCCUUAAGUAUAGUAGUAUUAGGAUUAAGCCCCUAAAAGUGAGACAUGAUGUAAUAAAGUUAGACUUAAUUGUUCCCUUAUUAUCCUCUUGGUAUAUUAACAUUGAUUUGAGCAUUCAACCUACAUCUCUUACAUUGUACAUGACUUGGGUGCAUUAUGAGUCGUAUAGAAGAUACAAGUCAUGGAUUCCUUGUAAGUAGAUAAAUUGUCCAUAGUCAGUUCAUGGAUUUGGGUAAUCUAGUGUGAUUGUAGUACACUACCUCUCAAUUAGAAGGAUGGCUUAUCUUGGUGUUGAGAUAGGUUUCCCAUGGUGAGUAUACUAAUGUAUGUAAUGCACACUAGACAGUAUCUAUGGUGACUCAUGAUGUAAGGCUAUCAAUAAUCAUAAUUCACUAAGCUACUAUACUGCAUGGACUCUCAACCUUGAAAGGAUAUUGAGUUUAUGUCAAAAUCAAUAGGAGACUUUAAUCUAUGGGUAAGACCUUAAAGUGGGCAUAUAUCCAUAUGGAAUGAGUCACUAUUAAUAGAGGUUGGUGGCAACAGGUAUUCUCAAUAGAGACGUCAUGAUAUCUCAUGGGAUUGAGACAAUGUGUUCUAUUGGAUGAUCCAAAGGACAUGUGAUCAUAAAACUUGUGGUCACAAUAAUUCCUUUAAUAGAAUUUGACAUAUACUCAUUGGAAUUAGGGUAUGUCAGUUGAUCACAUAAUAAGUGGGACUUGUAACUCAAGGAUUUGAGAGGUAAUCUUGAUGGGUGAUAACACUACUUUGUUAGAUUACAGACACCAAUUCAUGGGGAGUCUUCAUACAAUGGAUAGUAGGUCACAGACCCGAACUUCGUCAUAUUGUUAUUUACAUAGGGUAUUAGAGUGUAGUUGAUUCUCUUUAAUGGAAUGGUGAAUUAACUUUAGGAUUGGAUUCUAAGGAAGUCAAUACUUCUAUGGGUCUUGGUGGUCCCUGUUCUAAGCUCUUUAGGGUUGGAUUGACUCGAAGUUCAUUCUUAUGCAUAAGGACAUUUUGGUAAUUAGACAAGGUUGCAUAAGGGAUAAUGAACAAAGUCUUUGGAUUAGACUAAUUGAUUAAUUAGAUGACCCUAUGUGGUUAAUUAAUCAAUUAGGAUCUAUGUUGGGCUAGAUUAAGUGACCCAAGCCUUGAUGGGCUCAAGUCACUUAAGCCCAAUAGGUAACCUAAUAAAUCCUUAUGGGUUAAGGUUUCCUAAUGACUUUUAGUUGGUCAUCUUCCACCUCCAAAGAGAGAAAGUCAAAACUUGCUCCAUUCCAUUGCCCACACUUUGGAGUGCUAAAAAAGUGGCUAAAGUAAUUAGGUAGAAGAUCUUGGGCGUACAAGACCUUUGGACUUUUUAGGUUUUUUUUUCAUCAAAUAGAUUUUGACAUGAGAACAUCCAGAUCAUAGGUAUGAAUACUGUAUCUCUAGAUAUAUAAUUAAUAAUGGUUUUUAUAGCCAUAUGUUUCCGCUAUGAUAGAUUUAGAUAUGCCUAGGGAUAUAUGCACACACCUUAUGAGAUCUAAGGCAUGGAAAUGGAGUUAUUCGAGGUUCCCAACAAGUAGUCACAAUAUCAUUAAAGACUAACAUUAUUCUUAAAGCACCAUUGGCUGUAUUUAUGAUGAGAUGAUCAUAUGAAUUAGGUAGACUUUGGAGUAAAAGUUCAACAUGUUCUUUCUCUUCUAUGUUAUGUUCCAUAGAUCACAUGAAUCAGGUAAACUUUAAACUAAAAGUUCAUCGUAUUCUUUCUGUUCUAUGUUAUGCUCCAUAACUGAUAAUUAAGAGAAUAGAGUUUUCAAGGUGUUGAUAUGUUCAACCAUCAAAGUAGAUUCUAACAUCCGAAGAGUGUAGACUUUUGUUUUCAAGAAAUUUUUUUGUGCAAUGACUUGACUUCAUAUAGUUUUGUCAAGGUAUCCCAAAUUUCUUUUAUCAAUUGUAAUUCUGAGAUGUUUGAUAGUAUAUUAUCUACUACUACUAAAUGCAAGCUUGAAACGGUAUCCUCAUCCAUUUGCUCCCAUUUUUUGUCUUCAACAUUUUCUAGCCUGUCACAAAUUGCUUCUAAGAAAUAUUUCUUAAUAUGGCUUUCAUUUUCAUUCUUCAUAGCACAAAAUUACUCCCAUUGAAUUUUUCUAUUUCAAAUUUCACCGCCAUUUGUUUGACUUUUAUGGUGAACAAUAACCCAAAAUAAUGGUAAGUGUUUGUGAUAAAUACAUUAGGAAAGUCACCAAGAAAGUGGAAGGGUCACAAUGGUCCCACUUAAAACCUGUUUUUCUUAGGCUCUUAUUGCUCUUUUAAUAGAAUUUUCUAGAACAUGUACUAACCAUUCAAAUAACCACCUACUGUCCUAAACCUAAGAUUUGAUACCACUCUUAUAAAAUGAUACCCGCAACAAUAAUUUGAAAAUAAAAAAUAAAUAAAUAAAACAGUGGGCAAAAGUGCUUACGUGGUAAAUAUAUAUACGUCAUAAGCUUUAUGUUCCAAAUGAUUUGUGAAGUAUACUAUUUGGAAAAUGAAUGCAUACAACAAAACCCUCUACUUAAUGAGAAGUCCUAUUAAUGACAGCAGUGAGGUUGAAAGUAUUCUACAUUUCAUUUUAGGGAUUGGUCAAACAAUAGCCUAACAAGAUAACUGCUUAAAUUUUUGUCACAACUGUCAUUCUUAACUGCCUUGUAAGUAAUAGAGUUUUGAUGGUAUAACAAAAAAUUGUUGGAAUGAAAAGCAUAUAGUCUAAUUCAACAUCUUUGUAGGAAUGUAACAUGAAACAAGCUUUCAAGCUCAGUUCCUCCAUAUCCCAUUGCAAGAUCAAAGAAAGGGUCGUUGUCAUUAACGUUCACUCUCUCUAUUCAAAACCCCAUCAAUACUAAUUCUAUUUCUUAAACACUAUUUUGGUUUUCCAACUUCAUUUUCCCCCUAAGAACAACUAAUUUAAUGCUAAUGUAAGCAACAACUCGGAUAUUUGCCCAUCAACUCAAUGUAAAGAAAAGAAGAACUUUGUUGUUCCAAUAGUUACAACAGUUGUUUCAUCACUUGUCAUCAUCUUCCUUGCAUUGGUUAUUCUAUGGAGCCUAAAAAAAGGGAAAAACAUAUGCAUUUUUGUAUUUCAAAAGAAGUUGGCCCUAUGAAUGCUUGCAUCCUAUUUCUAAGAUCUCUUAAUUUUUUAUUUUGGAUAUUAGCUACAAAAUCACUUGUCAUAUCUCCUGAAGAAACAUGGUCACUAAAGAUGGAGAACCAACUAUUCAGAUACUUGAAGAUUGUGAGUAUUACUAAUAACUUUCAAACAGUCAUUAGGAUAAGAAGAUUUGGAACAGUUUGUCGUGGUUGCAUGCUUAAUGGCACAUGAGUUGCUAUCAAGAUGCUCUCUCAAUCAUCAAAAUAAGGAAUGAAGGAGUUUCAUACUAAAGCAUGCUUCUCGAUACAUAAAUUCAUUUUAUUUUGAUCUUAUAGUAAUCUGAUUGUCUAAAGAUUUUUGUGAUAUCUCACAUCAGAUAGGAGAAAAAAGUUUCAACCACUAUACAUGUAUGGAAUCUUUCUAACCUUAUAGACAUGUUUUAAAGUAGCAAGCUAGGUCUCUUUAGACACAAAAUAGACAAGAGUAGAUCCUCAAUCAAGGUGUUUGUUUGUUUGACUCCACAAUCUUAUACGACAUAAUGAGAACAUGUGUUUAAUUAUAUGAGAGUGAUUGUGAUAUCUUUUAUCAGAUAGAUCGAGGAAGAUUUUUUUUUUUUUUAUCCCAUAUAUGUAUCAACCCUCUUUCAUGUGAAAAUGUUUCUAAUUUGACUUUGUUUUUGGUUUUUGAGUUGUAGGUUCAACUUUUGAUGAGAGUUCACCAAAUUAAGAAACUUAGCUUCUCUGGUUGGUUACUACCAUAAAGGUACAAACAUGGGGCUCAUCUAUGAGUACAUGGCUGGUGGAAACUUACAAAAUUAUGUAUCAGGUAAAUUCCCAUUCUCUUGUAUGAAUCUUACCUCAUUGAGAAAACCAUUUUGCUAAAAAUAAAAUCAAAGAUAUGAAGAUUGGGUUCUCAUGUUGAAAGAGCAAAUAGAAGCACUAACCUUUGAGUUGGGAUAAAGAGACUUCAAAUAGCAAUGGAUGCAGCACGAGGUGAGUAGGCCAAUUGAUUGCAAUUGAUACUAAUAAAUUUCAAAUCUCUUGAAUCAAACUAACAUUUCUUCAAAUUUUUGGGUGUAGGACUAAAGUACAUGCACCGUGGUUGUAAGCCGCCUAUAAUUCAUAGAGAUGUGAAAACUGCCAACAUUUUAUUGAAUGAAAAAUUGUAACCUAAGAUAGUUGAUUUUGGGUUCUCAAGAUUUUUCUCAAUUGAGAGUGAAACUCAUGUCACAACUGCAAUUGUUGGCACUGUUGGUUACAUUGAUUGAGAGUAAGUCCAUGUUACUUUACAGUUAAUCGGUAUAUGACUAUAUCUUUAUAGGAGAUUGCCCUAUGAACUAAGAACUCUAUUUUCUAUUUUAGGGGCCAUUCUAUAUUUUUGGUCAAUAAGAGUAGACAUGUGGAUAGGGUUGUAGAUUGGGUGAGUUGAUCACUAACCCAAAUCCAAUCCGAAUUAAGAAACAAUCAACUUUAACCUAACCCAACCCAACUUCUAGCUCGAGUUAUUCAACCUAAUCCUAACCCAACCUCAUUUCUUUAAGUUUGGGUUUAACUUGGGUUGGUUAGAUUAAAUUCAAGUUAGUCAUAUUGUAUAAUUCAAAAUCCAUCUAUAUUAUUUAAAAAAUAAAAAUAAAAAUAAAAAUAAAAAUAAAAUUCUAUACAUUUAUAUGAAAAUUUAAAUAGUAAAUAGGACAAAAUUUUAAGAUAAUAACAAAAAAGUAUAAAAAAAUUUAUAUAUAUUUUCUUUAAAAAUGAAAAAUAUAAGAUAUAAUACAAUUUGAUAUAUUUUCUAAAAUAUAAAAAAAAUGAAUAUUGUUAAUAAGGUAAUAUACAUUACAAAUAUUAUAAAAACAUUAAAUUGAGUUCGGGUUGGGCUUGCGUGGUUCGUACCUUAGUCAAGUCCAACCCAAAUUGAAUUUAGGUAGAAAAAACCUAACUCUACCCCCAUCCGAGUAUUGAAAAUUAUUGUCUAAGCUUGUCCAAUUUACACCCCUACAUGUGGAUGUCCAUGAAAAAAAAAUUUAAGACACUAUAUUGGAUUUUGUCACCAAGUGCUUCUAUGCAAGUACUACAUAUUCAAUAGGUUGAUCAAGAAAAGUGAUAUUUAUAGCUUUGGAAUUGUUCUAUUGGAGUAUAACUGAAAAACUUGCAAUCAUUAAAGAUAAAGGCAACAUUCAUAUAGUUCAAUGGGUAAGGUCCUUUGUUGAGAGAGGGGACAUUGGAAGCAUUGUUGAUCCUAGGCUAUAAGGAAAUUUCAACACAAGUUCAGUUUGGAGAGUUUUGGAGAUGGCAAUGGCAUGCCUACCAUCAAUUUCCAUCCAAAGGGUGACCAUGAGUCAUGUAAUGAUGGAACUAAAGGAGUAUUUGGAAGAAGAGAAAGCCCAUGAUCAAACUAGAAGGAUCGAGGGACAAAUGACAAAGUCAAGCAAUUCAAUUGACUUGUAUAGUUGUAGACCCUCAAUUUUGUCCCUUUAGCACAUGUUUUAAAGUCCAUUACCAAUACUUUACAAUAAUCUCUUGGUAGCCCAUAGCUACUCACGCUACUUACCUUUCUUGAGCCACCUCGGAGACUUUAGUUGAGGGGUUUACCCAGUUCCACAUUAUGACAUUGGUUGACCUUCAAGUUUAGAUUAGGCUUCACUUAAGUGCACUUCAAGUUAGACUUAGUUAGGCCCACCUAGUCUCACCCUAGGCCCACUUAGGUAUACCUAGCCCACUUAGGUCCACCUUGACCCACUUAGAUUCACCUAAGCUCAUUUAGGUCCACUUUAACCCACUUAGACUCACCUAAGCUCAUUUAGGCACAUCUAGGCCCACUUUGGUUUGCUAGGUCCACUUAGGCAUCCUGGCCCACCUAUGUUACCUUUUAGAUAACUCCUGUAUGACUUGCAUAGUUCACAUGAUUUGUAUUUCUUAACAUUUGCAUGAGCUUGAUUUCUUAUUCAUUUAUCUAUUUAUUUAUUUAGUUAUUUAUUUAUUAUAUUUGUUUAGCUAUUUGUUUAUUGUUAUCUAUUUAUUUGUUUUUACAAGAUUGCAUGUGAUCAAUUAUCUUAUCUCUUUUUAUGAUUACUAUUAAAUGUUUUUACUAAUAUGUACGUUAAUAAAUUUUUUUAGUAAGUUAUUUUGUAUUUUAUUUGGUUAUUUUCUUAAAGUGCUUUUAAUAUAUUUUUUGGUAAGUUAAGUUUUUUAAUAUAUAUAUAUAUAUUUGUUUAUACCAAUUUGAUAAGUUAUUAUUAUUAUUAUUACCUUUAAAAAGGUUUGUUAAUAUUUUUUUUAUUUUUUAUUUUUAUUUUUGAAUUAUGAUGUAUAUAAAAUAGAAAAGCACUUUCCAUAAAAGUUAAAAUACCACUUUGCAAUUAAAACGUCACUUUCCAUAUAUCCACGUACAUAUCCCAAAAGGAAAUAAAAUAUUCCAUGAAAAGGAUAGGUUGCCAUAUAAAUGGAACAAAAAGGAAUAGAAGAAGGACGGUGGGACUUUUUCUUGGGGAGAGAGACCUUUUCUUUGAGGGGAAAUCAACACACGCAAGAGUUUUUUGAAGGGAGCGGUAGAGGACUUGAAGGACUAAUUGGGCUGCCAUUUCGACACAUCAAGAGAGUAUUUUUUCGAUACAAUACAAGUUAGUUUUUGGAUUUUUGAUACAGUGUUUCUUUUUAGUUUGGGUUUUAGUUGAUUGGUUUAAUUAAUUGUUUGUGAUAAAUUCUUUUAAAUCUCGAUUUCGAACAAGCUUUUAUUUUUCUUAGAUUAAAUGUCUCUCUUUUAUGAUUGCAAUUCAUUAGUUCUAUGCUAGUUUAUUUUAAUCUACAUGAAAGUUUAAAUAAAGUUUAUAUUUUUAGUUUAAUUUUUAUUUGAAUGAGUUAUUGAUCUUAAAUCUAUUAGUUUAAUUGGACUUGUAAGGUAAAGUUUAUAUUUUUAGUUUAAUUUUAGUUUAUUUUUAAUUUGAAUGAGUUAUUGAUCUUAAAUCUAUUAGUUUAAUUGGUCUUGUAAGGUAAAGUUUAUAUUUUUUAAUUCCGAUUAGUUUAAAUUUUAGUUUAUUUUUAAUUUGAAUGAGUUAUUGAUCUUAAAUCUAUUAGUUUAAUUGAACUUGUAAGGUAAAGUUUAUAUUUUUAAUUCUGAUUAGUUUAAAUUCUAGUUUAUUUUUAACUUGAAUGAAUUAUUGAUCUUAAAUCUAUUAGUUUAAUUGGACUUGUAAGGUAAAGUUUAUAUUUUUAAUUCCGAUUAAUUUGAAUUCUAGUUUAUUUUUAAUUUGAAUGAGUUAUUGAUCUUAAAUCUAUUAGUUUAAUUGGACUUGUAAGGUAAAGUUUAUAUUUUUAAUUCCAAUUAGUUUAAAUUCUAGUUUAUUUUUUAAUUUGAAUGAGUUAUUGAUCUUAAAUCUAUUAGUUUAAUUGGACUUGUAAGGUAAAGUUUAUAUUUUUAAUUCCGAUUAGUUUAAUUUCUAGUUUAUUUUUAAUUUGAAUGAGUUAUUGAUCUUAAAUCUAUUAGUUUAAUUGGACUUGUAAGAUAAAGUUUAUAUUUUUAAUUCCGAUUAGUUUAAAUUCUAGUUUAUUUUUAAUUUGAAUGAGUUAUUGAUCUUAAAUCUAUUAAUUUAAUUGGUCCUGUAAGGUAAAUUUUAUAUUUUUAAUUCCGAUUAGUUUAAAUUCUAGUUUAUUUUUAAUUUGAAUGAGUUAUUGAUCUUAAAUCUAUUAGUUUAAUUGGUCUUAUAAGGUAAAGUUCAUAUUUUUAAUUCCGAUUAAUUUAAAUUCUAGUUUAUUUUUAAUUUGAACGUGUUAUCGAUCUUAAUUCUUUAGUUUAAUUGAUCUUGUGAGGAAAAGUUUACAUUUUUAAUUCCAAUUAGUUUAAUUCUAGUUAUUCAUGUGUUUCUUAAAAUCUAAAUGUUAGUUUUUGGAUGAUAAUUUUGUUAGUUUAUUUGAUUAGGAAGUUAUAAAUUUGUUGCCUUAAUGAUUGUUGGUCAAAUUUUUUUUAGAGCCACUGGAAACCCAUGAAGGUUGGCCUUUACUCUCACCACUUUAAUUGACAAGAUUUCCUAAAAUCUUUAUUUCGUGAUCUUUGUUUCCUUUUGUUUUGAUUGAUAUUUUGUUUUCUAUUUUUGUUAAUUUAAAAAUUAAUUUCCUUUAUUUUAAAACAAAACUCUUUUUCUAAAAAAAAAACCCUUUUAAGAGAUUUUUUUUUAAAUUCAUUUAAAGCCUCUAGAAUCAAAAUCUCUUUUCUAUUUGAAAAAUAACAUGCAACCAUUUCUUAAUCGGUUAGCAUCCUUCUCAAUUUUCAACAAAAAUUUUGGUUUUAAACAAAACGCGAAUCAAAGCUUGUGGUCCCAAAUAAAUGGGACAAUUUUAGGCUAAAUUCGUGUAUAUUAAUUUGGGGAAUUGGUGAAACCCCUACAUAAGAAAAUCUUUUUCCAAAUUUAUUUUUGCUACCACCCUACUAUUUAUUGUAAUUAUAUUUACAUUUUUUUUCUUUUUAGGAAUUGUAUACAAGAUAUGUAUGAUAAUUAAUUAUUCCGAAUUCUGAUAAUUUUUGCUAAUUAAUUAGAUAAGCAUGCUAGGAUUUAUUAUUUAUUAUUUAUUAUUUAUUAUCUAACCCCUAUGUCUUGAGGAAGCGCAUUAGGAGUUAUAUAUGCUAUCCAGGUACGUUCCCAAAAUUUCAUAAAUAUGCAUGUCAUUGCCCUUGUUUGAUGUCAUACUUGAUUGUCUCGAUGCUUGUUUGAUCAUCCUUGAUAAAAUACAUGUCGUGUGUCAUAUUUCUGAAUUAACCAUUGAUGUUUUAUGAUAGCGCUUAAGAAGUGGUUCAGGUACACACCCUAACUUUCCUUUAUUGUGAUUGAUCUCCUUAUUUAGCAUGCUACUUUUUGAAAUCACAUAACUUACUUAGGUAUCUACAAUUAAUCAAUUAAUUGCCCCAUUUCCCCAAUUUAGUCAGUAAAGACCUCUUUAGGGCUUAGAGGGGUGUUACCUCCUAGAGGUACCUUCCCAAUAAGUAACCUGAUCCCCGAACCUAGACUCGGGUUUUUUCAAAGACAUACUUUUUUCCAAAAAUUAUGGAGUCACAUUUUAGGGUUUUUCUUUCUUAUUUUAUUUUCCUUUUAAAAUAAAAAUAAAAUAAGUGGCGGCUUCAACUUUUCCAAAACUAAAUAAUUUUUCACAAAUAAAAAGCGAGUCUCGCCGAUCGAGUAAAGACGCACGUGAAAAAUGCGGGUCCACAAUAGUCUAGAUUUUGAACGUGAAAUGGGUCCAGAGGUGAGAUAAUAGCUAAACUCUAUUUCAUAAGUGUUUCGAUUUCUAAAAAAAUAGUUUUUAAGAACUGUUUUAAAAUAGCCUAUUGGGAAACUUGAAAUGUUCUUAACCUUUUUUUAUAUAUAUUUUUAAAUAUUUUUUAAAAAUAAGCUUUAUACUUUAUUUUUAACAAUUCUAGAAAUUUAUGUAAUUAUUUUUUAAAACCAUCCUCGUAAAACAAAUGAAAAUAAAUAAAAAUAACUCAAAAAUGUUAUUAAAAGGUUUUUCGCUUUACAGGUUAAAAAAAAAAAGGGUUUUGCUUUGACUCUGAAAACUCUGAAAGUUGGUAUUUACUUGCUAUGUUCCUCCGUCUUAACCAAUUUUCCAAUGGCGAUAAUCCCCAUAUUUCAACCACAUGCCUUGCUGGUCCGCUCACAGCUCUUAGUUUUGGUGCAUUUAUGAAUUUUGUAAUGUGAUGUCUUUUUGAUACCUGAAAGUGUUGUAUUAUACCCUAUACAAACCCUACCUUUGCUUUCAAUGUUCAUCUUAACCAAUUUUCCAAUGGCAAUAAUCCCUAUAUUUCAACCACAUGGCUUGCUGGCCCCACUCACAGCUGUUAGUUUUGUUGUAUUAUUGAAUUUUGUUGUUAGUGUUGCAAAAAAUAAAUAAAUAAAAACAAAAGUUGAAGGGUUGGUUGAUUUCUUUGUUUCAUAACUACAAAGAAUCUUAAUACUUGAGUGGUUAUUUUGGUUUUUAUCAAAAACUUGAAAUAUAUAUAUAUAUAAUAAUAAAAUUUUUUAAUUUUUUAUACUGAUAUAAAAAUUAAAUAAUUAAUUUUUUAUUUGUCAACUUACAAUGGUGAAUAGUUCUGUAUAUAACCUUCCAAAUUGUCUUGGUCAAUAAUUAAUUUUUUUUUUUAUUGAAUGAAGCUUUUGGAUGGGUAAUAAAAAUUAAGUCUUACCUUUCCCAAACCUAAUUUCCUCUAAAUUUCCUUCUCUUACCUUUAAAUAAAUACCACUAUUAAUAUUUUUCUACACGUUAGGGAGCGAGAAACUUCUUGUCGAGUAUACUUGAUGGGAAAGAUUAAGUCAAUGUUCUGAAAACAUCGUGAAUUUCUAAUGAGUUAAUUUCCAAUGCCCAUAGUGGAUGUGACUUGUAAAAAUCUUAAAUUUAAUAUAUAUAUAUAUACAGAAUCAUUUAGACCACUAUUUAAUAUUUUUUAAAAACCCUAAUCAAUUGUAACCAUGAAGCAAAACCCAAUGUAGUUUUGUCCCGUGACAAUAAUUUGUGAAGUACAAAUUACUAUUCAAAGUUGUUGGAAUUUUUUUAAUUUAUUGUUUAAUCAAGUCUCAAUGUUGAAUGGAAUGAGAAUAUUUCCUGGAUGCAUGAUGAAUUUUGUUGAUUAGAUGGAGAGAUAUUAGGUCAAGUAUAUAUAGAUUUUUAUUUUUGUGGGGAGAUGUUAGGUCAAGUACAUAUAGAUUUUUAUUUAUAUUUUUUAAUUUAUUUUUUUGGUUGGUGUGCUGCACUUUUCCUCUCCUAAAGUUAAGUUUUCUUUUUCUAAUACUUGUAUUUUAUAUUAUAAAGGCCUCUUAAUUUUUCUAUCUGUUUUGCACUCUACUUCUUCAUAUUCAAAGCUCAAUACUUUACCUCCAAACUUAUUAAAAGGUAACAUUUUAUCUUAAUUACAAACCACCCAUAAACUUAUAAAAGGGAUUGCCAUUUUUUACAUUUUAGUUUGAUCACUGAUUGAAGCUUAGGUAUAAUUAACUUUAAAUUUAUAAUUUUUUUAGUGAUAUUUCCAAAUGCUUUCAAAAUAUAAUAGUCAUCAAUUUUUAUUUUUUUAUCUUAGAUAAAUAUUCACAUGGUAAUUCAUGAUUUUGCAUGCAAUUGUGAGGUGUGAUAGCUUUAAAAUUGAAUAAUAGGGUUAUGUUUGUUAAUUGUUUUUUAAAACAAUUCUAAUGUUUUGUAAAACAAAUGUUUGUUUGAUAAUCUAAAAUGUUUUUAACAUGUUUUUUUUUAUAAUUUUAAAUAUGUUUUAAAAAUUAUUUUUAUAUAUAAUGUUUUAUUUUUAACCAUUCCUUAUACUCAUAUAAUUAUUUUUUAAAAUAAUUUUCAAAAAACAAUGAAAAUAUAUUCUUUAAAAAUACCUUAUUUUUUGGUUGUUAAACAUUUUUUUUUUGUUAUGAAGAACAUAAAAAUAUUUUCAAAAAAAAUUAUUAAAUAGGCUUUAGGUAUUUUUGUUGACAUUUGAAUUUUGUUUCUUCACUUAGAAAGUUCAUUAACAAGUAUAGGAGACAAAAUAUUACUCUUCAAGGAGAUGGGAGGCAAAGGGUAAAAAAAGACAAAUGUUGAAAAAGUACAGUGAAAUUUAACCCUUCAUAAAAUUAUUUGAAAAUUUGAAAUAUUUUUAACCUAUUUUCUAUUUUUUUAAAUAUUUAAAAAAAAUAAGGUUUAUGUUUUAUUUUUAAUCAUUCUCCAUAUUUAUGUAAUUAUUUUUUAAAAUAGCCCUUGUAAAACAAAUUAAUUAAAAUAACUAAAAACAAUUCAAACAUAUUAUAAAAAAUAUAUAUUAUUUUUUAUUUUAAGAAUUGAAAUUUGAUUUCUAUUUUAUUUUUUGUCAAACAUGUUUCAUGUUUUGUUCUCAAAAAUAGUUUUUAUUUUUUAUUUUUAAAACUUAUCCUUAGGGUGUGUUUGUUACAUGAUAAUAAUAACGGAAUUAAGAUAUGAAUGAGAAGAAAUUAUAAUCCAUUAUGAAAAUAUCACUAUGGUUUGAUAAAUUGGAUAUACAAUGGAUCCAUCUUCCUUAGAUUGGAUUUGUCUUCAUGUUGCCUUAAUGAUCCCCAAAGUUCAAAAAGGCAAUUACAAUUCACUAUAUUAAUUCAAAUUCUUUAACUUGACUUUGAUCCAUUCAAACUUCAAAGUCCCAUUUCUUCUUUUUCUUUGAGGCAAGAUACAAUGAAUUGACAAAAAUUUCCAUAUGAUGCUAGUCUUCUUCCACACAACAUGCCCCCACAGCUCUUACCAUUUCCACUUAUUUAGCCUAACGAAUAUGAUGAGAAAGACCAACAUGGACAGUAAAACAACACCAUUGGUUUUGGCUCUGAUAUCUUUCAUUGCAACAAGAGAGUAAUACAACCCAAAUUCGGCUUAGUGAUUAAGCCUUUUUUGCUUAAAUCUGGUAAUUAGUAAAACAUUUUAUUAAUGAAAAACCUCGUGGGAGGAAACCUGGCACAAACACAUUAGGUAAACAUGAACAUUAAUCUCACUAUUUUUUUCUACACCAUCCCACAUUUACUUGCUAUAAAUUUGUUGUUAGUGUAUGAUAUUAACUAGUCGAUAAAGUUCUAAAAUUUUUGUCAAGAAAAAAGAAAAAUUGAAUGGUUGGUUGAUUUCUUAGUUUCAUAAUUAUGAAGGGUUAAAUUUGUUUGAAUGAGUUAAUUCUUCACCUUCACAAAUACUUGUAAAUAAAAGUUAUUACAAAGAAUUAUAAUAUUAUAUCAAGAGGUACUUUGAUUAAAUCCAUUAAGGGAGCCAUGGAACAUUUUCUUUGAUUUUCAAUUACAUAUAUUAUGAGGCUGUCAAGCAUAAUUAGGAGCAACCCAAGACAUACGCUGUAAGUCAAUACCUGCUCCCAAUAAACGUGUUGGAAAAGUCAACAUCAGUCCUAGUUCCUCCAAGCUUGGGAGGCUGGGUAUACCAGGCUUUGUCUUUAAAGCUUGUUUCAGGCCCAUCUUAUCCAUACCUCCUCUUCUUUCCUUAAGCUUCACGUAAUUCACUUUCAUCGAGAUUUUUUCGCCUCUGGGUGUUUCAAGAUCUGAAACAACAUGGAUGGUAGACUGACAUUGAACUGGCUGAUCUUUCUUCUAGUGAUUAUUUCCUUCCACAACUUGGGACGGGUUUCAGGGACCUUCCAUGAGAACCAGGCAGAUCGGCGAAAGCUCACAGCGAAGAAAGGUAGAUAUUCAUUUUUAUCAGAGCUGUCAGUUGAUGUUAGUGGGUUGUAUAUGUGUUAUGUCAAAUUUUAGUCAUUCUAUUAAAUAUAUAUCAUUAAAAAUAGGUUCAAUUGUGUGUUGAACCUAAUUGGACCCAAAAAUUAAGUUUUAGUCCAUAUAAAUUCACUAUUUAAGCACAAGACCUAGAGGAAGUGUGAAAAUCAAGAAGAAUGAUAUAAAUUUUUUAUCUUUCCAAAAAUUAUCUUUAUUGACGACUAUAAAAAAAAAGUAAAAAAAAUAUUAAUUUAAACUUUAUUUUUUUUGUCAACUUCAAUAAAAUUUAAUUUAAUUUAGUGAUUUGUCCAAAAAUACACCGUUUUUCAAAAAAAUAAAAAUAAAUUAUUAUUAUUAUUAUUAUUAUUAUUUAAAAAUCAAACAUCUUAGAAAAUAUAUAUUUUUUAAAUUAUGUAUGUAAAAAAUAACUAAAAAUAUGUCAAAAUUAUUUUUUUAAAUGAUAUACUUUUUUAAGAAAAAAUUAGUUUUCUAAAAAUUAUAAUUUUUAGAAUAAUUAUUAAAAAAAAUUUAAGAUUAAAAAAUUUGUCAAAUAUUAUGAUAGAAAAUACUCAAAAUAGUUUUGAAGGGUAUAUUAGUCUCUUUAUAUUUUAUAUCAUUCCCAUCAAUUAUACAAUUUUUAUGGACCAAAUCUUAAUUUUUGGGUCCAAUUGGUCCAAAACACAAUUGUCCUUUAAAAAUAUAAACUCAAAGGCUAUAUAAUUAUUAGACAUGUACCACGUCAUGUAAUCCAUUUAGUAAUCAAGUCCUUAUAUUUAAUAAUUUGGUUAAAUUAGAUCUUGUAUCAGGCCAUAUGAUUACCAUCUUAAUUAGACAUGUUGGUAGCUUGAUUGACUUAUUUAUUCAAAAAUAAAUUUAAAAUAAGUCAAAUAUUAGUUAAAUAGUUUAAAGUUAUAAUUAAGUUAAUAUUAGUAAAUUGAACAAUUUAGGUCAAAUUCGUGUUAUAUAAAUUGAUACAAAAACUAACCAUUUAUUAAACAUAUUAUGUAGGUGAACACGAGUUCAACCUAACCGCGAUUAUACUCAACCCAUACCCAUAAAAAUUAUGUUGGGUUUAAACAGUGUUGACAAAUCAUAUCAGACUUUUUCACCCUGAAUUUUUAUACAAUUUAAUACCAUCUUGCAACACCAUGUUUUUCUUCAUAAAAUAACAAGCAAGUUGUAGUGCAAGUAAACAUAUUCAUUACAAAGUCUGUUAUUAAUUUGAAUGAGUUUGAAACUUUGUAGGGUUCAUAAGCAUCGAUUGUGGGAUAGCUCCGGGCUCCUAUUAUAUAGAUAGUGAAACCGAGAUAUAUUACACUUCGGAUGCAGGAUUCACAGAUACUGGAAUCAAUUAUAACGUUUCCCAAGAAUAUGUUUAUCAAGAUACCAAUCAACAUCUCAAGAACGUUAGAAGCUUCCCAGAAGGAGACAAGAACUGUUACACCCUAUGGCCAGGACAAGGCAAAAAUCAUAAGUAUUUGAUCAGGGCUCGGUUCUUGUAUGGGAAUUAUGAUUCCAAGAAUCAACUUCCAAUCUUUAAACUAUAUCUGGGUGUUGAUGAAUGGACCACAGUGAAUAUAAGAAAUGCCACUUCUAUUUACAGGAAGGAAAUCAUACACAUACCAAUUACAGAUUACAUAGAUGUGUGUCUGGUAAACGCCGGUUGGGGGACACCAUUCAUAUCAGUGUUAGAGCUCAGGCAGCUUAAUGAUUCGAUUUAUAGUCCAACUGAACCAGGGUCACUGAUUCUCUAUAACAGAUGGGAUUUUGGAACACAACAAGAGGAGUGGAAGUUAAUCAGGUGAGGCACUAAAACAUGUUCUUUGAAAACACCCUAUUUUUUUAUUCUCAAAACAAAAAACCAUUUUUUGUUCUUUAGAUUUUGUCAAACCAAUUUGCCCUUAAUUCUCUACGUAUAUGGAACUAACAAAUGUAAAUGUAUAUUGUGAUCAUUUAGGGAAAAAGAUGAUGUUUACGAUCGGAUUUGGAAACCAUUAACACGGUCAUCUUGGUUGUCCAUUAAUUCAUCACUUGUAAGUUCUUCCUUUAGUACCUCUGACUAUAAACUACCGGGUAUUGUCAUGGCGACUGCUGCAACACCUGCAAAUGAAAGUGAAUCCUGGCGUAUCUCUUUAGGCAUAGAUGAUGAUCCUUCUCAAAAGUUGUACAUGUACAUGCACUUUGCGGAGGUUGAGGAUCUCAAAGGCCAAAUCAGAGAAUUUACCAUCUCCGUGAACGAUGAUGAGUCAUAUGCUGGACCUCUGACUCCUGGAUACCUUUUUUCAGUCACGGUAUAUAGCAAAUAUUCCGUGAGUGGAAGUACCACAAACAAAUUGUCCUUUUCACUAGAAAGGACAAACAGAUCCACGCUUCCACCAAUUAUCAAUGCUAUGGAGGUUUACAUGAUAAAAGAAUUCGCACAAUCAUCAACUCAACAAAACGAUGGUAGGUUCUCUUCUGUCCUGCUCUGUUACGUGUAUGUUCUAAUUUAGUUAUUGAGCAGGCCUGAACAUGAUCCAGCUUUAUUUAAUUACUGUUUUGUUUUUCUUGGACAAUCACUAGUUGAUGCAAUCAAGACGGUCAAAUCAGGAUAUGCAGUGAGCAGGAACUGGCAAGGAGACCCAUGUCUCCCAAUGGAAUACCAAUGGGAUGGCCUGACUUGCAGCCACAAUACUUCCCCUGCUAUAAUCUCAUUGUGAGUUUGGCAUUUCGAACAACUUUAUAUUUGUAGGGACUUAGUGGUGAAAAUUAUUAGAAGUAAUAAAGUUGGAUACGAUUUGUCAACACAACUCGACUCCAAUAGGCUUUUCAUGGAUUUUGAUUAAAUAUUAAUUGGGUUUAAGUGAAGUUUGAUAAAUAGAUAGUUUCUAAGGUCAACCUACAUGCAGUAAUUUCAUCUGGAUUAACUCAGUUGAUAAUACUACUGAUUGACUUCAUUGAAACUUCAGGUUAUUUAACCCAUAUUUGACUCAUUUUAAAUGUCUUUGAAUAAAUAAAUCAAUUAAAUCAAAAGCAUAUUUGGUUGAAACAUAUGUCAUAUGUAUUUAUAUAAGAUAUAACUCAACCUAAUUAUUAAAUAUGAAGACUUUAUUGUUAAAUGAGUUAAAUGGGUUACACAACAUGCUAUUUGUUUAUAUUUGUCAUGUCGGAUUCAAGUUAACCUAUGUAGUAGAAUAUUUAGGAUUUGACAGGACAUGAACGUGAUCCACCAAUAUAAAUUGUCACCUGUAAAUAUUAUUAAUCUUUUUCUAAUAAAUUACACAAAGGAUUUACUAAUAUAUGCCACUCUACUUGGCAAGCAGGAACCUCUCAUCCAGCAAUUUGUCCGGGAACAUACUUACUUCAUUUUUGAGUCUCAAAUCAUUACAAAAUCUGUAAGUAUUAGCAGCCAUGAGCAGUAUUAGUCACCUAAAAAAAUGGUGGCAGCAUGAAUAUCUUCUCUAUAAUCUGAUGGAGGCCGGAGGCCUUUGCUCAAAAUGCAUGCAACUCAAAUUAUUUCAGGGAUUUAUCAUACAACAACUUGACUGGACCUGUACCAGAUUUUUUUGCAGACUUUCCAUCUUUAAAAACUCUGUAAGUAAUUAACUUUUAGUUUGGGGAUAUUUGAAUACUUUAGGAUAUAUAUGCAGGUAAUCUGAGUAUUUGAUCUUGUCAUUGCAGGAAUUUAACGGGGAACAACCUAACAGGUUCGGUUCCACAGGCUGUUACGGAUAAGUUCAAGGAUGGAACUCUGAGGUUUGCUUAUUAAUGAUCUUUUCUAGUACUUGUUCUCAAUGUUUGUUUUUAGAAUUCUAGACUUCAAUAUCCAUAUAUUGUGAUUAUAAAGUUUAUUAAUUAAUUAGUGGACGUACCAUGUUCUAUUUUAUGCAAGUUUUGGAGAAAAUCCAAAUCUUUGUCCGUCCGUCUCGUGCCAAGGACAGAAAAAGAAGAAGAAGAAGAAGAACAAGUUCUUUGUUCCUGUUCUUACAUCCAUUCUGUCUGCGAUUGUGAUCCUGGUCCUCAUAGCUGCCCUUGCAAUCAUCCGGAAGUUGACCAAGAGGAGAGAAACCAAAGGUAUUUUCUUUCUUUCACUUUCAUUUUUUUCUAAGUGAGGAUUCAACAUUUUAUUACUCCAUUUUUGUUGUGAUUUCCUUAGCUACAACCAUAGAGACGGUCACUGAACGCCCCAAAGAAGGGCCAUUGAAGUCAGGGAAUUGUGAGUUCACUUACUCUGAGGUUGUGGGUAUCACCAAUAACUUUAAUCGCCCCAUUGGUAGAGGAGGAUUUGGAGAAGUUUAUCUAGGCACUUUGGCAGAUGACACUCAGGUUGCCGUCAAGGUUCAUUCUCCAUCAUCGAAUCAAGGCCCUAAGGCAUUUCGAGCGGAGGUUAGACAAAGCAAUCCAUCCAUGGCUCUACACUACUAUAAGUUCUCCAUCUGAUGUCAAGACACUAAAAAAUUUGAAAUAUUGCAGGCGAAACUCUUGACGAGAGUUCAUCAUAAAAACUUGGUUCGUCUAAUUGGGUACUGCGAUGACAGUACAAACAUGGUUCUCAUUUAUGAAUACAUGUCCAAUGGAAACCUGCAACAGAAGUUAUCAGGUAUAUAUAUAUAUGUAUUGACGACUCUUGAUCACAGGUAUAUAACUUUAAUUGGAAGCUACUCGUGGACUUUAAUGUUUAUGCAUUUGCUGUAGCGAGAGAAGCUGCAGAUGUUUUGAACUGGAAACAGAGACUUCAAAUUGCAGUAGAUGCAGCACAUGGUCAGUAAUUAAGCGGAGAUCUUCCACAUUAUAAUUAAUGUGCAUUCAAAUAUUUCUGUAAUUUGUGAUUCUUUUCUUGCUUAAUUGUGUAGGAUUGGAGUAUCUACACAAUGGCUGUAAGCCACCAAUAGUCCACAGAGACAUGAAAUCUUCCAACAUUCUAUUAACUGAAUCACUGCAAGCCAAGAUAGCGGAUUUUGGAAUGUCCAGAGAUCUUCAAAGCUUAUCAACCGACCCAGUAGGCACACCUGGAUAUUUUGAUCCUGAGUAGGUGUUAAUUAAUGACAUUAUUCCUUACAAUUUUUACAUAAUUGCUUCCUUAUUGAUCAUGAACUAUUAAUUACUUCCUAUAUAUGCAGAUGCCAGUCCACAGGAAAUUUGAAUGAGAAGAGCGAUGUUUAUAGCUUUGGGAUUGUUUUAUUGGAGCUAAUCACCGGCCGGCGUGCAAUAAUCCCUGGGGGCAUUCAUAUAGCUGGAUGGGUUAGUCCUAUGAUUGAAAGAGGGGAUAUUCGAAGCAUUGUUGAUCCAAGGUUACAAGGAGAUUUCAACACCAAUUCUGCCUGGAAAGCAGUAGAGAUAGCCUUAGCAUGUGUAGCAUCAACAGGAAUGCAAAGGCCAGACAUGAGUCAUGUAGUGGUAGACUUGAAGGAAUGUUUGGAGACGGAGAUGGCUUCCAGGAGAAUUCAGAGGGUAGGUGGCCACAGCAUCGGAUCAGGCAAUUUCCUAGAAAAUGUUCCCUUGGUUCUUAGCACUGAAGUGGCUCCCCAUGCUAGGUAGUUGUGGUUGUUUGACGCUAGUAGUUUCAGUUAAUGUGAUAGAUUUGAUUAAUGUUAGCAUGUGGGGAAUAUGGUGCGCUCCUCUAUAUUUUGAAUUGUGUCCAUGAAAAAUUUUAUAUUGGAUAAUUGUACCAACUUUUUCUCAGACUUUAGGCUAUAUUCAAUCGAAAAAUUUGAAAAGAAAUGCCAGAUAAAGAAAAUAGAGAAAAAAAAAAGUAAAAGAAAAAAAAAGUGAAGGAAUUGAAGUCAAUAAAUUACUUUUUAUAUUUUAUUUUACUUAUUUAAUUCUUCUAUAUAAAGAUUAAAUGAUUUAAAAGCAUAUAAAUUUCUUACAAAAUUUUAAAUUAUUUUAUUUUAUAUUUUUUUUGUAAAACAAAUAAGAAAAAAUUAUUUUUCUUAACAUUUUUUUUCUUUGAUACUUUUUAGAAACGAAAUAUAAUAUCUUGGGCAUGUUAUGAUUUUUCACUAUAUUGGGCAUGUUAAGGAAUCAAUUAAAAUAAAGGAAAAAGGCAAUUAAGUUAAUAUCUAGCUCCUGUACGAGCAAGAGUUAAUUCCCAUUAUAAAAUAUCAACAACAAUUGCAAGAGUUCUCAUAACUUCAUUUAGAAUUGAAUGAAUUAUGAAAUAUUAAUAAAAAUAGUGAACACAAGGAGUAGGAAUUUCUUUAUAGAAUUUUAAAAUUUUGUAAAUUUAUUUUCAAUUAACUUUUUAUUAAAAUUAAGUUAUUUUGAUGUUUUGGUUUUGUUUUUAAGUUAAAUAUCAUGAUAAAAUUUUAUAUAUAAACUUUAUUGAGAAAGAAAAGAAUAUAUAUAUAUAUAAAGACAAACAUAUUUAAGUCAUAUUUAGGCAAUUUUUCUAAUUUAUAAUAAAUUGAUUUCAAUAUAAAAUUAAAGUAGUGUAAUUUUUUAAACAAAAAUUAUCCUAAAUUUCCCGAAAUUAGACUUAAGUAUUAUAACAAAGUUAAAAAUUGAAAAAUAAAAUAAAAAAAAGAAGUGACGUUUUUCAUUAACAUAAAGUAAAAAAAAAGUAAAUAUUUUUUUCAUUAAGAAAAAAUUAUCUUAAAAAAAAAAAAGUGAUAGUUUAAAAUGUAAAUUGUUUGUAAAAUUUCUUAAUUUUUUUCCUAUCAUCAUCAUAUUAUAUUUAAUUAAAUUAAAAAGAGGAGUGAUCUAGCACAGUUGAAAACAAGUCCACAGUAGCAUUGUAACAAGUCUCCAACGACAUUGAAAUGGGUUCUAAUCUCUUCAAAACUCCUACCACAGACAAUAGACUGGCCCAGUCCAAACCACUCCAGCCCAGCCCAUUCCCCCCAACUAGCUAGGGGGCCCAACGUGCACUGGCACGCCUGCCAGCCACGUACCACUCCAAUGCUUAAAUAAACCCUUUAGGUGAAAUGAAUUGUCCAUGUGGGAUUAUAAUUGGAAUUAUGAAAAGGCAAGGAAAAAUCCAAGGAAAUGAACCGAUGCUUAAAUAAACCUUUUUGGUGAAAUGAAUUGUGACGUGGGAUUGUAAUUGGAAUUAUGAAAAGGCAAGGAAAAAUCCAAGGAAAUGGAAAAAAUGAAGUUUUAGGGAUUUGAACCUGUCCACCCCCUCAUAUUUUCUCACCAACACAACCGACCAACCAUGCUUGAUUUGAUAAAAUGUACACAUUUUAUGUAUAUAUCUAUAUAUAUAGAUUAUUAGCAUUAAAUAUAUUAACUAUAUAUAUAAACAAAUAUUAUAAAUUAUAUACAUAUAUUAUAAAUUAAUCAUAAUAAAAUUAUUAUAAAUAAAUUAUUUUUUGUGAUUGUGACUUUUAUAUAAUAAUUAUAUAUAAAAUAAAUAUAAAUUUUUAAAUAAAAUUAUCAAAAUUUUAAAAUAAAAAAUACUUAUACAAAUUAUCAUUAUUUAUUUUAUGUCAUUAAAUACACCCAAAUUAAAUGAUAAUGCAUAACGUAUGUUUUCAAAUCAUAAACAUAGUUGUUAAAUAUCACCACCAUGUAUAUAUCAUCAUUUAGUUUAUAUUAUUUAAUAUAAUUGAAUUAAAUAGAUCAUAAUUUUAAUAUUAAAUAUAUUUUAAAUUAAACAUAUUAUAAUUAAAUAUUAUAAUAUUAUUAUGUAAUAAUAUUUAUUGUAGUUUAAUAAUAAAUAUACACUUAUAAAAUUGAUAUUUUUUAUUUAUGUAUAUGAUAUUAUCAUCAAAUAUGAUAAAUCAUAACAUACAUAUAUCAAAUUUUUCAAUAAAACAACUUUAAAAUGUUUAUUAUGUUUCUAAUUAUAUUUCUACAAGGUUUUUCUUAUAUUUUCAUGAAUUUUGAUCAAUUUUAAGUCUAUCGAUAUUUUUUUUUAGAAUAUUCACUGAUAUAUCUCCGAUAUAUUUUAUAUAUCCAUAAAAUCGAAGUACCAAUAUAUUCGUGAUUACAGAUAUUUUCAUCCUUGAUUCUAAUAGCAUUUUUUAUUUAUAAUUAACUUUUUUAUCAUAAUUUUUCAUAGUUAUUAGCAAAUGCAUAAAAUACAAGUAAUGUUGACCAUUUUCAAAAUAUUCAUAAUAUAAUUAUAAUGAUUGAGAAAAAAAUGUUGGGUGAGCAUGAAAAUAAUUAUCAAUGAAUGAUAAUGAUAGGUCAAAAUAAAUAUUAAUAGGAGUAGAUGAUUAGAACAAACAAACAUUAUUAAGAAAAGAUAACUGAAAUAAACAAUCAAUAAAUGAAAUAAUGACAAUUAAAAAAUGUAAUUAUUAACAAAAGAUGACUAGAAAGAAUAGACAUCAUUAAAAAUAAAUAAAUAAAUGACUUAAAACAAUAAUCAACUAAUGAUCCCCCAAUUGAUGAUAGCCAAAAAGAUAAAGAUGACUCUUUAGAGCAAUCAUCGUUACCAAAAAUAACUUGUGUUUCCUUGUUAUUGUUUCCUUUUUUUCCUUGUAGUAGGUGAACAUGAAUAUUAAUAGUAUUUUUUUCUAAGUAUUCCACGUUUACUUGCUAUGUUCCUGCAUCUUCAUGCAUUUUCUAAUUGCCAUUAUCUCCAGAUUUCAAUUCAACCACAUGCCUAGUUGGCCCCCUCUCAAGUGUUAGUUUGGUAUGUCAUUCAACUUUGUUGUUAGUGUAUGAUAUAGACUACUCAGUAAAAUUCUAAAAUUUUGUCAAAAAAAUAAAAUAAAAUUGAAGGAUUGGUUGAAGAACUGGUUGAUUUAUACAAAUUAGAGUUUUUUUAUUUAUAAAUUAAAAAUUAUUACCCCAACCUUCCAAAUUGUAAUUUAAUUAAUGAAAAUUUUAUUUAUACCUUUGGUUUUCUUUGUUGUCCAUUCAAUAGGUGUCAUUCAUAAAUUUAUUGGUCAAUGGGCAUAAAAAUAAAAACAAAAACACCUUAGAAAGAAUAAUUUUGAAGGAGGAAAAAUCAUUAUCCGUUAAGAUUUAUAUGAAGACGUACUUUGAUUAAAUCCAUUAAGGGAGCAAUGGAACAUUUCCUUUGAUUUUCAAUUAUAUAUAUCAUGAGGCUGUCAAGCAUAAUUAGGAGCUUUAAGUCAAUACCCUUUCCCAACAAACACGUUGGAAGUCAACAUCAGCCCUAGUUCCCUCCAAGCUUUGGAGGCUUAGUAUACAAGGCUUUGUCUUUAAAGCUUGUUUCAGGCCCAUCUUAUCCAUACCUCCUCUCAUUUCCUUGAGCUUCACAUACUACACUUUCAUCAAGAUUUUUUUGCCCCUGGGUGUUCCAAGAUCUGAAACAGGGAUGGUAGACUGACAUUGACCUGGCUGAUCUUUCUUUCUAGUGAUUAUUUCCUUCCACAGCUUGGGAUGGGUUUCAGGGACCUUCCAUGAGAACAAGUCAGAUCCGCAAAAGAUCGCGGUCAGGGAAGGUAGGCAUUCGUUUUUGUUGGUGUAAGUUUGUUUUAGUGGUUCAUGUUCCCCUCUUGUCAAAUCCUAAACAUUCUACUAAAUAUAAUUCAUUAAAAAUAUAAACUCAAAUACUACUUAAUUUUCAUAUGGUAUUUUAAGGAAAUUUCUUUAAAAAAAAUAGUAUCUAAAUUGAUUUUCUGAUUGUCUUUUUAAAAAGAGAUUAAUUAAAUAAAAUAAGAAAAUAAAAUAUUAACAGGAUGCUUAAGCGCAUAUAAGUGAGAUACUAAGAACAUUUUAGGAAAAAAUAAAUAAAAAAGUUUGGAAAAGCAUUUCAGUCUUUUAUAUGUAAUAUAAUUUUAGAAAUAGAAAAAAAUAAUUAUCUAUAUUUUUCAUCUAGAAAUUUCAGUGAUCAUAUUUAACUUUCAUGUUAAAAUUAUUUUAAAUAAAUUAUGAUAUAUUUUUUUAAAGAGAAACAUUAUUUAAAUGAGUAUCUUUGAGAAAAGAAAAAUAUUAUCCAAAUUAAUUAAAUAAAGUAAUGAAAUGAUGUGGGCACGUAUAAGUAAGAUGAUUAGUACUUUAGGGGAAAAAAAGUCUAGUCACUUAGCUCUUUUUGUAUAUAUUAUAAAUAAAAGGUUGUUGGCAAAAUGUUUUUAACCUAUUUUAUAUGUUUUAAAUAUUUAAAAGAAAAAGUUUUAUAUUUUAUUCUUAAUAAUUCUCUACGUAACUAUUUUUUAAAACCAUUGCCAUAAAAAAAUGAAAAUAAAUAAAAACAACUUGAAAAUAUUUUUAAAAAAUAUCUUAAUUUAUUCUUUUUUAAGAAUAAAAAAUUGUUCCUAUUUUUUUUUAUUAUAAAACAUAUUUUCCUGAUUUAUUUUCAAAAAUAAUUUUGACUUGUAUGGUCUGUUUGGUACAUGAGAAUAUAAACGAAAUUAAGAGAAAAAUGAAGAUUAAUUACAUUUCAAAGUCCCUUUGCUUCUUUUUCUUUAAGCCAAAAUAUGAUGAAUUGACUCAGUUUUCAUAUGAUGCUAGUCUUCUUCCAACACAACAUGGCCCCACAGCUCUUAGCAUUUCCACUUAUUUAGCCCACUGAAUAUGAUGGGAAAGACCAACUUGGAUCGGAAAACAACAUCAAUGGUUUUGGCUCCAAUAACUUUCAUUCCAACAAUUCAAAGCUAGCUUAGUAUUUUUUUUAUUUUCCACAUCACCAGCCCAAAACCUAACUUUCCCAUAAUUUUCUAUACGUUAAGGACAGUGAAACUUCCUGUUGUGUACACUUGAUGGGAAAGAUCAAAUCAAUUAUGUGAAAACUUAUGAAUUUCCAACGAAUUUCCAAUGUUGAAAAUCUUAGAUUUUACACAUUCAUUGUAAUUUAGGCCACUAUUUAAUAUUUUUCCAAAAACUCAAAUAAAUUUAUAAAUAGUUUUGUUUAUUCACCUUUAGAGUCCGUUUAAUAUUAAUUUUACGAAAAAUCUCUAAUUUUUUUAACAUUCAAAAUUUUUUAUUUUUCAAGUAUUAUAAAGAUUGAAAAUGUUUUUUAGAAUUAUUGUCAAAUCACUCUUAAUUUCUCUUUUUUUCAAUAAAAAUAAUUUAUAAAAUAUAAAUUAUUAUUCAAAGUUGUUUCUUUGUUGCAUAUUUAAAUUAUUAUACAUUGAUUCCACUAUAAAUUAAAAUACAAUUUAGUUGAAGAAUUGUUGAUUUAUACAAAUUAGAGUUUUUUUAUUUAUAAAUUAGAAAAUGCCCAAAUUGUAACUCAAUUGAUGGAAAUUUUGAAAAACUUCAAUUUUUAAAGUUUUUUCUUAGAAAAAAAAAAAAAGAAAAUUGUUGUUUGAUCAAUAUCAAGCAUAUAUGGAUUUUUAUUUAUAUCUUUUUGUUUUUUUUUUUCUGUUACGCGUUUUAGAGGUGUCAUUUAUAAAAUUAUUGGUCAAUAGGCAUGAAAAUAAAAACAAAAACACCUUAGAAAGAAUAAUUUUGAAGGAAGAAAAAUCAUCAUUCACUAAAUUUAUAUCAAGAGAUACUUUGAUUAAAUCCAUUAAGGGAGCCAUGCAAUAUUUUGUUGUUAAGAAUAAAUGGUACUAGAGAAUAUAAACGAAAUUAAGAUAAGAAUGAAAAUUAAUUACAAUUCAAUGUAGAAAAUAUCGUUCUGGUUUGAUAAAUUGGAUAUACAAUGGAUCCAUCUUCCUCAUAUUGGAUUUGCCUUCAUUUUACAUUGAUGAUCCCCAAAGUUCAAAAAUGUAAUAACAAUAGACUCUAUUAAUUCAAAGUCUUUUUCCUCCUGUGAAACUUUAGAGUUCCUUUGCUUGUUUUUCUUUGAACCAAAAUACAAUGAAUUGACUCAGUUUUCAUAUGAUGCUAGUCUUCUUACUACACAACAUGGCCCCACAGCCCUUAGCAUUUCCAAUUAUUUGGCCCACUAAAUAUGAUGGGAAAGACCAACUUGGAUAGGAAAAAAAACAUCAAUGGUCCAAGAGCUUCCAUUGCAACUUCUUAAAGCUAGCUUACUUUUUUUUUUUUUUUACAUGAAAAAUGCUAAGAUAUCAAAGUAAUAUCUAUUCAAAAUCAAAAUUUGGAUUAUUAUUAUUAUUAUUAUUAUUAUAUAUAGUGAAAUCUAAGUAAUUGAAUGAGCAUACAAACAAAUAAGAUUAAAUUAUAAAAACACAAAUAAAUGAGAUUAAAAUAAAAUAAAAUUGAAAGAUUGGUUGAAGAACCGGUUGAUUUAUACAAAUUAGUGUUUUUUUAUUUAUAAAUUAAAAAUUACUACCCCAACCUUCCAAAUUAUAAUUUAAUUAAUGAAAAUUUUGUUUAUAGGUUUUUAUUUAUACCUUUUGUUAUCUUUGUUGUGCAUUCAAUAGGUGUCAUUUAUAAAUUUAUUGGUCAAUGGGCAUGAAAAUAAAAACAAAAACACCUUAGAAAGAAUAAUUUUGAAGAAGGAAAAAUCAUUAUCCGCUAAGAUUUAUAUCAGGAUGUACUUUGAUUAAAUCCAUUAAGGGAGCCAUGGAACAUUUCCUUUAAUUUUCAAUUAUAUAUAUUAUGAGGCUGUCAAGCAUAAUUAGGAGCUGAUCAUGGCAGCCCAAGACAUACGCUUUAAGUCAAUACCCUUUCCCAACAAACACGUUGGAAGUCAACAUCAGCCCUAGUUCCUCCAAGCUUUGGAGGCUUAGUAUACAAGGCUUUGUCUUUAAAGCUUGUUUCAGGCCCAUCUUAUCCAUACCUCCUCUCAUUUCCUUGAGCUUCACUUUCGUCGAGAUUUUUUUUCCCCUGGGUAUUUCAAGAUCUGAAACAUGGAUGGUAGACUGACAUUGACCUGGCUGAUCUUUCUUUCUAGUGAUAAUUUCCUUCCACAGCUUGGGAUGGGUUUCAGGGACCUUCCAUGAGAACAAGUCAGAUCCGCAAAAGAUCGCGGUCAAGGAAGGUAGGCAUUCAUUUUUGUUGGUGUAAGUUUGUGCUAGAGGUUCAUGUUCCUGUCUUGUCAAAUCCUAAACAUUCUACUAAAUAUAAUUCAUUAAAAACUCAAAUACUGCUUAAUUUUCAUAUUAUCUUUUAAGGAAAUUUCUUUAAAAAAAAUAAUAUCUAAAUUGAUUUUCUGGUUGUCUUUUAAAAAAGAGAUUAAUUAAAUAAAAUAUUAACAAGACACAUGUAAGGCAUAUAACUGAGAUACUAAGAACAUUUUAGGAAAAAAAAAAGUCAACAAGCAUUAGAAAUAGAAAAAAAUAAUUAUCUAUAUAUAUCAUCUAGAAAUUUCAGUGAUUAUAUUUAACUUUCAUGUUAAAAUUAUUUUAAAUAAAUUAUGGUAUAAUUUUUUAAAGAGAAACAUUAUUUAAAUGAGUAUCUUUGAGAAAAGAAAAAUAUUAUCCAAAUUAAUUAAAUAAAGUAAUGAAAUGAUGUGGACAUCUAUAAGUGAGAUGAUCAGUAUUUUAGGGGAAAAAAAAGUCUAUAGACACUUAGCUCUUUUGUAUAUAUUAUAAAUAAAAGUUUGUCGGAAAACUUGAAAUGUUUUUAACAUAUUUUAUAUGUCUUUUAAUAUUUAAAAGAAAAAAUUUUAUAUUUUAUUCUUAAUAAUUCUCUACCUAAUUAUUUUUUAAAACCAUUGCUAUAAAAAAAAUGAAAAUAAAUAAAAACAACUUGAAAAUAUUUUUAAAAAAUAUCUUAAUUUAUUGUUUUUAAGAAUAAAAAAUUAUUCCUAUUUUUUAUUAUAAAACAUAUUUUCCUGAUUUAUUUUCAAAAACAGUUUUUAAUUUUGACUUGUAUGGUCUGUUGGGUACAUGAGAAUAUAAACGAAAUUAAGAGAAAAAUGAAGAUUAAUUACAUUUCAAAGUCCUUUUGCUUCUUUUUCUUUAAGCCAAAAUAUGAUGAAUUGACUCAGUUUUCAUAUGAUGCUAGUCUUCUUCCAACACAACAUGGCCCCAUAGCUCUUAGCAUUUCCACUUAUUUAGCCCACUGAAUAUGAUGGGAAAGACCAACUUGGAUAGGAAAACAACAUCAAUGGUUUUAGCUCCAAUAACUUUAAUUCAUUGCAACAAUUCAAAGCUAGCUUAGUAUUUUUUUUUCUACAUGAAAAAUGUUAAGAUAUCGUGGUCAUACCUAUCGAAAUUGAAAUUUGAAUCAUUCAAUAUAUAUAGUGAAAUCUAAAUUGAACGAUGAUACAAACAAAUAAAACUAAGAUAUAAAUAUAUAAAUAAAUAAAACUAAGAUGCAAAUAAUGAAAUUUAAAAAUAUAUAUGAUAUCCUCAUAUUGGUGAUGUUUUUUCAAUACAUAUAAAAAAAAAAGGUUGUUAUGUUUCGGCAUCUUCCUUGUCCAAUUUUCCAUUGACAAAUUUUGUACAUUAUUCAAUUUUGUUGUUAGUAUGAUAUUUGAAAAUUCAAAAAUUUUGUACACUAGUCAAUAAAAUUCGAAAAUUUUGUAAAAACUUAAAAUAAAAACAAAAAAUGAAGAGUUUGUUGAUUUCAUCAUUUCAUAAUUACAAAGAAUCAUAACACUUGAGUGAGUGAUUGGUUCUUAUUUGAAACUUGAAUAUAUAGAUUUGAAUUUGUUUCAAAUAUGAAUAGUAAUUAAUAUGAAAUAAUAACUAUACUUCAAUUUUAGACAAAAAUUAAAAUUUUGAAUUUUUUGUAUUGACAUAAAAAUUAAAUAAUUUUUUUUUUUUUUUUUGUCGAGUCACAAUGGAUGAAUGGUACUGCAUGAAACCUUCCAAAUUAAUGUAGUCAAGUUUGCAUUGUUUUAUGUCUGUAUUCAUAGUUAGAAAAUUAUUGAAUGAAGUUUUUCAAUAGGUAUCGAAAAGCAAGUCUUCAAUAUCUUAGCCAAACCCUAGUAUCCUCUAUAUCUUUCCUUUUCUUAUUUUCCACUUGAUGGGAAAGAACAAGUCAAUGAUAUUGGAACUCAUGAAUUUCUAAUGAGUUUCCAAUGUCUAUAUUGGUUAUGAAAAUAGAAUCCGUAGACUGAGAGAAUAAUUUUGAAGGAGGAGAAAUCAUUAUCCACUAAGAUUUAUAUCAAGAGGUACUUUGAUUAAAUCCAUUAAGGGAGCCAUGGAACAUUUUCUUUAAUUUUCAAUUACAUAUAUUAUGAGGCUGUCAAGAAUAAUUAGGAGCUGAUCAUAGCAACCCAAGACAUACGCUGCAAGUCAAUACCCUUUCCCAACAAACACGUUGGAAGUCAACAUCAUUCCUACUUCCUCCAAGCUUGGGAGGCUUAGUAUACAAGGCUUUGCCUAUAAAGCUCGUUUCCGCUCCACGUUAUCCGCUACAUGUUAUCCAUAUCUCUUCUUCUUUCCUUAAUCUUCACCACUUCAGUUUCAUCCAGAUUUUGUUGCCUCUUUGGUGCUUCAAGCUCUGAAACAACAUGGAUGGUGGACUAACAUUGACCUGGCUGAUCGUUCUUCUGGUUAUUAUUUCCUUGCACAACUCGAGAUGGGUUUCAGGGACCUUCCAUGAAAACCAGUCUAGUCGGCGGAAGCUCACGGCGAAGGAAGGUAGGUAUUCAUUUUUAUCGUAGGUGUCAGUUCAUGUUAGUGGUCAUAUUCGUAUCAUGUCAGGUUCUAGGCAUUCUAGUAAAUAUAUAAGUCAUUAAAAAUAUAAAAUCAAAUGCUAUAUAAUUAUUAAACAUGUAACACAUUGUGUAACUCAUUUAACAAUCAAGUUUUUAUAUUUAAUAAUUUGAUUGAGUUAGGUUUUGUUUAAGCAUAUAUGAUCACCAUCUCAAUCAAAACAUGUUCGUAGUUCAAUUGACUUAUUUAUUCAAAAUGAUAUUUAAAUAAUUUAAAGUUAUAAUUAGGUUAAUCAGUAUGUAGUAAAUUGGUGAGAUCAAAUUCGUGUUAUAUAAAUUCAUCCAAAAACUAUUUAUUUAUUAAAUGUAUUAUGUAUAUUAAUACAAGUUUAGUUUAACCGUGAUUAUACUCAUCUUAUACCCAUAAAAAGUAUAUUGGGUUCAAAUCAUGUUGACAAAUUGUAUCAAACUUUGUCGCUCCGAAUUUUUAUACAAUUUAGCACCAUCUUGCAACAACAUAUUUCUCUUCAUAAAAUAAGGAGCUAGUUGUAGUGUAGAUAAGCAUAUUCAUUACAAAGUCUGCUUAGUUUGAAUGAGUUUGAAACUUUGUAGGGUUCAUAAGCAUCGAUUGUGGGAUAGCUCCGGGCUCCUAUUAUACAGAUAGUGAAACCGAGAUAUAUUACACUUCGGAUGCAGGAUUCACAGAUACUGGAAUCAAUUAUAACGUUUCCGAAGAAUAUGUUUAUCAAAAUAACGAUCAACAUCUCAAGAACGUUAGAAGCUUCCCAGAAGGAGACAGGAACUGUUACACCUUAUGGCCAGGACAAGGCAAGAAUCAUAAGUAUUUGAUCAGGGCUCGGUUCUUGUAUGGGAAUUAUGAUUCCAAGAAUCAACUUCCAAUCUUCAAACUAUAUCUAGGUGUUGACGAAUGGACCACAGUGAAUAUAAGAAAUGUCACUUCUACUUACAGGAAGGAAAUCAUACACAUACCAAUUACAGAUUACAUAGAUGUGUGUCUGGUAAACAUCGGUUCGGGGACACCAUUCAUAUCAGUGUUAGAGCUCAAACGGCUUAAUGAUUCGAUUUAUAGUCCAGCUGAACCAGGGUCACUGAUUCUCUAUGACAGGUGGGAUUUUGGUACACAACAAGAGGAGUGGAAGUUAAUCAGGUGAGGCACUAAAACAUGUUCUUUGAAAACACCCUAUUUUUUUAUUCUCAAAACAAAAAACCAUUUUUUGUUUUUUAGAUUUUGUCAAACCAAUUUUCCCUUAAUUCUCUACGUAUAUGGAACUAACAAAUGUAAAUGUAUAUUGUGAUCAUUUAGGGAAAAAGAUGAUGUUUACGAUCGGAUUUGGAAACCAAAUACAUGGUGGUCUUGGUUGUCCAUUAAUUCAUCAGUUGUAAGUUCUUCCUUUAGUACCUCUGACUAUAAACUACCGGGUAUUGUCAUGGCGACUGCUGCAAAACCUGCAAAUGAAAGUGAAUCCUGGGGUAUCUCUUUAAGCAUAGAUGAUGAUCCUUCUCAAAAGUUGUACAUGUACAUGCACUUUGCGGAGGUUGAGGAUCACAAAGGCCAAAUCAGAGAAUUUACUGUCUCCGUGAAUGAUGAACCAUUUAGUGGGCCUGUGGCUCCUAGACUCCUUUUUUCGGACACCGUGUCUAGCAAAUAUUCCAUUAGUGGAAGUACCACAAAGAAAUUGUCCUUUUCACUAGAAAGGACAAACAGAUCCACGCUUCCGCCAAUUAUUAAUGCUAUGGAGGCUUACAUGAUAAAAGAAUUCCCACAAUCAUCAACUCAACAAAACGAUGGUAGGCUCUGUUCCGUUCUGUUAGAUAUAUAUAUUCUAACUUAGUUAAAAUGGUCCAGCUUUACUUAAUUCCUUUCCUGUUUUUCUUGGAAAAUACUAGUUGAUGCAAUCAAGAGGAUCAAAUCAGAUUACGCAGUGGGCAGGAACUGGCAAGGAGACCCAUGUCUCCCCAUGGAAUACCAAUGGGAUGGCCUCACUUGCAGCCAUAAUACUUCCCCUACUGUAAUCUCAUUGUGAGUUUGCCAUUUCGAACAACUUCAUGUUUGCAGGGAUGUACUGGUGAAAGUUAUUAGGAGUUAAAAGUUUGAUAUGAUUCAUUAACAUGACUCAAACUCACCAAGUUUUUCAUGAUUUUGGGUCAAGUAUAAUUGAGUUUAAGUAAAAUUCAUGUCGGCUUACAUAACUUGUUUAAUAAAUAAGUAGUUUUUAAGUUUAUAUAAUACGAAAUUGAUCAAAAUUGACUCAUUUAAUAAUCCUAUUGAUUAACCUCAUUAUAAAUUUUGGUUAUUUAACUCAUAAUUGAUUUAUUAUAAAUUUGUUUUUAAAUAGAUGGAUUAAUUGAGCUAAAAGCAUAUUUAGUGGAGACACAUAUCAUAUAUACUUAUACAAAGACCUAAUUCGACUUUGAUUAUUAAAUAUAAAGACUUGAUUAUUAAAUGGGUUACAUAACCUACUACUUGUUUAAUAUUUAGGUAGCAUUUGAGUUUAUGUUUUUAGCAUGAUUGUCAUGCUAGAUUUGGGUUGACCUAUGCAAUAGAAUAUUUAAGCUUUGACAUGACAUGAUCCAUCAAUAUAAAUUGCCAACCAUAAAUAUUAUAAAUCUUUUUCUAAUAAAUGACACAAAGGAUUUACUAAUAUAUGCCACUCUACCUUGCAAGCAGGAACCUCUCAUCUAGCAAUUUGUCCGGGAAUAUACUUACUUCAUUUUUGAGUCUCAAAUCAUUACAAACUCUGUAAGUAUUAGCAGCCAUGAGCAGUAUUAGUCACCUAAAAAAAUGGUGGCAGCAUGAAUAUCUUCUCUAUAAUCUUUGCUCAAAAUGCAUGCAACUCAAAUUAUUUCAUGGAUUUAUCAUACAACAACUUGACUGGACCAGUACCAGAAUUUUUUGCCGACUGGCCAUCUUUAAAAACUCUGUAAGUAAUUAACUUUUAGUUUUGGGAUAUUCGAAUACUUUAGGAUAUAUAUGCAGGUAAUCUGAGUAUUUGAUCUUGUCUUUGCAGGAAUUUAACGGGGAACAACCUAACAGGUUCGGUUCCACAGGCUGUUACGGAUAAGUUCAAGGAUGGAACUCUGAGGUUUGCUUAUUAAUGAUCUUUUCUAGUACUUGUUCUCAAUGUUUGUUUUUAGAAUUCUAGACUUCAAUAUCCAUAUAUUGUGAUUAUAAAGUUUAUUAAUUAAUUAGUGGACGUACCAUGUUCUAUGUUAUGCAAGUCUCGGAGAAAAUCCAAAUCUUUGUCCGACCGUCUCGUGCCAAGGACAGAAAAAGAAGAAGAAGAAGAACAAGUUCUUUGUUCCUGUUCUUACAUCCAUUCUGUCUGCGAUUGUGAUCCUGGUCCUCAUAGCUGCCCUUGCAAUCAUCCGGAAGUUGACCAAGAGGAGAGAAACCAAAGGUAUUUUCUUUCUUUCAGUUUCAUUUUUUUCUAAGUGAGGAUUUAACAUUUUAUUACUCCAAUAUUUUUGUUGUGAUUUCCUUAGCUACAACCAUAGAGACAGUCACUGAACGCCCCAAAGAAGGGCCAUUGAAGUCAGGGAAUUGUGAGUUCACUUACUCUGAGGUGGUGGGUAUCACCAAUAACUUUAAUCGCCCCAUUGGUAGAGGAGGAUUUGGAGAAGUUUAUUUAGGCACUUUGGCAGAUGACACACAGGUUGCCGUCAAGGUGCAUUCUCCAUCAUCAAAUCAAGGCCCUAAGGCAUUUCGAGCGGAGGUUAGACAAAGCAAUCCAUCCAUGGAUUUACAGUACUAUAAGUUCUCCAUAUGAUGUCAAGACACUAAAAAAUUUGAAAUAUUGCAGGCGAAACUCUUGACAAGAGUUCAUCAUAAAAACUUGGUUCGUCUAAUUGGGUACUGCGAUGACAGUACAAACAUGGUUCUCAUUUAUGAAUACAUGUCCAAUGGAAACCUGCAACAGAAGUUAUCAGGUAUAUAUAUAUAUGUAUUGACCACUCUUGAUCACAGGUAUAUAACUUUAAUUGGAAGCUACUCGUGGACUUUAAUGUUUAUGCAUUUUCUGUAGCGAGAGAAGCUGCAGAUGUUUUGAACUGGAAACAGAGACUUCAAAUUGCAGUAGAUGCAGCACAUGGUCAGUAAUUAAGCGGAGAUCUUCCACAUUAUAAUUAAUGUGCAUUCAAAUAUUUCUGUAAUUUGUGAUUCUUUUCUUGCUUAAUUGUGUAGGAUUGGAGUAUCUACACAAUGGCUGUAAGCCACCAAUAGUCCACAGAGACAUGAAAUCUUCCAACAUUCUAUUAACUGAAUCACUGCAAGCCAAGAUAGCUGAUUUUGGAAUGUCCAGAGAUCUUCAAAGCUUAUCAACUGACCCAGUAGGCACACCUGGAUAUUUUGAUCCUGAGUAGGUGUUAAUUAAUGACAUUAUUCCUUACAAUUUUUACAUAAUUGCUUCCUUAUUGAUCAUGAACUAUUAAUUACUUCCUAUAUAUGCAGAUGCCAGUCCACAGGAAAUUUGAAUGAGAAGAGUGAUGUUUAUAGCUUUGGGAUUGUUUUAUUGGAGCUAAUCACCGGCCGGCGUGCAAUAAUCCCUGGGGGCAUUCAUAUAGCUGGAUGGGUUAGUCCUAUGAUUGAAAGAGGGGAUAUUCGAAGCAUUGUUGAUCCAAGGUUACAAGGAGAUUUCAACACCAAUUCUGCCUGGAAAGCAGUAGAGAUAGCCUUAGCAUGUGUAGCAUCAACAGGAAUGCAAAGGCCAGACAUGAGUCAUGUAGUGGUAGACUUGAAGGAAUGUUUGGAGAGGGAGGUGGCUUCCAGGAGAAUUCAGAGGGUAGGUGGCCACAGCAUCGGAUCAGGCAAUUUCCUAGAAAAUGUUCCCUUGGUUCUUAGCACUGAAGUGGCUCCCCAUGCUAGGUAGUUGUGGUUGUUUGGCGCUAGUAGUUUCAGUUAAUGUGAUAGAUUUGAUUAAUGUUAGCAUGUGAGGAAUAUGGUGCGCUCCUCUAUAUUUUGAAUUGUGUCCAUGAAAAAUUCUAUAUUGGAUAAAUUUACCAACUUUUCCUUAGACUUUAGGCUAUAUUCGGUCCAAGAAAGUUUGAAGGAAAAUGAGAGACAAAGAAAAUAGAUAGGAAGAGUAGAAGAAAAAAAAAAGUGACGGAUUUAAAGUCAAUAAAUUAUUUUUAUAUCAUAAUUCAAACUUAUUUUACUUAUUUAACUCUUUUAUAUAAAGAUUAAAUAAUUUAAAAGCAUAUAAAUCUCUGACAAAUUGUUAUAAUAUUUUAUUUUCUUUUGUAUUUUUUUUAUGACACAAAUAUGAGAAAAUCAUUUUCUUUAAAAAAAAAUUUUGACACUUUUUAGGAACAAAAGAUAGCCAUAUUUAAAAAUCAACCCUUAGUUCAAGCUAGUACACUAUGAUAUUUCACAUGUUAAGGAAUCAAUUAAAACAAAGGAAGAAGGCAAUUAAGUUGGUAUCUAGCUCAUGUACGAGCAAGAGUUCCCAUAAUAACAUGUCAACAAUAAUUGCAUAGUGACCACAUGUAGUAGAAAUUUCAUUCAAUUUUAAAAUUUUAUAAAUCAACUUUUUAUUUAAGCUAAGUUAUUUCUAUGUUUUGGUUUUGUUUUUAAGUUAAAUAUCAUGAUAAAAUUUUAUAUAUUGAGAAAGAAAAGAAAAAUAUAUAAAAACAAAACAUAUUUAAGUCAUAUUCAAAUUUUUAUGACAAUUUAACUAAUUUAUAAUAAAUUAAUUUCAAUAUAAAAUUAAAGUAAUUUAAUUUUUUAAACAAGAAUUAUCCUAAAUUAGAGUUUAAGUAUUAUAAGAAAGUUAAAAAUUGAAAAAAAAAUGAAGAAAAGAAGUGGCGUUUUUUAUUAAGAACAAAUUAUCUUUAAAAAAAUGUGAUAGUUUAAAAUGUAAAUUGUUUGUAAAGUUUCUUAGUUAAUUUUAAAGCAACUUGGGGUGUUGAUUAAUAGCAUGUUCUUAUGCGCAUGUCCCCUAUCUACUUGUUAUGCUCCUACAUCUUCCAAUUUUCCAAUGGCAAUAAUUCUUAUAUUUAUAUCAUACUUUGUGGCACUAUAAGAGAAGUAAGAUAUAGUCACAGAGUUUUAGGAGAGCUUAGUAAAAUCCAUAGCUAAUAAGUAUAUAUAACCUCAUAGCUAGUUGAGUCGUAGUGAAUAGAAUGUAAUGUUUUGAGCUAUAGGAAAAGGAAUUUCCCAUGAGGCAUAUGGUUGUAGGAUUAAUUGGACCACAACAAAUGAGUAAGCAUAUGGUUGCAAGCUUGAUUGAAAGUAGCUAUAAAAUCCCUUAUUGCCGCAUAACAAAGAUGGUUGCUAUCAUAUAAGAUCUCCCUAUUGUCAUGGAACACAGGUGGCCACUACUAAAUUAUUGCCUUUGUCACUACCAUAAUAUUACUAUAUAAGCUACCCUACAUUUCUCUCCUACUCCCCUUGCCAAACCCAUUUCUAUUCACCCUCAUUAUUGUAGGGAAUAUUUGUACUUCUUCAUUCUGUGUCCCUAGAUCUUGUAGGGUGCAAGUAUUUGUCCUAGGUUUUUCUAAAUCUAUCAAAGCAAAAACAUACGACUACAAAAACCAUAUUAAGAUAAAUAAAUAAAAAUUAGAGAAAAAAAAACUCAUACUUGAAUUUAGAUGUUCCCAAAUCAAUUCUUGGUAAUAAAGAACAUAUUUGAAGGUUUCAUACACCCAAGAUCUUCUACUCAAUGACUCAUCAAAAAAGUGUUGGAAACCAUAACCUCUAAGGGGUAUUUAUAGGGUUCCUCAAGUGAGCUUAAGUAACUUGAGUCCACCAAAAUUUAGGUCACUUAAUCCAGCCCAGAAUGGGUCAUAAUUUAUUAACUAACCACAAAAGAUCAUCUAUUUAAUCAAUUAAUACAAUCCAGAUACUUUGUUCACUAUCAUUUAUACAACUUUACGUAAUUAUCAAAAUAUCCUUAUGCAUAAGAGUGAACCUAGAGUCAAUCUAACCCUCAUAAUUUGUGUUAUCAUGAUAUUAAAACUUUUCACAUAAAAAAAUUAACUCAUCCUUUCAAAAGACAAAUUUAGUGCAAUGUCCUUUAAAAUGAUGAGCUUAAUAUAAAAAUGAAUUUAUAUUUUGAAAAAAAAAAAUGAGUUCACUAAAUAAAACAAGUGGUGAAAAAUGUGUUUUUGUGUCAUUUAAUUUAUUGUUAUUGUGAUAUUGACUAGUCAAUAAAUUAUAAAAUCUUUGAAAAAAAAAAAAGGGCUGGUUGAUUUCUUCUUUUCAUAAUCAUCAAGAGUUUCAUUGAAUAAGUUUGCUUACCUUCACAAAUUGUUUUAGAUAAAAAUUAUUACAAGGAAUGAUAAUGAUUAAGUGGAUGUUUUGUUUGGUUUUUAUAACAUUUGGAGAUAUUUGAAUUUGUUUCAAAUAUAGAUAAAAAGUAAUAUAAAAUGAUCAUUACACUUCAAUUUUAGACAAAAUAAAAUAAAAUUUAUAAUUUACAUAAAAUUAAUUAAUAAUUAAUUUUUGUUUCUUUUGGUGUAAAAAGCUUAGUCAAAAGAAAAGAAUCAAGACAAUUUUUGUUCAUUUAUUCAUACUAGCCAUACAACACAUGUGAUGCACAUGGGUGAUGUUUGAGUAAUGUUUGAUCUCUUAUUCAUAUACUAUAUUUAUUUACCUUUUUAUAGUAAUGUGAACCUUUAGUUUUUUUAGUCAUCAUAACUCUUAGAGAUCAAAUUCAAAAAAUAUUAAUAAUUUAGUAUUUCAAAAAAAAAAAUCCUUUUGAAUUUAUUAAUUAGGAUAUAUAAAAGUUAAAACCUACAUAUAAAUUUAUUUUUACAAUCAUCUAGAAUUUCCUACCUAUUAUUACUUAAAAUAAUUUUUUUUAACUCAAAAUUUAUUUAUAUUCAUCCAGAAAAUUUCUACAUAUUAUUACUUUAAAUAAAUUAUUUUAACUCAAAAAUUAUUAGAAUAACUUUAACAAAUAUGUAGAAUAUCGUUUAAUGUCUAAUUUUUUUUAAUAAUAAUUAUUUUUAUCAUUAUGUUGCAUAAGAGCUCACAUUUGAAGUUGUUGUUUAUACAUAUCUUUUAAUUUUUUGCAAAUCACUAUUGCAAUAAAUUCCCUAAAUUGAAAUUUAUAAUGGUAAUUAUAAAAAUCAAAUUUCUAAAAUACUAAUAAUUUAAUGUUUAAUAAGUAAAAGUGAUUGGUAUCACAUCUUUUUGUCAUUCACAAUGAAAUGACUUUUUUAAUAAAAAAAAUUGAAUUCUCAUUUUAUUUAUUAAUAAUAAUUAUUUGAAAAAAUAGAUUAACAAAUCAUAUUGGUGAAACCCCUCAAAUGGAAAGGGAUAACAUUAUGAAGAUAAUUGCUAACUGAAUUAUUUUUUGCCAAAAAAAUAAUUUAAAUUAAAUUUAGGAGUUGUCUAUAUACAUUCAUUAUUAAAAAAUAGUAGUUUGAUAAUAAAUUUUUUGCUUUAAAUAAUUUAUAAAUAAAUUAAAAUAAUAUAUAAAAUAACAUAUUAAAAAUACAAUAUCCAUUAAUAAAUAAUAUUUGUAAACACAUAAAUCCAAUAUAUUAUAUUAAUAGAUAAUAUAUUAUAAUAAUAUAAGAUUAUCUUUUACGUUUAUUUAAAUUAUUUAUAUUUUUAUAAUUAAGUAAUUAACUUAGUUUUUAUACCUAUCUUAUAGGUUAUGUAUUUUUUUAAUAAUUUAAAUAUUUAAUUUUACCACUGUUUCAUUUAAAUUAUUUAAAUUGAAAUUUAUUAUUAUGAUAAAUGUAGAUAUGUAGAUCAAUUUAAUUUUUGAAAAUUAAUUUUAAUUUUCAAUUUUUAAUAGAUAGUAUCUUUCCUAUUGUAAAAUUAAAUUUUAAUACUUAAUAAUAUGAUAAAUCUUGAGGGGUAGAAUAUCAACAAUUUAUUUUUAUUUUAAAUUAUUUAAAUUUUUUUUUUUUUUAAUAGAUAGUAUUCAUAGUAUCGUAAAUUAAUUAAUUUUUAAUACUUAGUAAUGAUGUAUAUAAUAUUGUAUCCCUUUCUAUUUCUAUCAUAUCGCUUCGUAUUUGUUGUUCCCAAAUGAUUUUUUUAAUAUAAUUUAACUUUAAAUUAUUUUUAAUUAUUAGUUUAUAAUAAUUAAUAAUGACAGGUGUCAUAUCUCUUUAUUAUUCUCAUUAAAAUGACUUUUUAAUAUAAAAAAUUGAAUUAUCAUUUUAUUUAUCACUUUUUUCAUACUUCCUAUUAAAUGUAUUAGCCCAAGAGUUCUCUUAAUCAUGUUUUGAUGAUAACAUACUAUAGUUAAGUUGUUAAUCAUUUUGAAUUAUAAUUUUAUGUUUUAGUUUGGAAAUUCAAAAGGAUAUCUAAGAAAAUCAUCAAAUGACCAAUUGAAUGCAAGAUCGAGGUAUAUAUAAAACUUUACAAUCUUAUGAAACAUAUGUAAGAUGAAUGCAUUGGUGCACUUAGGAUUUUCAUAUCUUUCAUGCAUAUUUUAAAACUUGAUUUAUGCAUUAAAGUUAAAUUUUCAUUAAAAUUCAAGUUUUCUUAUACAAACCUUAGGCAAAUUGUUUUAAAUUUAACUUAUUAGUACUCUUAAAGACCUUGCUUAAGUAUCAAAAGUGAAAUGAAUAAAAAAAAAGUUUUCAAGCCAAAAUAUAGGUUGACCACGGUUGAGGACUAGUUGAGGAAUGUAAAAAAUCUUCUCAUUUCCAGUAGCUAUGCAUUCCCAAUCGAUGGGAAAAUCCUCCCGAUCAACGUCCGAUUCAAGCCCAAUGAUCACCUGUCAUGCAUUUACUACCUAAUAGCUAGUCAACUAAUCAACACCCAACUUGACCAAUGGAGACUACAUUUUAGCAUUUUUGGCUCCCGAAACUAGAAACUUAUAAAUUGAAAGUUCUACUUUAUUUAUGAGCAAAAGACCUGCAUUUAAUUGUUUAACUACCUAUUCUUCACUCAAAAGUUUUUAUUCUCUCUUUGCUGCAUUGAAUCCUCAAUUGCAUACUCUUUAGUACACCCUUGUCAUUCCUCCUAGCAUUUCAAUCAUAUUUGAGCCUUUAUUAUGCUUAGUUAAGAGAUUUCCAUCUAUAUUUUGAGUGUUUUCGUGAGUGUUAAAAGUUUCAAGUGAGUAGAGACUUGAAGGAUUGUGUAAGAGCCCAAUAGAGUCGGAAUCUAAGUGUAAGGGAAACUUGGUUGAAGCUUCAAGGAUGGUAGAACUCUCACUCAAGUAGGAGCUUGAGGAGAGUGAACGUAGGUAAGAGGUGUCUAACCACUAUAAAAGUUGUGUUUGCUCUCUCUAACUCUAUCUCUUUAUAUUUGUACUUUUUUUACUUGAAUUUUUAUGCUUGAAAAAAAAAAUUAAACACCCAAUUCACCCCCCUCAUAGGACUCUUUCAUUCAAGGCCUUUGUGAGAAGCUCAAAGACCCCAAAAAAAUGACUUGAUCCUAUUGUAAGAUUGCUUGGCAAAUUUCAAUUCUAGAUUUAAUGGGCCAAUAUCCUUGGCUGAUAAUUGCAUAGAUGAUUUUGUGAUCUUUCCCAUGGGCGCCCAGCCCACAUGCGUGGCCACUUCAAUGCACACAUGUCAUGUUUCUACUUGUUCCUCAUCAUAGCAUCUUCAAUACUUGGCAACCCCCACAUUACGAUGAGAGUUCAAGUUUUGUAAUCCUCACACAAUUUGCCCAUCAACCAUUGUAGGGACCCCUCCCCCUGAUGACACGUGGCGCGCCUCGCUGUCCGGAGCAACUCCAUCCGGACUCCCCAAAGAGGGACACGUGGCGCGCUCCCCUAUUCGGACUCCCUCAGGGAGAGGUACACGGCACUCACAAACAUCACAUCCGGACGACCGCCAUAUCACAUCCGGACGACCAACAUAUCCUAUCCGGAUAUGUUUGUCCGGAUCGUUGCCUAAAGUAAAGCAUGCCUUACUACGUCAUUCCGACAACCUUCCACAGCCCACAUUCUGCCGCCUGCAAGCGAAAGGACGGGAAUGAUGGCAAGUCACUUCUCACGAUCUCUGACAGCCGCCCGUAGGGUGAUGAUGGCCCUGUUACCACCUAAAGGCAUCAUGACGAGCCAAAAAGUCUUCCCAUCAUUAAAGAGGGAGGCAGAGCUUUUGACACUAUAUAUAUGGACCUUCACACAAGGAGGAAGGUAAGCUUGCUAUACCUAGUAAAAGGUCAAUUGCUUAAUCUCUCUAACCAUGGCUGACAAAACCAUCGAAGGGUGUGUCCGGACACCUUUUGCAGGGACGACUGAACCAGAACUCUAUCUUGGUUGAAAGUGUGCGUCCAUUUGGCAACUACGUGGAUUAUCGGGACGCAAGGCCUCAACAACCAUUCCAUCCCAGAAUCACACACACAUGGAUUUAACUUGCAGGGCCACUUUGCAAUAUUAGGAGUCACUAAGCAUCUCGUUUGGAGCUGGUAAAAUGAUGUAGUUCAUUUACAGAUCUGUACCAGCAUAAACUAUGCAUGCAUGUUCACUCUUCGUACUCACCAUAUAACAUCCACAAUGGCAGCUUCAUAUAUGUUCAAGAUUCAUGGGUUUUGAAAAGUUCGGAAUUGCUUCCACAAUCCACACCCAAAAGAGUUGUUGCAAGAAAUAUGACAUGGCUCAUCUACCAACAGGUAUGGGUGACUAAGGCAAAGACAGAGGGCAACUCCAAGGGUCUCACACUCAUAUGAAGCUGUUAGGCAUCAAUGAUGGCAAUGAGAACCCAAAUGGAACUUGUUUCCAAGACUUUGGGAAGAAUCACUAUUAUUUGGAGAAUGUUUUGAGCGUUUUUCUCCCCAUUGUCCAUGCUUAUAGCGGUCCAGAUGACUCCAUCAGUGACAAGGAAACUUUGAGUAAAGUUGAAUGUGGUAUUUCAUGCACAGUAGAAUCUCUGAGCCGUACCGACUAGAUCAUUUUCAAGCUAUCUGGGAAAGUAACAGUCCACUUAGAUUGGGAGACCUUAAGGGGAGAUUCCUAAUGAUCAAUGGAGUGAUUCAAAGCCUUGAACAUACAUCUAUGAGUUGUAUAUAUAGGCUCUUAUGAUGAGUGUAAGAGGAGAAUUGUCUAGUUGGUAAGCCAUUGUCAACAUAGCUAGUUUGAAGGCAACAAUUGGCAAGGGUCAAAAGUAUGGACGGAGUAUUGCUACACAUUAUGAUGAGGGUUCAUAUACCAUAAUCUCCAAACAAUCUACCAUUUAACCUGUCACAAGCUCCUCUCCACCCUGGGCCCAUCCUUAAGCGUUCCCACUUUGCAUGGUCACCUUUGGCAUGCAAUCCCAAUGGCCACUCGUCCUCUUCUUGUUUCUUGGUAUUUUAAUGUUAAAAAUAAUUUUCCAAACUCCAGUUUUCAAAUAGUUUUCAAAUAAUUUUCAAAUUCCUAAUUCUCAAAUAAUUUCAACUUUUUAACUUUUUAUUCUUCUUUAGUGUUUAGGAUCAGCAAAAAUCUCAUAUUUCAAUAAAAUUUGCUGCUAUUUUCUUUUCGGCAAACAUCAUUUUUUUUAGGGAGAAUUAUGUUUUGGGGGUAGAUAGGCCCCCAAAUUAACAAAAGGUCCAUGUAACUCUUCAAAUUGAGCCCAAGACCCAUUGAAAGUAUGGAAAUUGAGUUGAAGGAUAUCAUCCUUCAGUAUUCCCAAAAAUGCCCUUCGUUGAUUUUGAGAAAAAAAUUAAUAUUUUUUAAAAAUACUUUUAUUUAAUUUAAUAUUUUUAAAAAAUAUUUUUAUGUAAUUUAAUAUUUUUUAAAAUAAAUUUAUUUAAUUUAAUAUUUUUUAAAAUAAAUUUAUUUAAUUUAAUAUUUAAAAAAAUAUUUAAUUUAAUAUUUUUUUAAAUACUUUAAUUUAAUGUAAUAUUUUUGAAAAAAAAUUAAUUUAAUAUUUUUGAAAAAAAAUUAAUUUAAUAUUUUUGAAAAAAAAUUAAUUUAAUUUAAUAUUUAAAAAAAUAUUUAAUUUAAUAUUUUUGAAAACUACUUUUAUUUAAUUUAGUAUUUUUGAAAAAAAAAUUAUUGAAAAAAAAUUAUUUAACUUAAUUUUAUAAUAUAUUUUAUAUAUAUUCUUAAAGGGUAUAUUUGUCCAUUACUAUUUCAUAUCCUUCAACUCAAUUUGAAGAGUUAUAUGGACCUUUUGUUAAUUUGGGGGCCCAUCUACCCCCAAAAGAUAAUUCUCCCUUUUUUUUAUAAAAAAAAAAAAGUUUUAAAAUAAGCAUGAAUCAAAUUCUAUAAUUCUAAAUUAUGGAGUUUAUGGAAUCAAUUCAUGCAAAAAUAAAUUGGCCUUCGGUAGGAGUCCAACAUCAUUGAUGUUUUCUUUUAAAAAAUAAAUUUAAGUGAAGCUCAAUAUCCAUCAGUGAUGGUUUCUUGCUCUGUUUAGUGACACAUGUGAUAUAUUUUGUACUUAUUAUUGUGCACUAACCCCAUUUCAUAAUAGGGCAUUAUUGCUUGCUGCUGAGGUAUGCUCGCACUCUCUCUUUGACUAUUUCUUUAUGCAUGUUUUGGCUUUCAAUGUGUGAUCAUUUUAGUAUCCAUUAAUUUCCUCACCAAUUGCUAUACUUUCUUCAUCCUAUUUAGUAGAGACCCAUUUUAGGGGCUUAGAGGGGUGUUACGGUCUUCACCAUACCUUCCUAAUAAGUAACCUGACCCCCGAGCCCAGAUUUGGUUUUUCACAGACCAUCUUUUCCAAAUAAGGAAUCACACUUAGGGUUUUCUUUCUUAUUUUGUUUUCCCUUUAAAAAUAAAACAAAAAUAAGUGAAAACUCCAAGUUAUUUUCUAAAAAUAAAUAAAUAAAUCCUUGUUUCAAAUAAAAAAACAAGUUCGUCAUUGAGUGGGAGCGCAUGCGUAGAAAUACAGGGUCCACAUAUAUAUAUAUAUAUGAAUGGUCAUUCACAAGUUACCAUAUUGGUACAAAAUCUUAUAUUUUAUAACACUCUCCCUUGGAUGAUCAUAAGAAUAUGGUAACUAUCUUAUUAAAAACCUUGUCAAUAAAACCUAGUGGGACAAAACUAGACGAAAGGAAAAAAAGUGCAGCAUAUCCAUAUUAGCUUUCUCCCUCUCUUGUAGACAUGAUUAUGAUUUCUUCAACUCUUCAAUUAGUAACGCCUUUGUGAAUAGAUCUACUAGAUUAUUUCAUGAUCGAAUCUGCUGAACACCAAUUUCACUUUUCUCCUAAAGCUUGUGGGUAUAUAUGAAUUUAGGGAAGAUAUGCUUAGUUCUAUCACCUUUUAUGAAUCCUCAUUUAAUUUGUGCAAUAUAAACAGCAUUAUCUUCAUGUGAUUUGGUUGCACUACCUCUGAUGGAUGUUUCUUGAAUAUGUUGAAUUAUUGACCUUAGUCAUACACAUUCACGACUUGUUUCAUGAAAUGCAAGGAUUUCUAAAUGAUUUGAAGAGGUGGCCACCAUUGUUUGCUUGAUUGAUUUCCAAGAUAUUGUUGUACCACCAUAAGUAAAAACAUAUCUCGUUUAGGAUAGUACUUUAUGGGGAUCUUAAAGAUAUCCUACAUCUACAUAAUCAAUUGCGAUUUUGAUUCUUUUGAAUAACAUAAACCCAUGUCACUUGCUCCACAAAGGUAUCACAAUAUAUGUUUAAUCUCAUUCUAAUGUCUUCUAGUUGGGGCAAAAUUGUAUCUUGUUAGCAAGUUAACAAAAAAUGUUAUGUCUAGUCUAGUACAAUCUUCAAGAUAUAUUAGUGCACCAAUUCCACCGAGAUAUGGUACUUCUGGACCAAACAAUUCUUCAUUUUUUUCUUUAGGACGAACCGUGUCUUUAUUCACUUCAAGUGAAUGAACAACCAUGGGGGAAUUAAGUGGAUGCAAUUUUUCCAUAUAAAAUCGUUUUAAUACUUUCUCUAUAUAUGCCAAUUGAUGGACUAAUAUGUCACUUGAAUAAUGCUCGAUCUGCAAGCCAAUACAAUAUUUUGUUUUUCCCAAAUCUUUUAUUUCAAAUUUCUUCUUUAAAUAAUUGGAUGUUUUGUGAGCUCUUCAGGAGUCCCUAUAAGGUUCAAAUCAUCCACAUAUACUGCAAUUAUUAUAAGCCUAGUUCUGAUUUCUUAAUAAAAACACAUGCAAAUUGGAUUAUUCAUAUAUCAUUCUUUUAACAUAUACUCACUCAAAAGAUUAUACCACAUGCGUCUGGAUUGCUUUAAUUUGUAUAGAGAUCUUUGUAAUUUGAUUGAGUACAUGUUGCGAGGCUUUGGAUUAGUUGCUUCAGGCAAUUUGAAUCCUUCAAGGAUUUUCAUAUCUAUGUCAGUAUUUAUAGACCUAUAUAAAUAGGAUGUAAGAACAUCCAUGAAACACAUAUCUAGUCCUUCAGAGACCGUUAAACUUAUUAAGUAUCAAAAUGUGAUUGCGUCCAUUACAGGGAAAUAAGUUUCCUCAUAAUCUAUACCAGGUCUUUGAGAAAAAUCUUGAGCAACAAGUCGUGCUUUAUAUCUUAUGACUUCAUCAUUCUCAUUUCGCUUUCUCAUAAAGACCUAUUUAUAUUUAACAGGCUUUAUGUUUCCAAGUGUUUGAACUAUAGGUCCAAAUACAUCUCAUUUUGCUAAUGAGUUUAGCUUUAUUUUGAUUUCUUCUUUCCAUUUUGGCCAAUCAUUCAUUUUUCGACAUUCAUCCAUAGUUUUUGGUUCUUGAUCUUCAACAUUUCUCAUGAUGUCCAUAACCACUUAGAAUGCAAAUAUAUUGUCUAUAAUAAUGUCACUACGAUUCUUUGUUUCUACCAUGUGACUCAUUAAGAUCUCUUUAGUUCUAGAUACCGGUAUUUAAUUAAUUUUUGCCUCUUCAGGGGAUAACUGUUUAUUAAGUUGGGUUUCAUCAUUUAACCCUUUCAUAUUUGUGAACUCUUCAAGAGUGUCAAGCUUUUCAUAUGUUAUUCAUUUUCUUUUUCUAGGAACUGAAUCCUUUGAGCUAAUAAGUCUAUCACGCUUCAAGCGUGUUUUAAAUUCACUUGCUAUGGAAUUCUUCAAUUGUCCUUAAGGACAUCAAUAUGUGUCAGAGUAUUCACAGUCGGUACAUGUGACUUUGUUACUUUCUUUAUAUUUGUGAAAGCAUUAGGUAACUAAUUUGCAAAUCCUUACAAAUGAAUAAUCCUUUGAACUUUUAGUUCAUACUGCCUUGCAUGGGGAUAAAGAUGAGACAAAGAGCGUAUAUACCAUCUAAUAUCUCGUCAUUCUUCUGGAAUUGAAUUCACUCCCCCUAAUGGCGAGUUAAACUAGAAAUUUGCUUAACAUGUAAUAAUAUCCUUCAAAGGUCUAAAUAUAUUAGUCACUAGUUAAGAAAAUUUUAGUUCUUUAAUGAAUAUCCAUUUGACAUUUCAAGAAGUUGAUGCAUCAUUGUUCACCCUAUGAGACCAAGUUGGUCAUCUCAAAUUAUUCUAGAUUUAAUAGAAUGUCAUGGAUUCGCAUGCCACUAGUGACAUAAUAUGAGCUUGUCUGGAGCUUUCAAUUAGGUUUUCAUAAAUUCAUAUAUGUAGUAAUGACAUCAAUCAACUAGUGACAUAGUAUGAGCUUGUCUGGAGCUUUCAAUCAGGUUUUCAUAAAUUCAUAUAUGUAGUAAUGACAUCAAUCAACUAGUGACAUAGUAUGAGCUUGUCUGGAGCUUUCAAUCAGGUUUUCAUAAAUUCAUAUAUGUAGUAAUGACAUCAAUCAACUAGUGACAUAAUAUGAGCUCUUCAAGAGCUUUCAAUUAAGUUUCCAUAAAUUGAUAUGGUAAUGACAUCAAUUAUUACAUAUUGUACAAUUAAUGAAACAAACAUCUUAAAAUAUACUUACUAAGCAAUCAAUAUUAUGUGUAAAUAAAACAUAAACAUGUAUUAGCAAAUAUGAUAUGUACUAUAUUAGAUAAAAAGACACAGCAUAAGAAAGUAAAGAACCUACAUGAGAAUAAACAUUUUUUCUUCACCAAUCAAUUGUUGAUUCUAAUUGCUAUAUUUGAUUGAAUAUUGACUCAUUUUUUACCUUGAUCUAUGACAUGCAUGCAAUUAUUCUGCACUUGUCCACUAACUUUGUUUCCACGAUAACGCAUUAUUGAUUCGCUGCUCACAUACGUAUCCUAUAUAUUCUCUUAUUUGUGUGGUCACUUUCCAUUGCGUACUUUAGCCAUAGUAUACCUUUGAUCAUUCCUUGGUAUCCAUUGAUUUCCUAAUCAAAGGUCAUGUCUACUGUAACUUAUUUAGUAGAAAUCUAAUCUUUGGACUUAAAGGGGUAUUAUAACUUAUCACCGUACCUUUUUAAUAGGUAACCUAACCCCCGAACCUAAAUUUGGUUUUCACAAACAUGUAUUUCCUUUUUAGGAGUCAUACUUAAUGUUUUUAUUUAUUAUUUUAUUUUCCCUUUAAAAAUAAAUUACGACUCCAAAACUUUUCAAAAAGAAUCUCAAUUUUUCACAAAUAAAAAGUGAGUCGCGUCAUCGAAUAGAAACGCACAUGAAAAACGUGAGUCCACAAAUAGAUUCAUAAUAAUACCAUAAAUAACUUUGAUAAUGUUAGUCUUAAAACUUUACUAUGAUUUUUUUUUUCUUAACUUCUCUCAAGUCUCAAGAACUUAUCAGAACAUUUAGAAAUAAAACAUUUCACACAAGUUUUCUCUAUCUAAUAUAAUGAAUUCUUUAUAAUUAUUAAUUAUGUUUUGAAGCAUUAUAUCUUUCUAUUUACUAGAAUAAAAAUACAUAUCAUUAUAACUUAUUAAAAUUCAUUUUUAAAUACUAAAGUAGUUUUCUUACAUCAAUAAGAAAAUAUUUUUAAUCUUUUUAAUAUUUAAAAAUAAUUCUUUUUAAUAAAAAAUUUUAAAUUCUGAAAAAAAAAAAAAAAAAAAAGAAGGUGGGGGGUCUUAAUAAUCAAAGCUGUAAGUUGGUGCACAGUGCUGCAUAACCUUACAAAUUGACUUGGUGAAGUCUGCGUUCUCGUGUCUCCUGCGCCUACCACCUAUUAAUAAUUUCCCCUACAUUUCCUUCCUGACAGUUGUAAGUUUGUGAGCCAUAACCUUCCAAAUUGACUUCGUCAAGUCUGCAUUUUCUCUUGUCCCUACAACCAUCACCUAUUAAUAAUCUCCCCUACAUUUCCUUCUCGAAUCUCCAAGUACAAUAAUUUUCUUUACGUUAAGGACAGUGAAACUUCCUGUUGUGUACACUUGAUGGGAAAGAUGAAAUCAAUUACGUGAAAACUUAUGAAUUUCCAACGAAUUUCCAAUGUUGAAAAUCUUAGAUUUUACACAUUCAUUGUAAUUUAGGCCACUAUUUAAUAUUUUUCAAAAACUCAAAUAAAUUUAUAAGUAGUUUUGUUUAUUCACCUUUAGAGUCCGUUUAAUAUUAAUUUUAUGAAAAGUAUCUAAUUUUUAAAAAAAAUUGAAAAUUUUUAUUUUUCAAAUAUUAUAAAGAUUGAAAACAUUUUUCAAAAUUAUUGUCAGACUCACUCUUAAUUUCUUUUUUUUUAUAAAAAUAAUUUAUAAAGUAUAAAUUAUUAUUUAAAGUUGUGUGUUUGUUGCAUAUUUAAAUUAUUAUACAUUGAUUCCACUUUAAAUUAAAAUACAAUUUAGUUGAAGAAUUGGUUGAUUUAUGCAAAUUAGAGUUUUUUAUUUAUAAAUUAGAAAAUGCCCAAAUUGUAAAUCAAUUGAUGGAAAUUUUGAAAAACUUCAAUUUUUGAAGGUUUUUCUUAGAAAAAAAAAAGAAAAUUAUUGUUUGAUCAAAUCAAGCAUAUAUGGGUUUUUAUUAAUAUCUUUUUGUUUUUUUUUUGUUGCGCAUUUUAGAGGUGUCAUUUAUAAAAUUAUUGGUCAACGGACAUGAAAAUAAAAACAAAAACACCUUAGAAAGAAUAAUUUUGAAGGAGGAAAAAUCAUCAUCCACUAAAUUCAUAUCAAGAGAUACUUUGAUUAAAUCCAUUAAGGGAGCCAUGCAAUAUUUUGUUGUCAAGAAUAAUUGGUACAUGAGAAUAUAAAUGAAAUUAAGAUAAGAAUGAAAAUUAAUUACAAUUCCAUGUAGAAAAUAUCGUUGUGGUUUGAUAAAUUGGAUAUACAAUGGAUCCAUCUUCCUCAUAUUGGAUUUGUCUUCAUUUUACAUUGAUGAUCCCCAAAGUUCAAAAAUGCAAUAACAAUAGACUCUAUUAAUUCAAAGUCUUUUUCCUCCUGUGAAACUUUAGAGUUCCUUUGCUUGUUUUUCUUUGAACCAAAAUACAAUGAAUUGACUCAGUUUUCAUAUGAUGCUAGUCUUCUUACAACACAACAUGGCCCCACAGCCCUUAGCAUUUCCAAUUAUUUGGCCCACUGAAUAUGAUGGGAAAGACCAACUUGGAUAGGAAAAGAAACAUCAAUGGUCCAAGAGCUUCCAUUGCAACUUCUUAAAGCUAGCUUACUUUUUUUUUUUUUACAUGAAAAAUGCUAAGAUAUCAAAGUGAUAUCUAUUCAAAAUCAAAAUUUGGAUUAUAUAUAUAUAUAUAUAUAUAUAGUGAAAUCUAAGUAAUUGAAUGAGCAUACAAACAAAUAAGAUUAAAUUAUAAAAACACAAAUAAAUGAGAUUAAAAUAAAAUAAAAUUGAAAGAUUGGUUGAAGAACCGGUUGAUUUAUACAAAUUAGAGUUUUUUUUAUUUAUAAAUUAAAAAUUACUACCCCAACCUUCCAAAUUAUAAUUUAAUUAAUGAAAAUUUUGUUUAUAGGUUUUUAUUUAUACCUUUUGUUAUCUUUGUUGUGCAUUCAAUAGGUGUCAUUUAUAAAUUUAUUGGUCAAUGGGCAUGAAAAUAAAAACAAAAACACCUUAGAAAGAAUAAUUUUGAAGAAGGAAAAAUCAUUAUCCGCUAAGAUUUAUAUCAAGAUGUACUUUGAUUAAAUCCAUUAAGGGAGCCAUGGAACAUUUCCUUUAAUUUUCAAUUAUAUAUAUUAUGAGGCUGUCAAGCAUAAUUAGGAGCUGAUCAUGGCAGCCCAAGACAUACGCUUUAAGUCAAUACCCUUUCCCAACAAACACGUUGGAAGUCAACAUCAGCCCUAGUUCCUCCAAGCUUUGGAGGCUUAGUAUACAAGGCUUUGUCUUUAAAGCUUGUUUCAGGCCCAUCUUAUCCAUACCUCCUCUCAUUUCCUUGAGCUUCACAUACUUCACUUUCGUCGAGAUUUUUUUGCCCCUGGGUAUUUCAAGAUCUGAAACAUGGAUGGUAGACUGACAUUGACCUGGCUGAUCUUUCUUUCUAGUGAUUUUUUCCUUCCACAGCUUGGGAUGGGUUUCAGGGACCAUCCAUGAGAACCAGUCAGAUCCGCAAAAGCUCACGGUCAGGGAAGGUAGGCAUUCAUUUUUGUUAGAGGUGUAAGUUUGUAUUAGUGGUCAUGUUCCUGCCCUGUUAAAUCCUAAGCAUUUUACUAAAUAUAUAGUUUAUUAAAAACAUAAACUCAAAUACUAUUUAAUUUUCUAAUUGUCUUUUAAGGAAAUUUUUUUAAGAAAAAUAAUUAAAAAAAGUGGUAAGUUAAAAAUAAGUUAAAAUGUAAAUUGUUUUUAAAAUUUCUUAAUUUUGAAAGCAACUUGGGGUGUUGAUUAAUAUCAUGCUCCUAUACGCAUAUCCCACAUUUUCUUGCAACGUUCCCAUGCUUUCAACCAGACCAUGCUGGCCCUCACAGCUGUUGGUUUGGUGCGUCAGUCAAUUCGGGUUUUUGUUUACUAAUUCAUAUAACCUUCCAAAUUGACUUGGUCAGGUUUGCAUUGACUUGGUCAAGUCUACGUUGACUUGUCAACUACAACCAUCACCAUUAAUAAUUUCCCCUGUAUAUCUUGUCCCCCAAUAAAUACAACUGUUAAUAAUUUUCUACACAUUAGGGGCUGGGAACAUAUAGAGAACAGUUUUAUAAAUUCUGAAUAAUUUAGGUCACUGAUUAGUCUUUUUUAAAACAACACUAAUCAAUUUAAUUAUAACAACAAAAGAAACCAGCAAAGUUUGGUAAUUGGGGUGGCAAAUAUUGAUAUGAUUUUUCAUGCUACUAGAUCCUAACAUACUUUUUAUAAAUUUGAAUAGUAUAUAAUCAUAUUUAAGUUAAAUUUCUAUUGACUUGCAUAUCCCGUGUAAUAAAUAGAUUAAUUCUAUUAUCAACCUACAUAAUAUGAGUGUAACUUGAAAUAUUUGACUCGUUUUAAGUUAAUAAAUAUAUCAAUUGAAUCAUAAACAUAUCAAGUUAAAAGAUUAAUCAUAUAAUAUUUGAAUUUAUAUUUUUAACACGAUUUUAACAUUUUUGGCUCCAGAAACUAGAAACUUAUAAAUUGAAAGCUCUACUUUAUUUAUGAGCAAGAGACCUGCAUUUAAUUGUUUAACUACCUAUUCUUCACUCAAAAGUUUUUAUUAUCUCUUUGUUGCAUUGAAUCCUCACUUGCAUACUCUUUAGUACACCCUUGUCAUUCCUCCUAGUAUUUCAAUUAUAUUUGAGCCUUUAUUAAGCUAAGUUAAGAGAUUUCCAUCUAUAUUUUGAGUGUUUUCGUGAGUGUUAAAAGUUUCAAGUGAGUAGAGAUUUGAAGGAUUGUGUAAGAGCCCAUUAAAGUCAGAAUCUAAGUGUAAAGACAUUGGAAACUUGGUUAAAGCUUCAAGAAUGGUAGAACCUUCACUCAGUUAGGAGCUUGAGGAAAGUGAACGUAGGCAAGGGGUGUUGAACCACUAUAAACGUUGUGUUUGCUCUCUUUAACUCUAUCUCUUUAUAUUUGUACUUCUUUUACUUGAAUUUUUGUGUUUGAAAAAAAAAAUUAAACACCCAAUUCGCCCCUCUCAUGGGACUCUCUCAUUCAAGGCCUUUGUGAGAAGCUCAAAGACCCCAAAAAAUGACCUGAUCCUAUUGCAAGAUUGCUUGACAAAUUUCGGUUCCAGAUUUAUUGGGCCAAGAUCCUUGGCUGCUAAUUGCAUAGAUGAUUUUGUGAUAUUUCCCAUGAGCGCACAGCCCACAUGCGUGGCCACUUCAAUGCACACAUGUCAUGUUUCUGCUUGUUCCUCAUCAUAGCAUCUUCAAUACUUGGCAGCCCCCACAUUACGAUGAGAGUUCAAGUUUUGUAAUCCUCACACAAUUUGCCCAUCAGCCAUUCCAUCCAGGAAUCGCACACACAUGGGUCCAACUUGCAGGGCCACUUUGCAAUAUUAGGAGUCAUUGGGCAUCUCGUUUGGAGCUAGUAAAAUGAUGUAGUUCCUUUGUAGAUCCGUACCAACAUAAACUAUGCAUGGAUGUUCACUCUUUGUACUCACCAUAUAACACACACGGGUUUAAGAUUCAUAGGUUUUGAAAAGUUCGGAAUUGCUUCCGCAGUCCACACCCAGAAAAGUUGUUGCAAGAAACAUGACAUGGCUCAUCUACUAGCAGGUAUGGGUGACUAAGGCAAAGAUAGAGGUGUGGACCCCGCAUUUCGGCUCAUGCGUUUUCCACUCGAUGGCGAGCUCGAUUUUUAUUUUGAAAAAUUGAUUUUAUUCAUUGUUUGAAAAAUGACUUGGAGUCGCCACUUAUUUUUGUUUUAUUUUUAAAGGGUAAACAAAAUAAGAAAGAAAAACCCUAAGUGUGACUCAUUGUUUUGGAAAAUGUGGUUUGUAAAAAACCGGAUUGGGUUCGGGGGUCAGGUUACUUAUUAGGAAGGUACGGUAAAGACCGUAGCACCCCUCUAAGUCCCUAAAGUCGGGUCUCUACUAAUAAAAUGAAGCUGACGUGGUAAUUGAUGAGGAAAACAAUGAAUACUCGGAACUAUCAUGCACAUAUGAGAAUCAAAACAUGUAUAUAAAGAUACCAAAAUGAGAAUAGAUGCGUACCUGGGCGACGAACCACAAGGCGCUAUCAAGAAGUGAGGUUAGUGCACAAUUAAGGAAUAUUUUCGAGCAUGCUAUAAAGCAGAAUAACAUCAAUCAUGCAUGGCAAUUAAAUCAACCAAUCAAUCAAUCAAUUAUACAGUCACUUAUGUAGGGCCCCCACCAAAGCCCUAUUUUAUUUUGCAUGAGUUAAUCCCAUAAAUUCCAUUAUUCGGAACUAUGGAAUUUAAAUUCAUGUUUAUUUUAAAACAUUUGUAAAUCAUGAAAAAUCCGAAAGUGGCUCGCCGAAAAGAAAAUGGCGACCAAAUUUUAUUGAAAAACGAAUUCUUGGAACCUAAACGAAAAAAACUAAAGAUGAAAAAUUAAAGAAAUGAAAUUAUUUGAAAAAAAAAAGGAAUUUGAAAAAUAAAAAUAAAAAAAUAUUUGCAAACUAGAGUUUAGGAAUCUAUUUUAAAAACAAAAGAUGAAGAAAUAAAAAAAAAAUAAAUAAAUAAAUAAAUUAUUUGAUAAAAAUAGAGUUUGGAAAAUUAAAACAAAGAAAACUAGAAUCCGAGAAGUUAUGUGGAAAAUUAGAGUGUAGGGAAUCAUUUCCAAAAUUCAUAUAAGAAUAAAUAAUAAUAAAAAGAAAAAAAACACGCGACUUAAGGUGGCAUGGCCACUAUGCAAGGCUUUCACCAAUGAGGUUUGAUUGGGUAUUUGUUUGGAGAGAUUUCCAUUGCUCCCAUGACAUCCAUCUAAAGAAAAUUCAUCAUGGAACUUCGGGAAAUUAAAAUCCUCAAUUGCUGGUUUCAAGAAUAGUUGCAGCGGACAUAGAGCAAUUCCUGCAGGCGUCUCAAACGCACCCAUAGCACAGCAUCAUAUAGUCCAUGCAGCGCCAGACUGCCUCUGCGGUUUCCGACAGAGAACCUGUCCAAGGCCUCCCCAUCUUCGCUGCUACCUGUGUCGCCGCUACUGAUUCAUGCCCAAUUGGUGUAUCAGCUGAUUCAUGUCCAGCUGGUGCUCCUUGGAUGAGGGAGUAAUCAACAAAAUUUAUAACCUAUUACACCAUAUACUAGGGUAGCAAAGAAAAAGCUAAUAUAGCAUAGCGGCUCUAGGAUCGUUCACUAGGAAGGAUUAGCAAAUUAUCAAUGAUACCAAUUCAAAGUGAAUUGGUAUUGUUUCAUUUCAAGGUUAGCUCAAGAAAUAAAACACAAACUUUGAUUGGUAAAGAUUUAGAUUUAAACUAACUACAAAACAAGUAAUGGAAAUUACUUAGGAAGAAAAACAUUCCUUGGAGGGUCAGGUUCACUAGGGAGGUUCCUCAUGCAAAAAACAUAGCUCCGGUCAGUUGGUUCAUUUCCUCGCGUUAGAGAAUUAACACUUGGUCAAUUCUCUAACCGGUGUUGUACAGAUACAUCCUUUAAUUAGAUUUCAGCUUUAAUUCUCUCACUGAUGCAACUUGUAAUGGUUCAAACCUCUCACUAAGCCUUAACCAUUCAAGGUGAUCUUUAACCUUGGACUUCCCUUCUCAAUCUCGCAAGAGAUAACUAAUGGAUGUCUCCUUGGAGUCCAAAAGCUUACCAAGUGUUGGCAAUUCCAGAAAAUCCUACUUUCAAGUCACCUCCCAGAGGCUCACAAGGGGUAAACUAGUGCAUCUCCAUGGUCGGAGAUCACUUGCCUUACCAAGUGUUGGCCCAGGUGACUCAAAGGUGUUUUAAGUUAACUAAAAACAUAGAAAUCACUAAAGGAUUUCACUUCCUCUUCAUUGAUGGCUGAAACCACAAAGCUUUGCAUUCUUGCACUUGGAACCUUUCCCGGCAACCUUAGCUCCAAGGAACUAAAGGUUUAGUUACUCAUUCUCCGGGGAAACUUCCUUAGAGAGUGCAUAACUUAGUAAAAGAUGAAAAAUACAAAGUGAGAAGGUAAGGUCCUGAACUUUACUUGCUUUCCAAUUUUUACAAAAAGGUUCCUCUCUGAGAACAGGCUCUCGAGAGCUAUUUAUAUGAACAUAAUACAAAACUAAUUAUUACAUGGAUAUUUACUCUUUUUCCUAACUUAAAAGCUAAGGAAUCUUGUAAUUGGUGGCUUACAAGGAGAAUUUUGGGAUUUAGACAACAAAAAUCUGAUGAAAAAUAUCUCCCAAUGUCGGUAACAAAUAUCGGGGCGCACUAAGGAUCAUUUCGCAAGUGAAAAUGAUGUCUGCGAGAUUUCGCAGACACACAAAAAGGGCUGCGAAAUCACUUCGCAGCAAAAUGCUAAUCUCGCAGUGCUGCGAAGUUGGCUUUCAUCUUGAGGUGCUCAGCUUCCAACGUGUCGCAUAUAUCAGGAAACUUCAGGAGGAAUUCCACAGCACUGUGCAAAAAGGCUGCGAAAUCAUUUCGCAACAAAAGGGUGAUUUCGCAACACUUUGCAAAAUGCUUCCUUCAGCUUAGAGUGAUUGACUUGCAAUGGCUAUAACUUCUUCGUUUCAACUCUGAAUUGCGCACCAUUUGAAGCAUUGGAUUUUUUACUUCCUGAGCUUCGAAACGACAUAUAGCAUGUAUAAAUUGGACUUCAGAAAGUGCUCCAAAAGUGGCUGACACGAUUGUCAUCAAGAAUAUGCUUCAUGGCAGAUUAUCUUUGCUUCUUCUCCUUGCAUUCAGGAUUUACUCAUGGCAAAGGACUUCAAAGCUUUGGUUCUUCAUGUUUCUGAGCUUCCAAUUGUUUUGCCCAAGAUUCCACAAAACUCUCCUCAAUCUCGGAUUGCUUUGGUGAUCAAAAGGCUAUCAAAACACCAAAACUUAACACAAUUUGAUUAGAAUUGAUUGCAAGGGUCCUUAACAUGUUAAUUGGGUUAAAAGGCAAUAACUACUACUCAAAAGUGUUUAAAAGAGUUAAUUACAAGCUAUCAAAUAGCACUUUUUGAGUAGUAAUCAGCUACAGCAGCCUCAGCCACCGCCGCCAUCACUCCUCUUUUCAGACGAAUUAUGGACCUCGGCAACCCUGCUUCUCUUCGAUGAACUUCGCAGAGGAGCUGCCUUUGCCGCCACCUCUCCUACCAAUGCUUCAAGACAUCCCUCACUCUCGCAGUCGUAUUCGUUCAGGUCAUUGUAGAAGCCUCCAACUGACGAAGAUGCAGUUCCGGCACCCACGGGAAAAUAAACGCCGGUAGAGGAGUUCAUUACGUCCCCUGUAAAGCAUACAAAGCUGAACCCCGAAUGAUGGGAAUUUCAUCCCCAAGGAACCUGUAGAAGCUAAAAAACUCACGGAGUUCCAUUUCUGGCGUGCAAGUAGAAUGUGUCCUUUGUCUCUGGCAUGGGCCUUCAUUUCUACAACGAAAACUCCAAAAUUCCCAUUACCAAAUCUCCAACAGAGAGAGCCGCCUCAACAGUAAAAUUAUUAAAUCUGAGAUAUCUCGUGCCAGAUCCUGAAGUAGCAUCCUCAUGUCUCUUGGUUGGGUUUAGGUAGUCCCUCAAGCGGAGAACACGUUCCUUACUCCCUUAUGCAGAGGUGAGGAAACUGACAUGCCUCAUGGACGAAGUACCAGGAACAGAGGAAAGCAAACAAACAAAACACCAAUAAUCGGAGCAAAACAAAACCAUACGACGUCUCAUUUCAUAUGAUAAUCAAUGAGCUCAUAUGAGGGUGGAUGAAAUCAAACAAGUAUCAAAUAAAAGAUAGAACACUAUUAUAGAAAUAUCUCAUGAAGAAAGCAAAACAGGAGCAAACCAAACUACAGAAAAACCAUUAGCAAAAUAUCUACAUGCUCACUCCCAGUCAAUAAACAUCAUCUAAGAAUCAGCGGAAACAAAAUAGAAAAACAUACCAGUAGAAACUAAUAGGGAAACCACGAUGAAGGUACCUGAGAAUGCUCCCUCCUUACUCUGUCUCCGAUGUCUUCUUCCAACCAAAAGAUGUUCUCUAAAAUAUCUCUCUGCCUCCCCGAAAAGUAACACCGUCAAACCUCUAUGUUCUCUCUUUCCAGAAAAUGCUCUGUUCUUCUUAGCUUGCUUCUCCUAAGCUCUAGGAAUCUCCCCCCUCCAAAAGCUCUCUACUGCUCCCUUCAAAAAGCCUCUCCCUUAACAGAAAAAGAUCCCUUCAAAAUAUCUCUCCCAGCCGGCAGAAAAAGCACCCUUCUCCUCAAAAUAUAUCCUCAACGGCCAGCAGAAGGAUCCCUACAGCUGGCAAAACGGUCUGUAGCUUUUGCAGAUUCCUUGGACACGUGUCAUCUUCUCAUCGGCUUCCUAAUCCCACUAACCUGAUUCUUCAACAGCCAAUGAAGAGGCAACACGUGGCCUCCUGAAGCUGCUCCACCUGGCCAAAUAAGUAUCAUAAAAAAUGACCCUACGUGGGGGUCUACAAGAGGGCAACUUCGAGGGUCUCACACUCAUGUGAAGCUGUUAGGCAUCAAUGAUGGCAAUGAGAACCCAAAUGAAACUUGUUUACAAGACUUUGGGGAGAAUCACUAUUAUUUGGAGAAUGUUUUGAGCGUUUUUCUUCCCAUUUUCCAUGCUUAUAGCGGUCUAGAUGACUCCAUUAGUGACAAGGAAACUUUGAGUAAAGUUGAAGGUGGUAUUUCAUGCACAGUAGAAGCUCAGAGCCACACCGACUAGAUUAUUUUCAAGCUGUCUAGGAAAGUAACAGUCUGCUUAGAUUGGGAGACCUUAAGGGGAGAUUCCUAAUGAUCAAUGGAGUGAUUCAAAGCCUUGAACAUACAUCUAUGAGUUGUAUAUACAAGCUCUUAUAAUGAGUGUAAGAGGAGAAUUGUCUAGUUGGUAAGCCAUUGUUGACAUAGCUAGUUUGAAGGCAACAAUUGGCAGGGGUCAGAAGUAUGGAUUGAGUAUUUCUACACAUUAUGAUGAGGGUUCAGAUGCCAUAAUCUCCAAACAGUCUACCAUUUAACCUGUCAUAGGCUUCUCUCUACCCUGGGCCCAUCCUUAAGCCUUCUCACUUUGCAUGGUCACCUUUGGCAUGCAAUCCCAAUGACCACUUGUCCUCUUCUUGUUUCUUGGUAUUUUAAUGUUAAAAAUAAUUUUCCAAACUCCAAUUUUCAAGUAAUUUUCAGAUUUCUAAUUCUCAAAUAAUUUCAAAUUUUUAACUUUUUAUUCUUCAUUAGUGUUUAAGAUCACUAACAAUCCCAUCUUUCAAUAAAAUUUGCUGUUAUUUUCAUUCCAACAAGCAUCAUCUCAUAUCUUCAUCAUUUUUUUUUGAAAAAAAAAAUGUUUUAAAAUAAGCCUGAAUCAAAUUCUAUGAUUCCAAAUGAUGGAGUUUAUGGAAUUAAUUCAUGCAAAAAUAAAUUGGCCUUUGGUGGGGGUCCAACAUCAUUGAUGUUUUCUUUAAAAAAAUAAAUUUGAGUGAAGUGCAAUAUCCAUCAGUGAUGGUUUCUUACUCUGUUUAAUGACACAUGUGAUAUAUUUUGUACUUAUUAUUGUGUACUAACCCCAUUUCAUGAUAGGACAUUAUUGUUUGCUGCUGAGGUACGCUCGCACUCUCACUUUGACUAUUUAUUUAUGCAUGUUUUGGCUUCUAGUGUGUGAUCAUUUUGGUAUCCAUUAAUUUCCUCACUAAUUGCUAUACUUUCUUCAUCUUAUUUAGUAGAGACCCAUUUUAGGGGCUUAGAGGGGUGCUACGGUCUUCACCAUACCUUCCUAAUAAGUAACCUGACCCUCGAGCCUAGAUUUGGUUUUUCAUAGACCAUCUUUUCCAAAUAAGGAAUCACACUUAGGGUUUUCUUUCUUUUUUUUUUUUCCCUUUAAAAAUAAAACAAAAAUAAGUGGCGACUCCAAAUCAUUUUCUAAAAAUAAAAAUAAAAUAAUAAAAUAAUAAUAAUAAUAAAUCCUUGUUUCAAAUAAAAAAACAAGUUCGUCAUCGAGUGGGAGCGCAUGCAUAGAAAUACGGGGUCCACAUAUAUAUGAAUGUUCAUUCACAAAUUAACAUAGUGGUAGAGAAUCUCAUAUUUUAUAACACUCUCCAUUGGAUGAUCAUAAGGAUAUAGUAACUGCCUUAUUAAAAACCUUGUCAAUAAAACCUAGUGGGACAAAACUAGACGAAAGGAAAAAAAGUGCAACAUAUCCAUAUUAGCUUUCUCCCUCUCUUGUAGACAUAAUUAUGAUUUCUUCAACUCUUCAAUUAGUAACGCCUUUGUGAAUCGAUCUACUAGAUUAUUUCAUGAUCGAAUCUGCUGAACACCAAUUUCACUUUUCUCCUAGAGCUUGUGGGUAUAUAUGAAUUGAGGAGAGAUAUGCUUAGUUCUAUCACCUUUUAUGAAUCUUCAUUUAAUUUGUGCAAUAUAAGCAACAUUAUUUUCAUGUAAUUUGGUUACACUACCUCUGAUGGAUGUUUCUUGAAUAUGUUGAAUCAUUGACCUUAGUCAUACACAUUCACAACUUGUUUCAUGAAAUGCAAGGAUUUCUAAAUGAUUUGAAGAAGUGGCUACCAUUGUUUUCUUGAUUGAUCUCCAAGAUAUUGUUGUACCACCAUAAGUAAAAAUAUAUCUCAUUUAGGAUAGUACUUUAUGGGGAUCUUAAAGAUAUCCUACAUCUACAUAAUCAAUUGCGAUUUUGAUUCUUUUGAAUAACAUAAACCCAUGUCACUUGCUCCACAAAGGUAUCGCAAUAUUGUUUAAUCUUAUUCUAAUGCCUUCUAGUUGGGGCAAAAUUGUAUCUUGUUAACAAGUUAGCAAAAAAUGUUAUGUCUGGUCUAGUACAAUUUGCAAGAUAUAUUAGUGCACCAAUUGCACCGAGAUAUGGUACUUCUGGACCAAACAAUUCUUCAUUUUUUUCUUUAGGACGAAACAUAUCUUUAUUCACUUCAAGUGAAUGAACAACCAUAGGGGAAUUAAGUGGAUGUGAUUUAUCCAUAUAAAAUCGUUUUAAUACUUUUUCUAUAUAUGUCAAUUGAUGGACUAAUAUGUCACUUGAAUAAUGCUCGAUCUGCAAGCCAAUACAAUAUUUGUUUUUCCCAAAUAUUUCAUUUCAAAUUCCUUCUUUAAAUAAUUGGAUGUUUUUGUGAGCUCUUCAGGAGUCCCUAUAAAGUUCAAAUCAUCCACAUAUACUGCAAUUAUUGUAAGCCUAGUUUCUGAUUUCUUGAUAAAAACACAUAUGCAAAUUGGAUUAUUCAUAUAUCCUUCUUUUAACAGAUACUCAUUCAAAAUAUUAUACCACAUGCAUCUGGAUUGAUUUAAUUUGUAUAGAGAUCUUUGUAAUUUGAUUGAGUACAUGUUUCGAGGCUUUGGAUUAGUUGCUUCAGGCAAUUUGAGUCCUUCAAGGAUUUUCAUAUCUAUGUCAGUAUUUAUAGACCUAUAUAAAUAGGAUGUAACAACAUCCAUGAAAUGCAUAUCUAGUCCUUCAGAUACCAUUAAACUUAUUAAGUAUCAAAAUGUGAUUACAUCCAUUACAGGGGAAUAAGUUUCCUUAUAAUCUAUACCAGGUCUUUGAGAAAAAUCUUGAGCAACAAGUCGUGCUUUAUAUCUUAUGAUUUCGUCAUUCUCAUUUCGCUUUCUCAUAAAGACUCAUUUAUAUUUAAUAGGCUUUAUGUUUCCAAGUGUUUGAACUAUAGGUCCAAAUACAUCUCAUUUUGCUAAUGAGUUUAGCUUUAUUUUGAUUUCUUCUUUCCAUUUUGGCCAAUCAUUCAUUUUUCGACAUUCAUCCAUAGUUUGUGGUUCUUGAUCUUCAACAUUUCUCAUGAUGUCCAUAACCACUUAGAAUGCAAAUAUAUUGUCUAUAAUAAUGUCACUACGAUUCUUUGUUUCUACUGUGUGACUCAUUGAGAUCUCUUUAGUUCUAGAUACCGGUAUUUGAUUAAUUUUUGCCUCUUCAAGGGCUAACUAUUUAUUAAGUUGGGUUCCAUCAUUUGACCCUUUCAUAUUUGUGAACUCUUCAAGAGUGCCAAGCUUUUCAUAUGUUAUUCAUUUUCUUUUUCUAGGAACUGAAUCCUUUGAGCUAAUAGGUCUACCACGCUUCAAGCGUGUUUUAGAUUCACUUGCUAUGAAAUUCUUCAAUUGUCCUUCAAAGACAUCAAUAUGUGUCAGAGUAUUCACAGUCGGUCCAUGUGACUUUGUUACUUUCUUUAUAUUUGUGAAAGCAUUAGGUAACUAAUUUGCAAAUCCUUACAAAUGAAUAAUCCUUUGAACUUUUAGUUCAUACUGCCUUGCACGAGGAUAAAGAUGAGACAAAGAGCGUAUAUACCAUCUAAUAUCUCGUCAUUCUUCUAGAAUUGAAUUCCCUCCCCCUAAUGGCGGGUUGAACUAGAAAUUUGCUUAACAUGUAAUAAUAUCCUUCAAAGGUUUAAAUAUAUUAGUCACUAGUUAAGAAAAUUUUAGUUAUUUAAUGAAUAUCCAUUUGACAUUUCAAGGAGUUGAUGCAUCAUUGUUCAACCUAUGAGACCAAGUUGGUCAUCUCAAAUUAUUCUAGAUUUAAUAGAAUGUCAUGGAUUUGCAUGCCACUAGUGACAUAGUAUGAGCUUGUCUGGAGCUUUCAAUCAGGUUUUCAUAAAUUCAUAUAUGUAGUAAUGACAUCAAUCAACUAGGGACAUAGUAUGAGCUUGUCUGGAGCUUUCAAUCAGGUUUUCAUAAAUUCAUAUAUGUAGUAAUGACAUCAAUCAACUAGUGGCAGUAUGAGAUCAAGAGCUUUCAAUUAAGUUUCCAUAAGUUGAUAUGGUAAUGACAUCAAUUAUUACAUAUUGUACAAUUAAUGAAACAAACAUCUUAAAAUAUACUUAUUAAGCAAUCAAUAUUAUGUGUAAAUAAAACAUAAACAUGUAUUAGCAAAUAUGAUAUGUAAUAUAUUUAGGGGUCUCCAAAAAGCCCGCGGCCCGCGGCCCGCAGGCCCGCCCGUAGGCCCGCCCAUUUAAAAAAAAAAACUACAAAAAUAAAAAGUAUUAAAAAAAAUAUUCAUUUCAAAAUUUUAUUCAUUGAAUGUAUAAUUACAUUUAAAAAUGUGGGAAAAUUUUACAUCACUACAAAAUAAAUACAUCCCAACUAGGUUGGCACCUAUUUAUUUGUCAAUCAUUUGUAUUUUUCAACCACAAAAAAUAAAAAUAAAAAUAUAAUAUACAUUUAGUCAUUAUUUUCUGGCGGUGAUGGCGAACUAUCAUGCAUCCAUGAAGAUCUUGAUAGUUUUAAAGAUUCCAUAUCGACAAGCAUCUCUGUUUCUCGAAUGGAAUCGUACAUCCUUUUUUCUGCAAUUUCCCAAUCUUUUACACAUAUCCCUGCUUCAAUAAUGUCUGGCGCUAAGUUGCAUCGUUUUUUACUAAUAACUCUUCCACCUGCACUAAAAGCAGCUUCUGAUGCAACUGUACUCACAGGAACUGUUAGUACAUCACGAGCAAUUAUAGAAAGCAUAGGAUAUUUGUGUUGAUGUGAUUUCCACCAUAUUAAAAUAUCAAAAUCUUCUUGAUCUUCAAAUGGAAUUAUAUCAGUAUUAAGAUAUUUAUCUAAAUCAGAUGUAUUAUUUGGAGAACUAUUUGUUGUCUUUUUUCGACUUUUCAACAUUUCUAGAGCUCCUUUAUAAAAAGAUGAGGAAUUUGUAGAUGUAGGUGGUAAUUUAUUAGUAUUAAUAUCAUUACCAUAUUUUUCUUUAUAAUAGUUAUAUAAAUUAUAUAAUAAUGAAUUUAUUUCAUUUUUAAUUUCUUCAAUUUUUAUUUGGUCAUUAAAAUAAAUAAUUGUUAACCAUUCAUCCAAAGCUUCAAAUUUCAAUCUAGGGUCCACAAUUAAAGCAAUAUAAAAAAUUAAAGGUAUUUCUCCCCAAUAUUUUCUAAAUUUUUCUAUCAUUGCAAAUAUUGUAUCAUUAAAUAUUUCAAAACUUAAAUAUUUUUUAAGUACAAUAAAAAUAUUAGUUAUUUGCAUAAUAACUCGAUUUGAAGUUGGAUAAUAUACACCACAAAAAAUGUUUGUCGAAGUAUCAAAAAUUUCAAAAAGAUCUCUUAAAAGAUCCGCAACAUGCCAAUCAUAAUCACUUAAUGCAUAAAUAUCUGCUUCACAAUCAUUGUUAAGUAAUUGUAUUUCAUAUAAUUCGACUACUUUUCUAUAUUUUGUAAUAUUUUGUAAAAGUUUAUAUGUGGAAUUCCAUCUAAUGGCCAUAUCCAAAUUUAUAUUUUUUCUUUUCAUAUUUAACAUUUUGCAACAAUCAAAAAAUAAUUCAUGUUUUGCUUGAGAACUAUUAAUACUAUAUGCAAUGCCUCUAAUUUUUUCCAAUGUAUCAUCAACAUUUUUUAAUCCAUCCUUUACAAUUAAAUUUAAAAUAUGUGCACAACAACGCACAUGAAAUAUUUUAGCAUGAUCAUCUUUUACUUGCCAAUAUAGUUUUAGUCUAUUUAUUGCUGCAUCAUUAUUAGCAGCAUUAUCUAAUGUUACUGUCAAUAUUUUAUCACGAAGGCCUAAAUUUAUAAUUUCUUCAUUUAUUAAAGCUGCUAUAUUUUUACCACUAUGUGGAGCAUUUAUUAAUUUAAAUGAAAUUAUUCUUUUAUUUAAUUUCCAUUCAUUAUCAAUGUAAUGAGCAGUUAUACAUAAAAAACCAGUGUGAGUUAAAGAUGUCCAAAUAUCAGAUGUUAAACAAAUAUUUCCUUCAAAAUUUGCAAAAAAAAUUUUUUAAAUUUCUUUUUGUGUAUAAAAUUUUUUCAUAAUAUCUCUUUUAACUGUAUUUCCAUACCAACCUUUAAAUUGAGGAUUAAUACCUCGUUGAAUUGUUCCUACAAAAUCAUGAGUUUCCAUCAUAUUGAAAGGUUGUUCUGCUCUUAUUAUAUAAUCAAUCAUUUCUUCACGACAGUUAGAUUCAUCAUAAGAAAAUGUUUUUAAAUUUCCACUUUCAUUUUUACCUAAUUGCAUAUAAUUUCUAAUAUCUACAUUAUUUUUAGUUUUACAAUUUUCGUGAUGUUUUUUUAAAUGACUUGUGCCUGCAUUUGAGCCACCAGUAAGAAAUUUAUUACAAAUUUUACAUUUUGCUUUUAUUUCUUUUUUAUUAUUUUCUAAAAUUAUUUCUACUCUAUCAAAAAAAUUCCAUAUAUUUGAAGUAAAUUUUUUGUUUGAUGAUAUUUCAUCACAUGGACUAGAUGAAGAAGCACUUGUUGUCAUAUUAUAAUUAUUGAUAAAAUAUUAUGCCAAAAAUAAUAAAGUAAUAAAUAUAAAAAAAAAUGUAACAAAAAAAUAAAGUAGUAGGGGUGAAGUAUGUUACUCAAUUAGAGAACCGAUGCAGAAAUUCCUAGCAAAUUUGAACUCUUGGAGCCACCAAUGCUUGUUUUGCACCACCAACAAUAUUGUAUAAUUUGAGGGAAAAAUAAAAGAAUUUGAAAUAUUGUAGAAUGUGAGAGAAAUAGAGAGAAUUUGAUGAAAAAAUGAAAAGGGAGAAGAUGUAUUUAUAGGAAGGUUUUUAAAAAAAAAAAAAAAAAAAAUUGGCCAUGUGACCGUUGCCCAACGGUCACAUGGCAGCUAGGAGCAUGGGUUGGACUGUUGGAGCCUUUAAUUUUUUUUAAAAAAAUAAUAUACUUUAUGUUAUAUAUAUAUAACUAACUCUAACAUUUAACACAAAAGUAAUGUGGCUCAGUUGGUUAGAGCCUUUACUUUGAACCAUGAGGGGAGGGGUUCGAAUCCCCCCCUCUCCAUUCAUUUCUAAAGCCAUUUUGGCUUAUUUAAAAAAGCCCAAGGCUUGGCCCGCCAGCCCGCCCGCAGCCCGGCCCGCCCAGCCCACUAGCCCGCGGGCUCAUAGGCCGGGCCGCGGGCCGAAGAUUUUUCCCUGGCCCGGCCCGGCCCGCCCGUUGGAGACCCCUAAAUAUAUUAGAUAAAAAGAAACAACAUAAGAAAGUAAAGAACCUACAUGAGAAUAAAAAAAUUUUCACCACCAAUCAAUUGUUGAUUCUGAUUGCUAUAUUUGAUUGAAUAUUGACUAAUUUUUUACCUUGAUCUAUGACAUGCAUGCGAUUAUUCUGCACUUGUCCAGUAACUUUGUUUCCAUAAUAACACAUUGUUGAUUCCUUGCUCACAUACAUAUCCUAUAUAUUUUCUCUUAUUUGUGUGGUCACUUUCCAUUACGUACUUUAGUCAUAGUACAUUUUUUAUCAUUCCUUGGUAUACAUUGAUUUCCCAAUCAAAGGUCAUGUCUACUUUAACUUAUUUAGUAGAAACCUAAUCUUAGGGUUUAAAGGGGUAUUAUAACUUAUCACCGUAUCUUUUUAAUAGGUAACCUAACCCCCAAACCUAAAUUUGGUUUUCACAGACAUGUUUUUCCUUUUUAGGAGUCAUACUUAAGGUUUUUAUUUAUUAUUUUAUUUUCCCUUUAAAAAUAAAAUAAAAGUAAAUUACAACUCCAAAACUUUUUUUAAAAAAUCAUUUUUUCACAAAUAAAAAGUGAGUCGCGUAAUCGAAUAGAAACGCACGUGAAAAACAUGAGUCCAAAAAUAGACUCAUAAUAAUACCAUAAAUAACUUUGAUAAUGUUAGUCUUAAAACUUUACUAUGAUUUUUUUUUUCUUAACUUCUCUCAAGUCUCAAGAACUUAUCAGAACAUUAAGAAAUAAAACAUUCCACACAAGUUUUCUCUAUCUAAUAUAAUAAAUUCUUUAUAAUUAUUAAUUAAGUUUUGAAGCAUUAUUUCUUUCUAUUUACAAGAAUAAAAAUACAUAUCAUUAUAACUUAUUAAAAUUAAUUUUUAAAUACUAAAGUAGUUUUCUUACAUCAAUAAGAAAAUAUUUUUAAUCUUUUUAACACUUAAAAAUAAUUCUUUUUAAUAAAAAAAUUUGAAAUUCUGAAGAAAAAAAAAAGGUGGGGGGUCUUAAUAAUCAAAGCUGUAAGCUGGUGCACAGUACUGCAUAACCUUACAAAUUGACUUGGUGAAGUCUGCGUUCUCUUGUCUCCUGCACCUACCACCUAUUAAUAAUUUCCCCUACAUUUCCUUCCUGACAGUUGUAAGUUUGUGAGCCAUAACCUUCCAAAUUGACUUCGUCAAGUCUGCGUUUUCUCGGCUCCUACAACCAUCACCUAUUAAUAAUCUCCCCUACAUUUCCUUCUAGAAUCUCCAAGUACAAUAAUUUUCUAUACGUUAAGGACAGUGAAGCUUCCUGCUGUGUACACUUGAUGGGAAAGAUCAAAUCAAUUAUGUGAAAACUUAUGAAUUUCCAAUGUUGAAAAUCUUAGAUUUUACACAUUCAUUGUAAUUUAGGCCACUAUUUAAUAUUUUUCAAAAACUCAAAUAAAUUUAUAAAUAGUUUUGUUUAUUCACCUUUAGAGUCGAUGUAUCUAAUUUUUUGAAAAUGAUUAAAAAUGUUUUUUAGAAUUAUUGUCAAACUCACUCUUAAUUUCUCUUUUUUUGGAUAAAAAUAAUUUAUAAAGUAUAAAUUAUUAUUUAAAGUUGUUUGUUUGUUGCAUAGUUAAAUUAUUAUACACUGAUUCCACUUUAAAUUAAAAUAAAAUUUAGUUGAAGAAUUGGUUGAUUUAUACAAAUUAGAGUUUUUUUCUUUAUAAAUUAGAAAAUUCACAAAUUGUUACUCAAUUGAUGGAAAUUUUGAAAAACUAAUUUUUGAAGUUUUUUCUUAGAAAAAGAAAAAAAUUAUUGUUUGAUCAAUAUCAAGCAUAUAUGGAUUUUUAUUUAUGUCUUUUUUUGUUUUUUGUUAUCGUGCAUUUUAGAGGUGUCAUUUAUAAAUUUAUUUUAUAAAAUUAUUGGUCAAUAGACAUGAAAGUAAAAACAAAAACACUUUAGAAAGAAUAAUUUUGAAGGAGGAAAAAUCAUCAUCCACUAAAUUUAUAUCAAGAGAUACUUUGAUUAAAUCCAUUAAGGGAGCCAUGCAAUAUUUUGUUAUCAAGAAUAAUUGGUACAUUAGAAUAUAAACGAAAUUAAGAUAAGAAUGAAAAUUAAUUACAAUUCCAUGUAGAAAUUAUCGUUGUGGUUUGAUAAAUUGGAUAUACAAUGGAUCCAUCUUCCUCAUAUUGGAUUUGUCUUCAUUUUACAUUGAUGGUCCCCAAAGUUCAAAAAUGCAAUUGCAAUUGACUCUAUUAAUUCAAAGUCUUUUUGCUCCGUUGAAACUUCAAAGUCCCUUUGCUUCUUAUUCUUUGAACCAAAAUACAAUGAAUUGACUCAGUUUUCAUAUGAUGCUAGUCUUCUUACAACACAACAUGGCCCCACAGCCCUCAGCAUUUCCACUUAUUUGGCCCACUGAAUAUGAUGGGAAAGACCAACUUGGAUAGGAAAACAACAUCAAUGGUCCAAGAGCUUCCAUCGCAACUUCUUAAAGCUAGCUUACUUUUUUUUUUUUUUUUUACAUGAAAAAUGUUAAUAUAUCAUAGUGAUAUCUAUUCAAAAUCAAAAUUUCAAUCAUUCAAUAUAUAUGAUGAAAUCUAAGUAAUUGAACAAAUAUACAAAUAAAUAAGAUUAAUAUACAAAUAAUAAGGUGUAAAUAUAUAUAUAUAUGAUAUUACUUUAUUGAUGAUGUAUUUUUUAUAUCUAUUAAAAAAAUGUCAUUUUUUUACGGUAUAUGAACCCUACAUUUACUUGUUUUGUUCUUGCAUCUUCCUCGACCAAUUUUCCAAUAUCAGUGAGUGCUUAGAUUUCAACCACAUGCCUUAUCAGGUCCUUACAUAUGUUUAGUUUUGUGUACUAUUCAAUUUUGUUGUUAAUGUGAUGUAAGUCAAUAAAAUUCUAAAAUUUUCUAAAACAAUUAAAAUAAAAACAAAAAAUGAUGAGUUGGUUGAUUUCUUUCAUAAUUACAAAGAAUCAUAACACUUGAGUGGGUGUUUGGUUUUUAUCUAAAACUUGGAUAUAUAGAUUUGAAUUUGUUUCAUAUAUGAAUAGUAAUUAAUGUGAAACAAUAUUUAUACUUCAAUUUUAGACAAAAAAAAAUGGUACUACAUGAUUAAUAAUUGAAAAAUUAUUUAAUGAAGUUUUUUUAGUAGAUAUCGAAAAGCAAGUCUUUGAUAUCUUAACCAAACCCUAAUUUCCUCAAUAUCUUUCCUUCUCUUAUUUUCCACUUGAUGGGAAAGAUCAAGUCAAUGAUGUGGGAACUCAUGAAUUUCUAACGAGUUUCCAAUGUCCAUAUUGGUUAUGAAAAUAGAAACUGAAGACUUAAAAUAAAUUUGAAGGAGGAGAAAUCAUUAUCCACUAAGAUUUAUAUCAAGAGGUACUUUGAUUAAAUCCAUUAAGGGAGCCAUGGGAUAUUUUUUUUUUAAAUUUUCAAUUAAAUAUAUUAUGAGGUUGUAAAGAAUAAUUAGGAUCUGAUCAUAGCAACUCAUAAGAUUUAACUCAACUUAACUAUUAAACAAGUGAAAUAAGUUAUCGUGUUACUUUUUGAAUAAUUAGAUAAUAUUUGAGUUUAUAUUUUGAACAUGACUUUCAUUUGAAAAGUAUUUAGAUUGGCUUAAUAGAAUGUCUAAGUCUUGAUAUGACAUCAUGAUCAACACCAAUCAUCACCCUUAUUUAUUUAUGAAUUAUUUAAUUAAAAUAGAUAAAAUAAUCCCUAAUUUGUAAUUUUAGCUCAUCACAUUUUUUUGAAGUGUAAAAAUUAUCUAUUUUUCUCAUAAAAAUAAGAAUUAAUUGGUAAAAAUGGAUAAAAUAAUCUUUAUAUUUGUGAAUUUAAUCUCCUCUAUGUUUUUAUUUGAAAAAUAAACUAUUUUUAACAUAAAUGUCAUUGAUUAUUACAAGUAUUUACGUGUAAGUUUUUUUUUUAUUUAAAAAAAAGUGAUUACCUUUACAACAAAAAAUGAGGACAUUUUUAUCAAAAUAUGGUCAAAAAAAAAAUAUGAUGGGUUAGAUUUUCAAAAUAAGGUUUUCAACGCCCUUUUAAUCAAAUAACCCUAUAAAUAACCUUUAAAAAAUAAAACUUGUAUAUAAACAAUUGAAAAUAUUGAAUGAUAUGAAGUAUAAAAAUGGAUUAUUUUUCAAGUUCGGAGCAUUCAUUUCAUCCAUUUUACUAUUCAACAACCCUAGCCCAAAGCAUACGUUGCAAGUCAAUGCCGUUCCCAAUACUCACGUUGCAAGUCCCAUCGAAUUCCUGGUAUACAAGGAUUUGAAUUUAAAGCUUGUCUCAGCUCUAUAUCAUGCAUUCACCCUCUUCUUCGUUAGUGUCUUCACAGACGUCAUAUUCGUACAGCACAUUAAAAUUAGGGGUGGCAAGCUCUAUGACUAGUCAGUUUAUUUGAAAUUCUGUAGACUAUAUAUUUUGAAUGAUAAGUUUCAAACUUAAUUUGUAGGUUUCAUAAGCAUCCAUUGUGGUAUAGAUCAGUUUAUUCUAACCCUUCAUAUUUUUCACCAAAAAUACAUUUAUAUUAAAAAUGAAUUAUUUUUCAAGUUCAAAUAAUGGAGACUUCGAUUUAUCAAUUUGGCCAAUUUCAUUUCUAAUCCUCUAUUUAUUCACCUUUCUUUCAUUUUUUUCGAUGGCAAUAAUUUCUGAAGUACAAAUUUCAAAUUACCAUUCAACAAUAAAUGCCAUUGGCCAAGCCCUAGCCGAGUGCAUGCAUUGCAAGUCAAUAUUGUUCCCAAUACUCACGUUGUAAGUCAAUGACUCAAUACUAAUAGUCUAAUACAAUGACUCAAUACAAUAUAAUUAUAAAAAUUAUUUACUAUAAACAAUGAGUUGUGAAUGUAAAGUAAUAGUUGUAAAAUAUGGUUUUAUUAAAUAUGGGUGAAUGAAGUUAAUAAAAAAAUUAAGAUUAAGAAUAAGUUAGUUAUUUUUUAUUUAUACUAUAAUAUUAAAUUAUUUUGUCGAACAUGUUAACUUAAUUACUUAAAUUAAAUUAUUAAGUUAAUUUACUAAAUACCCAUAGUUUUUUGGACUUUAACAUUUAAAAAUCAACCCUUACAUACGACUCUUAAGCUCUUUUGGUCUUGACUAUAUCUCUUAGGGCUCUAAAAAGCAACCCAAGAUAGCACUCUCUCGCAUGGAAACUGAGUAAAGCUCCAUGGCUUCUAGAACUACUCAAAUUACAUAGUUUUCAUCCAUAUUAUGAAAUGUUAGGAUGCUGCUUAAGAUGGUGCUUCAACUAUUUUAUGACAAUUUUAGUGUUUUUUUAGAUGUUUGUAAAUCAUAUGUUCCAUGCUUGAAUCAAACAUAUCAAACUUAAUUAUCAUUUUGUACGAAAAAGUGUUGCAAUGAGCAUUUUUGUUACAUGUUAUAUUUAUUGUCCAACACAUCCUCACCAACCCUCUGUCUAGAGUCAUUUGGAGAGCCUUGUUUAAAGCUAGUAUCAUCUUGGGCAUGUCAAUAAAAUAAGGGAAGAAGGCAAGUCAUUUAUUUUAAGAAAUCAAUUAAAAUAAGGGAAGAAGGCAAGUCAAUAUCUAGCUCUCCUACAAUGAUCAUGUACCAAUAAGCAAGAGUUCUCAUAAUGUCAUGAAAGUUAAAAUAGUGGGGGCAUGCCGUAGAAAUUUGAUUUCAAUUUUAAAAUUUUAUAAAUUUAUUUUAAAUUAAGUGAUUUUUAUAUUUGGGUUUUGUUUUUAAGGUAAAAUUCAUGAGAAAUUUUCUAUAUAAUUUUCCUAAGAAACAAAAGAAAAAUAGAUAAAAUCAAAACCUAUUUAAGUCGUAUUUGAUUUUUUUAUUGAUUACAAUUUUACUAUUUGUAGUAAAUUGAUUUAUUUAUAUAAUAGAAGUAGUUUAAUUUUUUUAAACAAUACUUAUCCAAAAAUUUUAAAACUCGCUUUGGUUUUCUUUUGUGUUAGAAAUUAGAUUUAAGUAUUAUAACAAAGCUAAAAGUUGAAAAAUAAAAAGACAUUAAACUAAAAGUUAAAAAAAAAAAAUCAUUUUUUUCAUUAAGAUAAAAUUAUCUUUAAAAAAAUAAUAAGUUAAAAAGUAAGGUUUGUUUUGUUACAACUCCUUUUUUUGUCUUUAAAAAUAAAAUCUAUUGUAUAAAAAACAGAAAUUCUUAUAUAAAAUAUGUAGAUUAACUUUAUGUAUGUAUUUAAAAAUUAAUUUAGAAAAUUUUAAAUUUUGAGUAAGCAAAAUUUUUUUAAUACCUUAAUUUUUUUAAUCAACUUUUAGAGUUGUUUUAUUUUAUAUAGAAUUUAUUAUUAUUGUUAUUUGUUUUUAAAAAGGAAAAUAGGAAAUAUCUCCCAAGAAAUACUAAGAUCAUGUUUGUUUACCUUGUUUUUUUUUUAAAGGAAAAUUGAGUUCAAAAAUGGAAAAAGUGAAUAUUUUUAUAAUUUUCUAAAAAAGAUGUAAAUAGUUUUUAAAAAGUGAAAAUAACAUAAAAUAACAUAAAAGGAAUAUAAAUAUUUAUUUACUAAUAAUAUUACGAAACUAUAAUUUUUUCCUUGCUCUUUUACCAAUAUUAUCAUAUUUUUCUUUUAUUUUAAUAGAUCAAGAUAAAUACAAUAGGCCAAUUCCUUAGUGUUAACAGAUAUAUUAAUAUUUGCAUUACAUAAGGGAAAUGAAAUUUUCUAUUGCAUCAUUAAAAUAACCAAUAGCUAAAAUAAAAUAAAAUAAAUAUAAUUUAGUUAUUUAAUUAUUUUUCAUAUAAAAGAAUCAACAACAAAUAAUAAGACACAAUAGAUCAAUUCCUACAUUGAUCAUAAGCAUACUAUUUUUUUUUCUUAUUAUACCAAUUAAACAACAAAUAGAAAAGAAAAUAAAAAUAAUAAUAGAAAAAUAUAAUUUGAAUAUUUUAGUAUAAAAGAAAAUUAGUACCUAAAAAGUUUUUUCCUUUUUAACCAAAAAUAUUUUCAAGAAAAAAAAUAUAAAAAUAAAAACUAUUUUAAAAAAAUAAAAAUUAGAAAACGUUUUUCAAACCAAACUAUCCUAAACUACUCUUAAAAUAUCUUAAUUUGUAAAACAACUUGCUAUGUUCUUGCAUCUUCCUCCCAAUCUUCAGAUGGCAAUAAUUCCUAGAUUUCAACCGCACCUUGCUGGCCCUCAGAGCUAUUAGUUUGGUGAAUCAUUCAAUUUUAUUGUUAGUGUAAUAUUGACUAGACAUUACAAUUCUAAAAUUUUAUAUAAAUAAAUAAAUAAAAAUAGAAGGGUUGGUUGAUUUCUUCUUCUCAUAAUUAUGGAAAGUCAAAUUUAUUUGAAUGAGUUUGUUCAAAUUGAUGUAAAUAAAAUUCAUCACAAAGAAUUAUAAUACUUUUAAGUGGAUGUUUGGUUUUUAUUUAAAAUUUGAAUAAUAUGAAUACAAAAUUAAUACAAAAUAUUAAUUAUACUUUAAUUUUAAAUAAAAAUCAAAGUUUUCAAUUUUUUGUAUUAGUGUAAAAUAUUUGAAAUAAGAUAUAACUUGAAAAAAUAAAUUAUACUAAAAUAUAAAAGUUUAUUUGAGAUUAGGUGGUAUUUGUUUUUUGGUUGAAUAGAAAAAUAUAAAAUAUUUUAUUUUUUUUAUUCAAUUAAAAGUAAUAUAUUGAUAUUAGCAGAUAUAAAUAAAGUGAACUUAUUAGGUUUAAUUUUUUUUUUUAUAACUUUUAGGAAGUGAAAUGACUUUUAGUAAUUUGUUUGUACACAACUUAUUAGACUUGUAUUUUUUAUACCAAAUAAUUAAUGUAUAAAUAUUUCUAAAAUUUAUAAUAAAGUUAUCAACAACAUACGGGUUGCUUGUAGAAACUGUUUUUGAAAAUAUUUUUAUAUUACUGUUAAGAAUUUGUCCUAAAAACAGCUUGAUUUGUAAAAUAAAUUUAAGGUGUUUUAAAUCAAUUUUUGUAAAUGUUUUGAGUGACAAUUGAAAAUGUAAAACAUAUUUUGAAAAUUUUUGUAUUCUCUAUGAAUAAGUAGUAAUUUAAAAGAAAAAAAAAAUAGAACAAACUAGUUUUUAUAUUUGAAUUUUUUAAAUAAAAUUUUGUUUCUAAAGGUAACUAACAAUUUUUUUAAAAAUUAUUUUCAAAAACAGUACAAACAAGGGCAAUGCUCGUUUCCUCCAUUGGGAUUCACUUUGAAGAAAAUUAUCAUUGUCAAUAGAAAUUCAUAUAAAGAGUUACCAGGGGGCUAUAAAAAAAAAAAAAAAAGUACUUUUUCCAUUGAAUAUGAACAGGUCAACCUAACGAGAGAGAGAGAGAGAGAGAGAGAGAGAGAGAUUUUCAAAAACAGUACAAACAAGGGCAAUGCUUAUUUCCUCCAUUGGGAUUCAUUUUGAAGAAAAUUGUUAUUGUCAAUAGAAAUUCAUAUAAAGAGCUACUAGGGGCAUAAAAAAAGAAAAGUACUUUUUUCAUUGAAUAUGAACAGGUCAACUAACACGAGAGAGAGAGAGAGAGAGAGAGAGAGAGCAUUGGGAUUCAUUUUGAAGAAAAUUAUUGUUGUCAAUAGAAAUUCAUAUAAAGAGCAUGCUUUCUCUUCUUUCUCUAGCUUUCAUACACUUGAGACUUAGCCAAGACCUCUCACUUCUCAUCCAACUCCUGAUCAUCAACCAUCAUGCACCAUCAUUCAACAGAAAAGACCAGAAUGAACAGUAGACCACCACUGGUUCGGCUCAUCUUUGUCCUGUUCACCAUCAUUUCCUCAGGCAACAACCCAGAAUUGGUUGCCGGAAAACCCCAUCACACUGCCUCAACCUUCCAGCACAACCAUCCUUCUCCCCGGAGACUUGCUGCUGACACCCAAGGUAAGUUAUGUAACCCUUCAUUCUUCUUUACAAGUUUCCACCAUCAUGGCUUUGUGAGCAAAUGAGUCCCAAAUUUUGCAUACUGCUCUCUCUGAAUGAUUUUGAAUUUCUGUAGGGUUCAUAAGCAUCGACUGUGGGAUAGCUCCAGGCUCAUAUUAUACUGAUGAUAAAACCCAGAUACCUUACACUUCUGAUGCAGAUUUCACAGACACUGGAAUCAAUUAUAAUGUUUCCAGGUCUGAAAAUCCUUCAAAGCAGCUCAUGAAUGUUAGAAGCUUCCCAGAAGGAGCCAGGAAUUGUUACACCCUAGAACCAGAAAAAGGCAAGGGUAAUAAGUAUUUGAUCAGAGCUUUCUUCAUGUAUGGGAACUAUGACUCCAAGAAUCAACUCCCAGUCUUCAAACUUCAUCUGGGUGUUGAUGAAUGGGACACUAUCAACUUCAACAAUUCAAGCCAAACUGUAAGGAAGGAAAUCAUACAUGUCCCCAAAACAGAUUACAUAGAUGUGUGUCUCGUCAACAAUGGUUCUGGGACACCCUUCAUAUCUGCAUUAGAGCUUAGACCGCUUGGUAAUUCCAGUUAUAAUAAAACAGAAUCGGGUUCUCUGCUACUCUUUAACAGAUGGGACAUUGGUUCAGAGCAAGAAAAAUUGCAAGUCAGGUGAGUCACAUGAUUUAGUAGAUCUCUAACAUGACCUGUUGGCUGAAAUUUAUAAUAUUGUGGACAAUUAUCAUAAAAAUGGACCUUUUUUUAGGUACAAAGAUGAUGCUCUUGACCGCAUUUGGAACUCCUACAUGAGUACUUCUUGGGAAUCCAUAACUGCAGGAUUUGAAAGCUAUUCCUACAGCGAAACUCGGUUUAAACUUCCGGGAAUAAUCAUGUCUACUGCUGCAACACCUAAAAAUGAAAGUGAACCCUUGAGAUUCUUCUUGGAUAUGGAUGAUCCUUCUCAAAGGUUUUAUUUGUACAUGCAUUUUUCUGAGGUUUUGCAACUCCAGGGCAACCAGUCCAGAGUAUUUACCAUCUGGCUGAAUGGCAACUUAUGGAGCGAUGCUGUGGCUCCGGAACGCCUUACCUCGACCACAAUAUUUAGCACAAAUUCUGUAAGGGGAAGUAGAUUGUCAUUUUCGCUUCAGAAGACGGGUGAAUCCAUGCUUCCCCCCAUUAUCAAUGCCUUGGAAGUUUAUGUGAUAAAGGAAUUCUCACAAUCAACAACUGACCAAGAAGAUGGUAUGUUAUUAUCAGUUCAAUUGUGGGUGACAGUUAUAAAGCCUCCUAAAUAUUUCUCCUUCUUUGAAAUUGUAGUUGAAGCUAUCAAGAAGAUUAAAUCAGUGUACAUGGUGAGGAGAAACUGGCAAGGAGAUCCAUGUCUUCCAAUGGAUUACCAAUGGGAUGGCCUGAAAUGCAGCGAUAACGGUUCCCCCACCUUAAUAUCAUUGUGAGUUAAGCAUUGGAAAAACAUUUCUGUAAAGGGACUUAGUGAAAAUGACAAAACAUCUACUAAAUAUGCUAUAUUCUAACUGGCAAACAGGAACCUCUCAUAUAGCAAUUUGACAGGAAAGAUACAUCCUUCAUUUUCCAAUCUCAAAUCAUUACAAAAUCUGUAAGUAUUCAUGAAGAUUAAGUACAUAAUCUAAUGGAGUUCUUUAUCCCAAAAUUGUAUUUUAAAUUAUUUCAGGGAUUUGUCUUACAAUAACUUGACUGGAUCAGUGCCAGAGUUCUUAGCUGAACUGUCAUCUCUAACAUUCCUGUGAGUGAUAAAUUGGUCUUUGGUAUUGCAAUGUGUAGUUUCGUCUAAGGUAUGCAGGUAAUGUGGUAUUUGAUGCUGUGUUUGCAGUAAUUUAGAAGGGAACAACUUGACAGGUUCAGUUCCCCAGGCUCUUAUGGAGAAGUAUCAGAAUGGCACAUUGUCCUUGAGGUUUGCUUGAGUUUCAUGUCCAAGAAUUUGGUCUUUACUCUUGGAACUCACUUAAAUUUUGAAAGCUAGUUCUGAAAAUAUGAUGAAAAGAUCAUUAGUCUUAUAGCAAUUCAGCUAUGCUUAUGUUUACCAUGUUCUGUUCAUGCAAGUCUUCGAGAAAAUCCAAAUCUUUGUCUGUCAGUCUCAUGCAAAGGAAAGCAGAACAAGAACUUCAUUGUUCCAGUUCUUGCAUCCAUUAUAUCAGUUCUGGUCCUGUUCCUUCUAAUUGCUGUUGGUAUCAUUUGGAACUUCAAAAGGAAAGAAGACACAGGUAUUUUCUUUCUUUCAUUCCCUAAGACUUUGUAUGAUUCUGCAUUUCAUUGCAGAGAUGUGACCACUACUGGCCUUGUUAUAGAACCUGUCUGAAAGGACUUCAAACUCAUGGAUUUCAUAUGAGCUGCAGAUCAAGGGGAAAAAAAAAAAAAAAAAGAGAGAGAAUUUGAGAGCUGACCUCCUUCUGAUUCAUCAAAAUCCCAUGAAAAUACAUUUUUGUUGAUACAUUUCUGCUUGUUGCAACUAUGAUGAUUUUCUUAGCUAUGGAGAUGGUCACCAAAGAAGGAUCUUUGAAGUCAGGGAACUCAGAGUUCACUUACUCUGAGCUUGUGGCUAUUACCAGAAACUUCACUUCCACCAUUGGACAAGGAGGAUUUGGAAAUGUUCAUCUAGGCACUCUGGUAGAUGGCACUCAAGUCGCGGUCAAGCUGCGCUCACAAUCAUCAAUGCAAGGCUCCAAGGAAUUUCGAGCUGAGGUUAGAUAUAGCAGUCCAUCCUCUGUCACCAUAAAAUCUAUCCAUGUGAUGUUGAAAUAUGAUUAUAAUAGGACAUGCCAGUAUGCCACUGAACAAUUUUGAAUUGCAGGCGAAACUCUUGAUGAGAGUUCAUCAUAAAAACUUGGUUCGCCUUGUUGGGUAUUGCAAUGAUGGUACAAAUAUGGCCCUCAUUUAUGAAUAUAUGUCUAAUGGAAACUUGAGACAGAGGUUAUCAGGUAUCACCAUCUUUAUGUUCUUAAGAUUUGAUCAUUUGAAGUUGGGGACAUAACCUAACAACAGAGAUGCAUAUAUAAAUUUUUGGUGCAGAGAGAGAUACAGAUGUCUUGCAUUGGAAAGAGAGGCUUCAAAUUGCAGUUGAUGCAGCACAAGGUCAGUAAGCAGAUUGCUGCAUUACUAUUUUCCUUCAAAUACUUUUUUCUGAUCAUUUUCUUACUUAAAAGUAAGUUCAUGAUGGCUUAUUGGAACUGUAGGACUGGAGUAUCUGCACAAUGGUUGCAAGCCACCAAUAAUCCACAGAGAUUUGAAGACUUCCAACAUAUUAUUAAAUGAAAAACUGCAAGCUAAGAUAGCUGAUUUUGGGCUGUCCAGAGACCUUGCAACUGAAAGUGGCCCUCCUGUAUCGACUGUCCCUGCAGGCACCCCAGGAUACCUGGAUCCUGAGUAAGUGUUAAUAUAUAUUUCUUGGAAUUUCUACACAACUGCCUCUUUAUUCUCAUAACCCCUUUUCAGGUAUUACUCAUCUGGAAAUUUGAAUAAAAGGAGCGAUGUUUAUAGCUUUGGGAUUGUCUUGUUGGAGCUGAUUACCGGCCAGCCUGCAAUAAUAACCCCUGGGAACAUUCACAUAGUUCAAUGGAUUAGUCCUAUGAUUGAAAGAGGGGAUAUUCAAAACGUUGUUGAUCCAAGGUUGCAAGGAGAUUUCAACACCAAUUCUGCCUGGAAAGCUCUGGAGACAGCCUUAGCAUGUGUACCAUCAACUGCAAUCCAAAGGCCAGACAUGAGCCAUGUACUGGCAGACUUAAAGGAUUGUUUGGAGAUAGAGGUGGGUGCCAUGAGAACUCAGAGGAUAGAUAGCUACAAAAUGGGAUCAAGCAACACCCUAAAAAGCUGUGCAGUGGAUCUUGAAAAUGAAAUGGCUCCCCAUGUUAGAUAGUUAUGGAACACCAUUAGCUGCCAGUUCAAAUUUGCAGUUAUUAAUUAUCCCAUUUUCAUGUUACAAAUUUGCAAAAAGUUGGUCUGUUGUAUUAGGCAAUUCACUCAUCCUUGAAUUGUAUUAGUGAAAAAUGGUAAGAUGGAAUACCAUUCCAACUAAUUCUCAACUUCUAUGGCUGCUCAAACUUGCAUUCGAUUUAUUUUGUGAUAGCAACACAAGCUUAAUUUCUUGUGUCAUCAUCCCUAGUAUAAUAAAAAGAAACAGAUCAGAUCUACAUUUGUGUGUUAUCGUUUAGUUGAGCAGGUGGAAAUGGUGAGGAUCUAAGACUACUACAUUAAUUAUGCCCUUUCAUUCUAGGUGAUAAUGUCAUUUCCAUGUUUCCAUGUCCAAGAAUAUUUAUGAGAUUACUUCUGCAAGUUUAAAAAAUGUGAACUGCAAAAAUGGCAUGAACAGAGUCUUUAUCUCAAGGUAUCUACCAGACAACAUUGCAUUGGCUUCUGGAGAAUUUUGGAAUGGAGUUUCCAGGAAAUAUACUUCCAGAAACCAGGGCCUAAUCUGAACAGAACCCAGAAAAUCUAGGUACAUUGCACCCCAGAAGUGAACCUGUUCUAUAUUUCUUGAUGACAUUUUCUCAGGAAAAAAAAUCUAUCAGGAAAAGGCAGAAAAUAUGAGCCCAAAUCAUAAUUCUUAAUUUAGGUUUUGAUAGCCAAAAACUGGCCUAGAGUUCAGAUAUUUUCCUUUAAACUUUGGUACAUACGCAAAAGAUCACAUUACUUGAGCCAAAUAUCUUUAAACCUGUCGAGUUAAUUCAGUCAUCUUACAUGGGGUUCUGUCCGGCUGGCCUUGAAUGGUCGGCAAAUGUCAACUACCUAUAAUUACUCAAUCACAUGCAACUUUCUGUUGUCUUCAGCUCCCACUGUGUGUGCAUUAUCCUCCCAACCACCAUGUUCCCUUCGUAGUUGGAUGAACAAGACUUCAUAAUUGUGGUUUUUAUGCACUGAGUGUUAUCUCUAAGAAUGAGAAAUGUUAUGGAUGUGAGCUAAUUUGAGAAGUUGAUAUUGUUUCUUUUCUGUUAUUUGAUGAGCUGGAGUAGUUAGUGUGGUUGUGAGACUCCAACCUAUAUACAGGUCACCAUUUUUGUAUCCCGGACUGCACAGAAAUCUGAAUAUCAAUGAGAUAGAUAUUUUCCUCUGUUUUUCUUUCUCAACACUCUGUUUUGAUUCAGAAUUUGUAAUAUGGUAUCAGAGCACUUUAUGCUUCUGCUCAUCUCUGCAUUUAUCUCCAUUUUUGUUUGAUGGCUUAAGGCAACCAAUCCAAUACACGAGCUGUGAUUGGAUUCUCUGAAUCAUCACCGAUGGAAGACACUAGGAGUCCAUUCUAUCUUCACAAUGGGGAUCAUCCUGGUCUUGUACUCAUUUCACACCAUUUGACUGGGAGUAAUUAGUAAGGACUCCCUUGGGCGGACAUGUGGCAGAUUGCCUUGACCUCGCAAGGCACCCUUCUAUUGGACACAUGGCACCCCUUCGCCUCAGUCCGGACAUGUGCCAUCAGCUAGGAACACCCAAUCCGGCCCUAAUAGUCAAUGGCCGGCUGCCUCGUGCUCCUCCAAGAAUGCAUGAUGCGUUCCAAACAGGAUCCCUGACCGGCUUCCGCGAGCAAUCAUUCUUCUCCCCACCAAAAGCACGCUCGAUGGGACAUCCCCAUGUCCUUUCAGGUGACCUGUUACACUCUACAUUGCGCCGCCUGCAGAAUGAGAUGAUAAGCAAGACGCCAGGUCACCUCACCAGCGAUCUCUAUCAGCUGCCUAAAGGAUAAUGGUUGUUCUACCACCCUCUGUGCAACCAUCAUGAUUGUGAAAGUCAAAGGACCUUCCCAGUAUAGAUGUGACAAGGCUCCAGACACUAUAAAAGCCUUCCCAUAGCUAAAAAAAAAGGGUAGUAAGACAGUCCACUUCUUGAGUUCCCAAGAGGGGGUAUUCUCUCUAAUUGUCAAUCUAACUAAAGCUUCGGAGGGUGUGUUCGGACAUCUUUUGUAGGAGAGGAGAAAGAAGCCUCACUCUCAGUUGAUUGGGCGACGACAUCAAGAAGACACGUUACUUCCAGUUAUCCGUCAUCAACAUUGGCGUCAUCUGUGGGAACGACAUAAACAAAGAUGUUCACACCCUCAAGCAGUCGUUCAUCAGCCAUGGGUGACGAAGGUUACUUCGACUGGCGUGAAAGAAUGGAAAGACGAUAGCAAGAAAGCGAGUGACAAGUACAAGCCCUGCUUCAGGAAACAAGGAGACUCAGGGAGGAAAACGAUGUGUUGAGGAUUCAGGUCUCUUUGUCAGGCCCUUCCAAUGACCAGCGACUGAGGAGCCACCGGACAAACUCCAGGCAUAACCAAGAGGCCAUGUAUCCUGGGAACACAGAAUCCCCCCCCCCCCUUAACGUGCACGGUGUAUGGCCUAAUGAAGGACCCCUACCUACCUAUUGUGCACUGCAAGACGAAAGCUCGAACUCCACUCAUGUCUCAUCAAAGAGGCAAUGCGAUAGAAAGCCCUAGUUAUCUGACAUGAUGCGCGCAAGGUAGGGACAACAAGUACCUAGUAAAGAUAGGCUGCGUACAACAACGACCUAAGAGGCAUAUCCUAGUCCCUCAGUCAUACCCAUCACGUAAGACUGUCCCCCACACUGACCACUACAACGAAUCGGGAAAGAGGUGGCAAGCAAAGCCCCCCUUCGACUCCAUCAGUAGGCGAUUGGAUGACAUGCUCUCCACACCUUUCAGCUCUCGUAUUAUCAAUUACAAGCCCCCAAGAGGGUUCCUCGUGCCAAAAUUUUCCGCGUACGACGGAUCCAAUGACCCAUUUGAUCACAUCAUGCGCUACCGACAACUUAUGACUCUUGAUAUAGGGAAUGACACUCUGUUAUGCAAGGUCUUCCCUGCCAGCCUCCAAGGCCAAGCUCUCUCAUGGUUCCAUCGGCUUCCCAUGAAUUCUGUUGAUAAUUUCUAGGAUCCAUCAAAGGCUUUUGUGGGGUAAUACCUGUGCUCAACACGACAUAAACAGAAUAUUAGCACCCUGCAAAACAUAAAAAUGCAAGAAAAUGAAUCUCUAAGGGAGUUUGUGAAACGAUUUGGACAAGCUAUAUUACGAGUGGAGUCCUACAGCAUGGACGUUGUCCUCUAAAUUUUUAAGCGAAGCAUAUGUCUAGGCACGCCAUUCUUCGAAUCUCUUGCCAAAAAACCUCCCACGACUAUGGAUGAUCUGUUCUGGCGUGCAAACAAGUACUCUAUGCUGGAAGAUGAUGUUUGUGUAGCCACACAACAUAUCCUAGUUAUUGGCCAGGCAGUGAGGAACAACGCGAUAAAGAGCCCCAAACCCUCAAGUCAACGAAGGCUACCGAGCAGGGGGCAAGGCAAGCAACGCCAGCUAGACCAGUUCGUGCUCACCCCUCUCACCGUGUCAUAAGAAAAGCUUCUUCCUAUGAUCCUCGAGCUAUCCAACUUUAGGUGGCUAGAACCACUAAAAACGAGCCUAGCCAAGAGAGAUCACAACAGAAAGUGUGAUUAUCACAAAGAGCAUGGACAUACCACAGAGUAGUGCAGGAGUUUUCAUUACUUGGUGGAAAAACUCAUAAAAGCGGGACAUCUAAAACAGUACAUCCGCUUAGGAGCUAAAAGUGGAGAAACUUCCCAAAAUCAAGUCUCCGCAGCCCCCUCAACUCCCGUUGUUCCUAGGGUCAUAAUCAACUACAUCCAUGGCAGACCCUUGAACGAAGAAUACAACUCCAAGCGAAAAAGAGAAAGGCUGCUGUGGGCCUCCUAGGUCCGAGAAAAUGUUAACUCCAUCCGGCCUGGGCUAGCUAGUGGAGGCACUCACCCAAUAGAUGGAGUAAUCCUCUUUCCCCCAGUGGACCCAUCCGAAUAUUGUAGCCACACCGAGAUGCCCUUGUCUUGACGCUAGGAAUCGAUGAUUUCAAUGUGAGACGAAUUUUGGUCGACUCGGGCAACUCGACAGACCUCUUGCAAGUAUCGCUAAUAAAAAAAAUGGGAUUCAUCCCCUCCAGUUUAGAGACCCAGGGUGGAUAUUGUUAGGAUUCAAUGGGGCCUCAAAUACUUUUCUUGGGGACAUCGUGUUGUCAAUUCAAGCAGGCCCACUCAUCCUUAAUGUGCAAUUUUCAAUGGUAGAAAACUUAUCCAUCUUUAAUGCCAUCUUAGGGCGCACCUGGUUGUACAACAUGAAAGUCAUCCCUUCCACAUAUCAUCAGAUGAUGAGUUACCUCACCAAAGAUGGAUAGAUCGAUCUCUAUGGUAGCCAGUUGCCUGCCCGUCAAUGCUACCAAGUAGCACUAGAGGCCGGACCUAGCAAUGAUUGUGAAACCCUCCCCCCCCCCAAGCAAACGUGCCCAACCAAUAGAAAUUAUAGUACCCAACAGAUAAAGAUCCCCCGGUAGCAAAUCCUUUGCAAACUAUUCAAGUCUUAGAGGAAGAUGGUUGUUUUACUUACGCCAACCAGCUUCUUUUUAGAGCCAAACGAGACGCAACGCCUCAAGGAAACACUUCAACAAAACAAAGAUGUUUUCGCAUGGACGCACUCUGACAUGCCCGGAAUCCACCCAUCGGUUGCCUCCCAUCGACUUAACGUUUUGCCAUCAUCGAGACCUGUCUGAUAGUUUCAUCUGGAUAGGCAGAAAAUCAUUCAAAAUGAGGUAGAUAAGUUACUAGCAGCCAGGGUUAUUAGGGAAGUUGAGUAUCUAGACUUGUUGGCAAAUGUGGUGGUGGUCCCCAAAAAGGAAGGAAAGUGGCGAGGUGCAUUGAUUACACUAACCUCAACAAUGCAUGCCCCAAAGAUAGCUUUCCACUACCGCGGAUAAACCAAAUAAUGGACUCUAUCGUCGGACAUGGGAUGCUAUCUUUUCUGAAUGUCUUCUCUGAAUACCACCAGAUUCCCAUGGCUUCGAUAGACGAAGAAAAGAUUGCCUUUAUAAUGCCGCAUGGACUUUAUUGCUACAAAGUCAUGCCAUUCAGGCUCAAGAACGCUGGAGCCACCUACCAAAGGCUAAUGACUAAAAUUUUCAAGCCUUUAAUCGGUCACAUGGUAGAAGUAUACAUUGAUGACAUAGUGGUUAAAAGCAAAACCAAAGAAAAGCAUACCCAACGCUUGUAAGAAGUUUUCCACUUACUAAGAAAAUACGACAUGAAGCUCAAUCCAUAAAUGCACAUUCGGUGUAAGCGCAGGCAAAUUCCUAGGGUUCAUGGUCACCCAAAGGGGAAUAGAAGUUAGCCUAGAUCAAGUUAAGGCGGUCCUGGAGACAUUUGCCCCUAAAAUAAAAAAAGAGCAGCAACGCCUCACCGAUAAACUCAUUGCCCUGGGACGUUUCAUAGCCCGAUUCACAGACAAGCUGAAGCCCUUCUUCCUCGUGUUGAGGGAAGCCGGUGCAACAGGAUAGACGGAGAACUUCCAGUCCGCGUUCGAAGAAAUCAAGCAUUACCUCACAAAAUCGCUUAUUCUAAGCAGCCCUUAGCCUGGCAAGCGAUUGUACAUGUACUUAGCAGUGUCUGAUUGGGCGGUCAGCGUUGUCUUAUUUCGCUGCCUAUAGCAUAAAGAGUAGAAACAUGUUUACUACAUUAAUAGAGCAAUGACCGAUGUGGAAACCAGAUACUCAAAAAUGGAGCAAACGACCUUAGCCUUGUGAAGCGUCGCUCAGAAACUCAGCCCAUAUUUCCAAGCUCAUCCGAUAAUUGUGCUUACCAACCAGCCCCUUCGAAGUAUCUUACAUAAACCAGAUCUAUAAGAAAUAACGUUGAAAUGGGCCAUAGAGUUGAGCGAGUACGGAAUCGAAUACCAACCUAGGUUGUCCAUAAAAGAACAGGUCAUGGCUAACUUCAAAGUUGAGGUACCCUAACAACCCGUCCAAGGCAUGGAAUCGAACAAAAAGGAAUGGUGGACCUUGCAAAUUGAUGGGGCCUCCCGAUCCUCAGGAUCCAGGUAGGUCUCCUUCUACGAUCUCCGACUGGUGAACAAUUGGAGUAGCCCAUUCGACUCGGAUUCCCUGCAUCUAACAAUGAAGCCGAAUACGAAGCUAUUAUAUCCAUAUUAAACCUCGCGCUCGCAUUUUCCGCCUUUAAACUCAGGAUCUACAAUGAUUCUCAACUCAUUAUGGGAUAUAUAAAAAAAGAAUACGAAGCCAAAGAUGAGCGCAUGUCUCAAUACUUGAUGAAAGUGUGGGACAUCCUGAAACAACUGCACAAAUGGGUUAUCGAGAAGAUCCUCCGGGCGGAUAACGUACAGGCUGAUGCCUUGGUAGGAAUAGCUACUUCACUCCCUGUAAGAGAAGCCAUAUUGCUGCCCAUACAUCUCCAGACCACUCCCUCAAUUGUAGAGUCGCCCAUCUGCAACACUAACGAAGAAAGCAAAGAGUGGACAAGCACAAUAAAGGAGUAUCUCCGAACAGGAUCCUUGUUUGAGGAAUUCAAACAUGCACAUAAGAUCCGAGUGCAGGCUGCUCGUUUCACCUUGAUUGAGGGUUACUUUUACAAGCGAUCUUUUGGAAGCCCAUACCUCAGAUGCUUAGACCGUUCGGAAGCUCAAUAUGUGCUAGCAGAAUGGAAUGAAGGUGUAUGUGACAACCACUCGGGAAGCCAAUCUUUAGCACAUCGUGCCCACUUGUAAGGAUACUAUUGGCCCACUAUGAAGCGAGACACAGAAGCUUAUGUCAAGAAAUGUGACAAGUGCCAAAGAUACGCGCCCAUCCCACAUAUGCCAUCCGAAACGCUUAACCCGAUAACGAGCCCCUAGCCAUUCGCGUAGUGGGGGAUGGACAUAGUAGGACCCUUGCUUGCUACGACCGCUCAAAAUAAAUUCCUACUCGUAGCCACUAACUAUUUCAGCAAAUGGGUAGAGGCAGAAGCUUAUGCUAGCAUCAAAGACAAAGAUAUCAUGAUGUUUGUUUGGAAUAACAUUGUCUGCCGAUUCGGUAUUCCCCAAACAAUUAUAGCUGACAAUAGACCGCAGUUUAACAGUGUCGCCUUUAGGAUUUUUUAUUCAGAGCUAAAAAUCAAGAACUUAUACUUUACGCCACGGUACCCCCAAAGCAACGGGCAAGCAAAAGCAACGAACAAAACCCCUGUUAUCCGCAUUAAAGAAAAUGCUAGAGCAAGCCAAAGGAAAAUGGGUGGAGGAGUUGCUCGGCGUCUUGUGGGCCUACCGAAUAACGCCUGGACGACCGACAGGAAACACUCCUUUCACUCUCGUAUAUGGGAUGGACGCAAUAAUCCCUACAAAAAUAGGCAUGCCCACAGCCCGGACGGCUGUGCAAGGUCAAAGGGACGAAAGCUAAGAACUUGGAAAACACCUAGAUUGGGCGGACGAAGUAAGGGAAAGUGCAUUCAUCCGAAUGGUUGCCUAUCAACAAAGAGCGGCUGCCCACUACAACCGUAAGGCCCAACCCCGCACCUUCAAGGUCGGAACACUCGUCCUCAGAAAGGUCUUUGAAAAUACAACUAAAAAGGGAGUCGGAAAGCUCCAAGCAAACUCGGAGGGCCCUUACAUUGUCUCAAAGUCAACUGAAAGUAAGGCUUAUAACUUGCAUAAGCUGGAUAGAACUCCUUUACUUCGUCCGUGAAAUGUAUCUAACCUAAAACAAUACUAUCAGUAAAGGAAAAAAUGAAUGAAGAUCAAAAGAAAAGCAGAGGAAUAUUGUAUUCAUGAUUAUAAAUAUAAAAAUUGUCUUUACAAAUCAUCAGCUAAACCAUGCACGGUAGAAAGAAAGCUAUAUGGAGGGAUUACACAAAGAAAAUGUCGUCUCAUCACGAGGAACCCCCAAGUAUCUCAUCGUCAUCAUUAGAAGGAAAUGAGGGAAUGUCGUGCAUAAUGUCGUUCUUCUUCAUGCAGCAGUAGUAACCGAAAAAGUACAUUUCAUCCACUUGCUUUUGGUAUUCUUCCUCCAGCUCCUUAUUCUAAGCGGCGAACCUAGCCUCCAGCUCAUUUUUUUGAACGAUAAACCUUGUCUGUAGCUCCUCCAUAUAUUUCUUCUGAGUCAUGAAUCCAGCGCAGAGCUCCUCUAUCUCCCUCUUUAAUUGGGAGAUCUCAUGUUCGACUCCUUUGAGCUUGGUCUCCAUAACUCCGCUCUCCUUCUUCAGCUUGUCCGCCUCAGUGCGGAUCGCUUCCCUCUCUCCCUCAGCCAGCUUUAGAGCCUCAACUUCCUUCGCAACAGCUUUUUAAGCAACAACAAGAUCAAUCUCUGCUCGCUCCAACCUUGCACGCAGCUCCAUACCACCACUCAUGCGAUGGGAGAUGAAAGCUAGCAUAGGCUCAAUUACCUCCAACCGCUUAAAAAACAGUGUGCGUUGAUGCACCAUGUUGCGGAUGCCACCCACCAACUAGAAGAAAUAACAGAAACAGGGUUAGUGCUAGCUAGGGAGGUGUGCAUUAUCCGGAAAUGGAGCAAAAUAGAAGAAGUUACCAUUUCUACAGUCUCCUACACUGUGCAGUCCUACAGUUGCUGAAUACGGGAGACGGUAGACUUGAGCGUGCCAAAAGAAAGUCGGGCUGAGACAAAAACGAGAAGGUCGCCGCCUAAAUUCAUCGAUAUCUACUUGGUAAGAGGAAAGAAAUCUGACAUCUUGGUGGAAGGCGGCUCAGCAUCGAUAAAGCAUGACACGCGCUUCAGCAUAUCCAUCAUUUCAUCCCAACUUGGAGGAAGAGCGGACGCAGGAGUGUCUUUUUGGUCCAAAACCUCCUCAACAGGAAUAGCACCACUAGAGGCCCCACCUAGAGUCGAGCCAACCUCUUUCUCAGCAGCAGGUGCGUUGCUAGGCCCCACGGUAUCUGGUGGGGGCACUGGCAUUAGAGGGACGUCUCUCCCAGGCUCCUCUUGAGCCCCCUCCGGGCAAGCCUUUUUGGCUGGAGGAGGAACCAUAUCGAUAGCGUCAUGGAGACGUUUGCGAUGUCUCUUCUUAAAAUCGGCCCUCAGAUCAGCUGACAUGUCUUUUUCUGCUUCCGGUUCGUCUAUAAAUCUGAGGGCUAUAGGCUCUAGCUCGGGCUUGAAAUGGUAAGUCCCUGGAUCGUUUGGAUCGAGCCUCAAGGAAUCGAAGUCACCCUUGAAAGUUUGGAUGGAGCUAUCCGCCGAAUUGGACGUUGAAGGAGUAGAGGUAGUCGGAGAUUUAGAAACCAAAGUCGAAGCCUUGGUCACUUUUAUGCUGGGCCUAUUCUUCUUCUUCUUAGCUGGAGGACAAGCCACAGACGAUGAGGCCCGACCCUUCUUGCUUGGUGCUCUCCUUAAUUUCCCCCCCUGUCUUUUCUCCUCCCGCUGCUCAAGACGCUCAUGACGAGCCUUGGCGUCUGCCUUGCAUGCCUCUUCGUAAAGGGGAAGGUCCUUCAAGACGAAGUGCUCUUCAAGCACCACAACCUUAGACAACCGCCUAGGAAUGAUGGGGAGGACGUAUGGUUGGGGCUCUCGGAUAACCGCAAGCAAGUUCCGGGCAGAGAUGAGCGUCUGGUGGUUUCUUUCACUGGCAAUGAUCUCGAACAACUUGUUCAGACAAAUGAACGAAGCCUCCUCCACCCACUCGACCAGACAACCCCUCUUAUCCUUACCUACACCAGCUGAAACAUAAAAUAUUAGCGACCAAGUGGCAUUAACUCAAUAGAAAAUAGUAAGGGGAGAGACACUCAAAACCAUCCCUACUUGGAAUCUUUAAUGAACAAUUAGGGUGGAAAUCCCUUUCUAGAUGCUCUAUCAAGCCGGCCCAUGGUCCCCGGACCAGCACAUGUCCCUUGGCCCCUCCUUUGUUCGAGUCAGGAAGGCCCGUCACCAACUUGAGGGACGGGAUAUGGGCGAACAUGCUGAAAAUGUCCUUUUUGCCCUUUUUGAUGGUGUAGACGAAGAAGACCUCUAGUAGGGAGAGGUCCAAAUGGAAGAGCAUGUUCAAGAUGUUCCACCCCAUUAACACCUGGACGAUAUUAGAAUGGAUAUGGGCUAGAGGGAUCUGGGUAUAGUGCAAGAACUGCUUGAAAAUGGACAGAAGAGGAAAACCGAGCCUAACAUUGAACUGCUCCUUGCUAAAGAAAAUGGUGUUGUGUGCAGCCUUCUCUGUGGACGUUGGAUCUUCCUCCACUAACUGAACACAAAUGCCAUUUGGGAUGAAGAAGUGUUCGCGGAAUUCCUGCUCAUUGAGAAGCUCAAUAGGCUUCCCCGGAUUAGGGCGUCCGGAACUCAUGACUGUCUAAUCGCCCUUCCCAUCUUACCCAGCCGCACUGGAUGAGGCAGUGUUCUUUUUUACAGGCAUAUUGGAGCGGUGGGCUGAGUCAAACCUACAUGGCACAGUGCCAACAGUUAGAAAGCAGCUACCCGGUCCUACUGCCAAGAGGGCAGUGCCCCAAGGUGCGCAACUAGCUAGCAUGCUUGAUCUAGUGGCCACACAAAUGGGGAAACCCGAUUCCACUCAUCGAUUCCUAACCCUAGCUACGGAUUGACUCGCUGCAACCUUCAGACACAUAAAGGGAGGCAAACACCCAGUAGACUCAACAGAGCCUCAAAAUGCAAAAAUAACCAAACUUAACCCUAAAAAAUGUUAUAAGGGCAUGCCACCAGUGGAGUAUGACGCCCCGGAGCAGUCACGUACCCUAUUCUACAAAGUCUGACAAAGUCAUUUCCUGACCCACCGAAACUCCCAAGCAUCACCACAAUCCCCAAUCACAAACAAGCACUCCAAUAAAGGAAAAAUGGUAAAUAGACGACAUAGAGGAGAAAAAGGAACAUACCUGGCAAGUGCUUACGACGAUGAAAAGAACUGAACCAUGGUCGCUUGAGUAAACCAGUCGAGAAAUCGCCAAGGAAAGUGUCACCGUGCAAAGCCUAAGAUCACUGCCUAGGUAUUGUCAGAACAAAGCAAAGGGGGGGGGGGGGGGGGGAGAAAUCCCUAGGAACCCCAAACGACAAGGUGCCCAAUCGCACUUCACUCGAGGUGACACGCUGCCUGGUAGCAAUUUCAAGAACAACGUCUCUUCAAAAUGCCCUUCCCAAGUGCCACGUGUCGCGCAAUCGCUGAAAGAAUUUGAAAAAUCGUUUUAACCCACCUUUUCUGACCGGACAAAACAAUCAGGUUAAAAGUGGGCAUUGUAAAGACCUCCCUUGGGCGGACACGUGGCAGAUUGCCUUGACCUUGCAAAACACCCUUCUAUUGGACACGUGGUACCCCUUCGCCUCUGUCUGGACAUGUGCCAUUAGAUGGGAACCCCAAUUCGGCCCCAAUAGUCAAUAGUCAACUACCUCGUGCUCCUCUAAGAAUGCAUGACACGUUCCAAAUAGGAUCCCUGACCGGCUUCCGCGGGCAAUCAUUCUUCUCCCCACCAAAAGCACACUCGAUGGGACAUCCCCAUGUCCUUUUAGGCGACCUGCUACGCUCUGCACUGCGCUGCCUACAGAAUGAGGUGACAAGCAAGAUGCCAGGACGCCCCACCAGCGAUCCCUAUCAGCCGCCUAAAGGAUAAUGAUUGCUCUGCCACCCUCUGUGCAGCCAUCAUGAUUGUGAAAGUCAAAGGACCUUCCUAACAUAGAUGUGACAAGGCUCCAAACACUAUAAAAGCCUUCCCAUAGCUCAAAAAAAUGGGGGGUAAGACAGUCCACUUCUUGAGUUCCCAAGAAGGGGUAUUCUCUCCAAUUGUCAAUCUAACUAGAGUUUCGGAGGGUGUGUCCGGACAACCUGUCCGAACAUCUUUUACAGGAGAGGAGAAAGAAGCCUCACUCUCAGUUGAUUGGGCGACGACAUCAGGAAGACACAUUACUUCCAGUUAUCCGUCAUCAACAAAUCACAUGCAACUUUCUUGUGUCUUCAGCUCCCACUGUGUGUGCAUUAUCCUCCCAACCACCAUGUUCCCUUCGUAGUUAGAUGAACAAGACUUCAUAAUUGAGGUUUUUAUGCACUGAGUGUUAUCUCUAAGAAUGAGAAAUGUUAUGGAUGUGAGAUAAUUUGAGAUGUUGAUAUUGUUUCUUUUCUGUUAUUUGAUGAGCUGGAGUAGUUAGUGUGGUUGUGAGACUCCAAGCUAUAUACAGGUCACCAUUUUUGUAUCCCGGACUGCACAGAAAUCUGAAUAUCAAUGAGAUAGAUAUUUUCCUCUGUUUUUCUUUCUCAACACUCUGUUUUGAUCCAGAAUUUGUAAUAUGGUAUCAGAGCACUUUAUGCUUCUGCUUAUCUAUGCAUUUAUCUCCAUUUUUGUUUGAUGGCUUGAGGCAACCAAUCCAAUACACGAGCUGUGAUUGGAUCCUCUGAAUCGUCACCGAUGGAAGACACUGGGAGUCCAUUCUAUCUUCACAAUGGGGAUCAUCCUGGUCUUGUACUCGUUUCACACCAUUUGACUGGGAGUAAUUACAAUACCUGGAGUAGAGCCAUGAUUAUGGCAUUGACUGCGAAAAACAAAAUGGGAUUUGUGGACGGAACUAUACCAUGAGCAGCGCCCAACGAUCUCCUCUUCAAUGCUUGGAAUCGCUGCAACAGCAUGGUGAUUUCGUGGCUCUUAAACUCAGUUUCUCGGGAGAUUGCUGAUAGCUUAAUGUAUAUUGCAACAAGCUCAGAGAUCUGGAUGGAUCUACGGGAUCAAUUUCGUCAACGUAAUGCUCAUUGGAUUUUUCAGCUUCGUAAGCAACUCAUUGCACUGCAGCAAGGAGGUCUUGACAUUAAUACGUACUACACUUGAUUCAAGGUUCUUUGGGAAGAACUCAAAAACUUUCAACCAUUACCAGCUUGUCAUUGUGGAGGAAUGCAAGCUUGGGUGGAGUAUCAGCAGCAGGAACAUGUGAUUCAAUUUCUAAUGGGGUUGAACGACUCUUAUUCUCAGACUCGGAGCCAAAUCCUGAUGAUGGAGCCCAUUCCGCCGUUAGCGAAGGUUUUCGCACUUGUUCUUCAAGAGGAGAGACAACGAUCUAUCAAUCAAGGUUUCUCUUCUUUAUUGCAACCCUUAGCUUUGGGAGAUUCAAGUCAAGCUUCUGCAAAUACUCAUAUUGGCAGCUCUGCUUCUAAACCCAAGUUUGAACGGCCUCAAUGUACCCAUUGUGGGCUUCAAGGGCACGCUAUGGAUCGCUGUUACAAGCUUCAUGGGUACCCACUUGGGUAUAAGCCCAAGUCAAAGAGUCAAUUGGGCCAGGUCCAAGCCAAUCAAACCUCCUCACUUGUUUCUAAUGAGCCAGCUGCUGCAGAUUUGACAGUGGGUGCACUCUCUUCUAGUCAAUGCCAGCAACUCAUUGCCUUGCUUAGUUCCUAGUUGCAGCGUAGCUCACUUUCAACUGUGGAAUCACUACAACAGGGUGGCCCUUCCGUCUCCAGCUUCAGUGGUAAAGUCAUUCUGUUCUUCUCUUGUUCUUCAAUUCUUGGGUCAUGGAUACUGGGACAACCCACCAUGUUUGUCGCACUCUAAGUUUAUUCAAAUCCACUUCUCCAUCUUUCAAUUCCAGUGUCACUCUUCUUAAUGGGGAAUCUGUAGUCAUUACUCGUAUAGGGUCCAUAGAACUGUUUGAUCAUUUUGUGCUUGAGAACGUCUUAUAUGUUCCUCAAUUUCGAUUCAACUUGCUUUCAGUUAGUGCCCUCACUCAAUCCCAUAGAUGCUUUAUUCAAUUUGAUUCUGAAUCUUGUUUUAGUCAGGACCAUUUGCAGGGGAAGAUGAUUUGGAUGGGUAAACGCAAGGGCAACCUUUACAUUUUGGAUCCAACCAACCUUUUUCCUAUCUCAGGUGUUUGUAAUCAUGUCUCUAAGAAAGAACAUGAAGUUUGGCAUUCCCGUUUAAGACAUCUCUCUUAUGUUAGACUUAAUGUUUUGAAAAAUAUAUUACAUUUUAAACAACUCCUUAAUGAAACACCUCAUUGUUCAAUUUUUCAUUUAGCAAAGCAGAAACGUUUACCAUUUCCUAAUUCUAAUUCUGUGUCAAUUUUUGCUUUUGAAUUGUUGCAUUUGGAUAUUUGGGGUGCUUUCCAUUUACCAACCUGUGAUGGGUUCCAUUAUUUCCUUACCAUUGUGGAUGAUUUUUUUCGUUUUACCUAGGUGUAUUUGUUGAAAGCUAAAUCUGAUGUUGCUAGCAUUUUUCCUGCAUUUUAUAAUCUUGUCCACACAUAAUAUGGUGUUAAAAUCAAAUCAGUUUGUAGUGAUAAUGCACCUGAAUUAGCUUUCACAGAUUUCUUUCAUGACAAAGGGAUAAUGUCUUUCCAUUCUUGUGUUGACACUCCUCAACAAAACUCCAUUGUGGAACGAAAGCACCAAUACCUUUUGAAUGUAGGUCAUGCUCUAUUGUUUCAAUCUCAUAUCCCAUUAGCAUAUUGGGGUGAUUGCAUUUUAACUACCUCAUAUCUCAUAAAUAGGAUACCUUCCCCUGUCUUGUCUAAUAAAACCCCUUUUGAAGCUUUAUAUCAUAAGGUUCCUUUCUAUAAUCAUCUUCAUACUUUUGGUUGCCUAUUGCCUAUGCUAUGGAUCUACACUCACUCGUCAUCGUGAUAAGUUCUCUCAUCGGGCAAUUCGGUCCGUGUUCCUUGGUUAUCCUCCAGGUUGUAAAGGCUACAAACUGUUAAAUCUUGAUACUAAUGCAAUUUACAUUAGCAGGGAUGUAGUCUUUCAUGAAGCUUUGUUUCCUUUUCAGACAAAUAACCAGGAACCUUCUCUUUCUGAGUUAUUUUCUGACAAUGUUCUUCCUUCUGCACAUAGGAGCACUUUUUCUUCACCUCUUACUUUGGUCAAUGAUCCAACUCCUACUUUUCCCAAGCAAAAUCUUGUCACUACUCCUUCUUGCCCUUCUCAAGUUGCAAAGCCACCCUCUUAUCUUCAGGAUUAUCACUGCUAUGCCACUGUUUCACAACCCACUCCUGUUUUGUAUCCUCUUUCCAGUGUGCUUAGUUAUGAUAAACUUUCCUCUUCUCAUCGUGCCUUGGUUCAUGCUAUCUUUUCACAUGUUGAACCCACUUCUUUUACCCAAGCUGUUGAAAUUCCAAAGUGGUAGCAAGCUAUGCAAGCAGAACUACAAGUUCUUGAGGCGAAUGGUACAUGGUCCUUAACCACCCUUCCUUCUAGUAAACUAGCUGUGGGAUGUAAAUGGGUUUACAAAUUAAAAUUUCGAGCUAAUGGUACACUUGAGCGUCAUAAAGCACAUUUAGUUGCAAAAGGAUAUACUAAAAAAGGUCUGGAUCAUGUAGAUACAUUUUCCCCAGUGGCUAAAUUGGUAACAAUUAAACUUUUGUUAGCUUUAGCAGCUAUUCAUGGGUGGCAUCUCAUCCAAUUGGAUGUUAACAAUGCUUUUCUUCACGGUGAUUUAAUUGAGGAGGUCUACAUGUGCUUGCCUCAAGGAUAUCACCGUGAGGGGGAGACUCCUCCUUCUCCUAACACUGUUUGCAGGUUGCACAAGUCAAUUUAUGGCCUCAAACAAGCUUCCAGACAAUGGUUUGCCAAGCUUUCAAGUGUGCUAUUGAGGAGAGGUUUCACUCAAGUCAUCCUCAGAUCAUUCAUUGUUUAUAAAAAAUAAUGUUGACUCUUUCGAUGCAGUUCUUGUGUAUGUUGAUCAUAUCAUUGUUGCCAGCAAUGAUUCUAACAGUAUUGCAGAUCUUAAAUGCUUUAUUGAUAGUCAAUUCAAACUUAAGGACCCCGGACAACUCAAAUACUUUCUUGGUCUUGAAGUGGCCAGGUCAAAGAAUGGAAUCUCUAUUAGCCAAAGACACUAUGCCCUUCAGCUACUCUCAGAAGCAGGAUUUCUGGGCUGUAAACCUGCAAAUACCCCUAUGGAAGCUAACAUUAAGCUUACUCAAGAUGAUGGAGAGCCACUCAAAGAUCCCGAAUUGUACAGACGCUUAAUUUGGAAGCUUUUAUAUUUGACAAUUACACGGCCAGACUUGUCAUAUGUAGUGAAUCGGCUUAGUCAGUAUCUUGCAAAUCCAAGGACAGCUCACCUACAAGUAGUACAUUGUGUUUUACAGUAUAUCAAAGGAACUAUGGGGUAGGGUCUCUAUUUCUCUUCAUCUUCAACAGUUUAGCUAAAAGCUUUUGUGGAUUCAGAUUGGGCUGCUUGCAAAGAAACGAGGAGAUCAAUUAGUGGUUUUUGUGUAUUUCUUGGAGAGUUGCUGAUUUUGUGGAAAUCAAAGAAGCAAAGCACUGUAUCUCAUUCAUCUGCAGAAGCAGAGUAUCGUGCAAUGGCUAACGUUACUUGUGAACUGGUUUGGUUGAUCUCUCUUCUUCGAGAUUUUCAAAAUUGAACACAAGCAGCCAGCAAUGUUAUUCUGUGAUAAUGAAACAGCACUUCAUAUUACAGCCAAUCUCAUGUUCCAUGAGCGGACAAAACAUAUUGGGAUCGACUGUCAACUUAUGAGAGAGAAGAUUCAAGCAGGCUGUCUUAAAACAAUGCAUGUUUCAUCCCAACACCAGGUUGCAGACCUCCUCACCAAAGCUUUGUUCCCAGCUCAGUUCAAGUUUUUGCUCAGCAAGAUGGGAAUUCACAAUUUUCAUUCUCCAUCUUGAGGAGGAGUAAUAGAAUCUUAUGGCAUUUAUGUAAUUAGCUAUUCCCAAUUCAGUUGAUAUUGUUUCUUUUCUGUUAUUUGAUGAGCUGGAGUAGUUAGUGUGGUUGUGAGACUCCAAGCUAUAUACAGGUCACCAUUUUUGUAUCCCGGACUGUACAUAAAUCUGAAUAUCAAUGGGAUAGAUAUUUUCCUCUGUUUUUCUUUCUCAACACUCUGUUUUGAUCCAGAAUUUGUAAUAUAUAACAACUUCAGAAACUGCCUUAAUGGCUACUCUACUUCCAUUUUUCCUUCAAGGACACGGACUUCAAUCACAUCGUGUUCAGCGUUUCUUAUAAGACCAAGAGUCCUGGAUCAGCCCCAAGUACUGUAAUCUGAGAAUGGGCAUCCAUUGUUUCUGGGCAUUGUUUUUGGCCUUGGCUUUGGCCUUUGCCAUCAUCGGCAAAGCUCAGGACACCACUCUUGUUCCAUCCAUCGUAACUUUUGGAGACUCUGCUGUAGAUGUUGGGAAUAAUGAGUAUCUCCCCACCAUUUUCAAGUCCAAUUACCCUCCUUAUGGAAGGGACUUCAUCAACCAUCAGCCUACAGGGAGGUUCUGCAAUGGAAAACUAGCAACAGACAUUACUGGUAAUCAGCUUAAAGCAUUGAUCCAAUCCCACUGAAUUUGGUACCUUAUCAAAUUUAUGUACUAACCAUGAUUGUAAUUCCAUUUACAGCUGACAUUUUUGGCUUCAAGACUUACCCCCCAGCAUACCUUAUCACCAAGGCAUCAGGGGGAACCUUCUGAUUGGAGCCAACUUUGCCUCUGCUGGCUCUAUUUAUGAUGACAAAACAGCCAUCUUAAGUGUAAGAAAAUUCCCUCAUUCUCUAGUUUUGUUUCCAAGAAAACCUAAGAAAACAAAUUUUCCAAUCAUCAAACAUUGUUCCAAUACACUUUCAACAUAGAAAAUCUUCAUAUUAGCAUUGUGAUCACAAGCUAAUCACUCCUAGAUUUGGGUUAAGUAUAAAUAGGUUUAGAUGAAAUUCAUGUCAACUUGCAUAACAUGUUCAAUAAAUAGAUAAUUUUUGGGUUAACUUGCAUAGCACGAAUUUAAUCCAAAUUGACUUAUUUAAUAAUCCUGCUAAUUAACAUCAUUAUAAUUUUAGGUUAUUUAACCUGAUUAUUAAAUAUGAAAACUUAAUUAUUAAAUAAGUUAAAUGGGUUAUACAACGAGUGCUACCUGUUUAAUAAUUAGAUAAUAUUCAGAUUUAUGUUUUUAACAUGAUUUUCAUAUUGGUUUUGGGUUAACCUAUGUAGCAAAAUACCUUUAACAUGACACGAACACAAACACAAUCCACCAAUAUAAACUGUCAUCCCUAAAUAUUAUUAAUCUUUUUCUAAUAAAUUACACAAAGGAUUUACUAAUAUAGGCCACUCUGCCUGGCAAGCAGGAACCUCUCAUCCAGCAAUUUGGCCGGGAAUAUACUCACAUCAUUUUUGAGUCUCAAAUCAUUACAAAAUCUGUAAGUAUUAGUGGCCUUAUGAAUAUCUUCUCUAUAAUCUGAUGGAGGCUUUUGCUCAAAAUGCAUGCAACUCAAACUAUAAUUUCAGGGAUUUAUCAUACAACUUGACUGGAUCAGUACCAGAAUUUUUUGCAGACUAACAAUCCUGUAAGUAAUUAAAUUUUAGCUUUCGGAUGUCUGAAUUCUUUAGGAUAUAUGUGAAGGAAGUCUCAGUAUUUGAAGUUGUCUUUGCAGUAAUUUAACGGGGAACAACCUAACAGGUUCGGUUCCACAGGCUGUUAUCAAUAAGUUCGAGGAAGGAACUCUGAGGUUUGCUUAAUUAUCUUUUCUAGUACUUGUUCUCAAUUUUUGUUUAUAGAAUUCUUGACUUCAAUAUCCAUAUAUUUUUAUCAUAAAGUUUAUUGAUUAGUGGACGUACCUUGUUCUAUUUUAUGCAAGUCUUGGCGAAAAUCCAAAUCUUUGUCUGUCAGUCUCGUGCCAAGGAAAGAAGAAGAAGAAGUUCCUUGUUCCUCUUCUCAUAGCCAUUCCGACUGUAAUUGUGAUCCUGAUACUCAUAACUGCCCUUGCAAUCAUCCGGAAGUUGAUCAAAAGGAGAGGAACCAAAGGUAUUUUCUUCUUCCAUUUUCAUUUUUUUCCUUAUUUAGUGAGGAUUUAACAUUUUAUUGCUCCUUUUUAUUAUGAUUUCCUUAUCUACAACCAUAGAGACAGUCACUGAAUGCCCCAAAGAGGGGCCAUUGAAGUCAGGGAAUUCCGAGUUCACUUUCUCUGAUGUUGCAAGUAUCACCAAUAACUUUAGUCGGACCAUCAGUAGGGGAGGAUUCUCAUAGCCAUUGAAGUCACUAAAUAUAUGUAUAUAUAUAUAUAUAUAUAUAUAUAUAUGUAGUGACCACUCUUGAUCACAGGUAUAUAACUGUCAAGGGAAGCUACUUGUGGGCUUUAAUGUUUAUGCAUUUGCUGCAGGGAGAGAAGCUGCAGAUGUUUUGAAUUGGAAACAGAGACUUCAAAUUGCAGUAGAUGCAGCACAAGGUCAGAAAUUAAGCGGAUCUUCCACAUCAUAAUUAAUUUGCAUUCAAAUAUUUCUUUAAUUUGUGAGUCUUUUCUUGCUUAAUUGUGUAGGAUUGGAGUAUCUACACAUUGGCUGUAAGCCACCAAUAGUCCACAGAGACAUGAAGUCUUCCAAAAUUCUAUUAACUGAAACCCAGCAAGCCAAGAUAGCUGAUUUUGGGAUGUCCAGAGAUCUUGCAACUGAAAGUGGCGCUUUCAUAUCAACUGUCCCUGCAGGCACACCUGAAUAUCUGGAUCCUGAGUAAGUGUUAAUAGCAUUCCUUAAAAUUUUUAUAAUUGCUUCCUCAUUCAUGAAAUAUAACUUCCUAUGCAUACCAGUCAAUGGGAAAUUUGAAUAAGAAGAGCCAUAUUUACAGCUUUGGGGUUGUUUUGUUGGAGCUGAUCACCGGCCACCCUGCAAUAAAGAACCCUGGCAGCAUUCAUAUAGUUGGAUGGGUUAGUCCUAUGAUUGAAUGAGGGGAUAUUCGAAGCAUUGUUGGUCCAAGGUUACAAGGAGAUUUCAACACCAUUUCUGCCUGGAAAGCCCUAGAGAUAACCUUAGCAUGUGUAGCAUCAACAGGAAUGCAAAGGCCAGAUAUGAGUCAUGUAUUGGCAGACUUGAAGGAAUGUUUGGGGAUAGAGGUGGCUUCCAGGAGAAUUCAAAGUGUAGAUAGCCUCAGCUUCGGAUCAGGCAAUUUCCUGGAAGAUAGUCCCUUGAUUCUUGGCACUCAAUCGGCUCCCCAUGCUAGGUAGUUGUUGGAUGCUCCAUUAUAUUGCGAUAAAUUUGCUUAAUGUUAGCAUGUGGGAAUAUGGAUUAUGGUGCACUCUAUAUUUUGAAUUGUGUUCAUGAAAAAUUCUGUAUUGGGUAAUUGUACCAACUUUCUCUCAUAGACAUGCAGGAUUUCACUUAUGUGGUGUUUGGUAUAUGGGAAUAGGGAGUGAGAAUAGACAUUUCAUUCAUUUUCUUCCUUAUUCCUAUAUUUGAAUAAAUGUUAAAAAGGUAGAAAUUGAAUAAAAAAUUAUUCUGACAAAAAUCAAAUCCAACUUAUAAGUCGAAUUUAAAUUCAUUAAAAGUAUGUGGUAUUCUAAUUCAUUGAACCCAUUUGAUAAUAUAAAAUAACAUAAAUUUACUAUUUUAUCUUCUUAUCUCAUUCUUCAAGCCCGGUGUUUAUCUUCUUUGCAAAGUUAAAGACCCAUUCAUCAUCCACUUCUCUGCAACAAGUGAAUCUCCCAAACUGAAUCAAUCAAACCUUCCACGACAUUUAGAAAAAAAAAUUUCAAUUUCUAAUUUCUAGAGUUUUGGAUGUUCAAUUUCUAAUUUCUAGGGUUUUUUUAUGUUCAUUUAAAUAUUAUAUAUAUAUAUAUAUAUUUGGUAAAAUAUAAUUUUAUAACUACUUAAGCAUGACAAAUUAUUCAAAUUUUUAAUAAAAAUAAUAAUUGAAUAUUUGUACAUUAGGGUUAUAUGAUUUUUUAUGGUUAAUUUUUUAUUUAUUGAGUAUAUAUAUAUAUUUAUUUAUUUAGUUUUAUUAUUUAAUAACAAAACAACUCUCAAAUUUUAUUUUUUUUUAAAAAAAAAAAAAAUUUUAAAUUAUAUGUAAGGUUAUUAUUGUAAAUUUAUUUCCUUUUCAUUUUCAUUCCUAUUAUUAUCAAACAUUGGAAUGGAAACAAAUAAUCAUUCCAAUCUUGCAUUCCUAAGAUCAUCCAAAUGCUAAAAAUGGAAUCAUUAAAUUUAUUUCUAUCCACUAAGAAAUAGAAAUGGAAACAAAAUAUUUAUUUUCAUUCCCUAUUCCGACGUACCAAACACCCCCUUUAGAGAGCACUUUAACUAUUGUGUGAUAAUCUUAAUGCUCUUCAUAUGACUGUAAAUCCAUUUCAUGCUCGAACCAAGCACAUUGAACUUUUUUUACAAUAAAGUGUUGCUACGAGAAAUCUUGUUCUACAUUAUGUUUUUUGUUCAACACAAUUUGCACACAUCCUCACCAAGCCUCUAUUCAUUUGGAGAGCCUUGAUUCAAUUAAGCUAGUAUUAUCUUGGGCUAUUAAGAAAUCAAUUAAAAAUGGAGAAGGCAUACAAACUUUUAAGGUAAAAAGUGAAUUCAUCUAUUUCAAUAUGAGUUCAAUCAAAAUAAAACAAGUGAUGAAAAGUAUUGUUUUUUUAUUAAUAUUUUAAUAUUUAUUUUUUAAUACUAUUUUUCUUUUUAGAAAAAAAAUAAAAUAAAAUCCCCUUAGCCCUCACAGUCCAAUAGUUUGGUGCAUCAUACAAUUCGUUGUUGUUGUGAUGUUGACUAGUCAAUAAAAUUCUAAAACUUUUUGAAAAAUAAAAAUUGUAGGGUUGGUUGAUUUCUUCUUUACAUAAUUACGCAAAGUUUUAUCAAAUGCAAGUGGAUGUUUGCUUUUUAUUUAAAAUUUGAAUUGAUUUGAAUUUAUUUAAAAUAUGAAUAGAAAUAAAUAUAAAAUAAUUAUUAUACUCCAACUUUACAUAAAAAACUAAAUAAGAUUUCUAUUUUUUUAUAUUGACAUAAAUUUUAAUUAAUUAUUUUUCUUUUGGUGUAAAAAGAUUACUCGAUAUAUUAAUAGAGAAAAGAAACAAGACAGUUUUUGUAAAUUAGUACAUACACAUAUAAGCUUCCAAAUUGGCUUGAUCAAGUUUGCAUUGUCUUAUCUCCUACAACUGUCACUUUUAAUAAAUACAACAAUUAAUUAUUUUGUAUGGGAUUAAGAAACUUCCUGUUAAGAACAGUAGAUGGGACAAAUUAAGUCAGUGAUGUUUAAACUCAUGAAUUUCUAUGUCCAUAUUGGAUGUGAAAAUCUUAAAUUUUAUACCUUACUAAUUAAGGCCACUUAAUAAUCUUUUUUUUUUCUUUAAAAAAUAUGCUAAUCAACUUAUAACAACAAAAAAAAACCAUAAAGAUUUAUUAUAAGGAUGAUAAAAUUUGAUACAUUUUCUCAAGACAACUAAAUUCUAAUAUGUUUUUUUAUGGAUUUGAAUUAAGUAUAAUUGUGUUCAAAUUCAUAGGGGCAUGCAUAACCUAUUUAAUAAAUAUAUUAUCUUUUGUCAAACUAUAUAACAUGAAUUUGAUUCAAAUUUACUUAAUUAAUAAUCCUAUUGAAUAACUUGAUUAUAACUAUUAAAAAGUUUAACUCGUGUUUAACUUAUUUUAACUUUACUUAAUAAAUAAGUUAAUUGAAUGAUGAACAUGCCAAUAGAUUCAUCAUAAUAAUUUGUAUAAGAUCUAACUCAUAUAAGAUUAUAUAAGAUCUAACUCAAUCAUUAUUAAAUGGAUUAAAUAAGUUAACUCGACAUGUUACCUUUUAAAUAAUUAGGUAAUAUUUGGGUUUAUGUUUUUAAUUUGACUUUUACUUGUGUCAUGUUUGGAUUGACCUAUUUUAUACAAUGUUUGAGUCUUGACACAACACAACAAUCAAUACCAAUUGUCACCCCUAUUUAUUUUGGAGUUAUUUGAUUAAAGAGAUAAAAUAAUCUAUAAUUUGUAAAUCUAACCCUCCAUAUUCUUCACCAAAAAUACAUCUAUGUUAAAAAUGAAUUAUUUUUCAAGUUGAAAUAUGGGAGGCUUAGAUUUAGUAAUUUGGUUUCAUUUCUAACCCUUUUUUUAUUCAUCUUUCUCUCCUUUGUCCUAUAACAAUAGUUUCUGAAGUACAAAUUUCAUAGUAACAUUCAAUGAUAAAUGUCAUUGGCCAAACCCUAACCCAAUGCAUGCAUAUGUUAUAAGUCAAUAGUCUCCCAAUACUCACAUUGUAAGUCAAUGACUCAAUACUAAUAGUCUAAUACCAUGUCCCGAAGGGCCAACCCUCUGGGACAUGAUAUAACUAUAAAAAUUAUUUACUAUAAACAAUGAGUUGUAAACGUAGAGUCAUAGUUGUAAAAUAUGUUCUUAUUAAAUAUGAGUAAAUGAAGUAAAAAAAAAAAUUAAAUUAAGAUUAGAAUAAGUUAACUGAUUUGACUUAAUACUUAAAAUUAUUUUUGACUUUAAGUUAUAUUAUUAAAUUAUUUUACUAAACUUGUUAAUCUACUUAACCCAUUUUCUUUUAGACUUUAAUAUUUGAAAAUCAACUCUUGUAGGGAACUCUUUAACUCUUUUGGUCUUGACUACAUCUUUUAGAGUUCUACAAAGCAACCCAUGACACCCUUUAGGAUUGAAGCUAAGUAAAGCUCCAUGGCUUCUACAAUUACUGAAAUUACAUAGUUCUCAUCCAUAUUAUGAAAUGUUAGAAUUCUACUUAAGAUGGUACUUCGAUUAUUUUGUGAUAAUCUUAGUGCUCUUCAGAUGAUUGUAAAUUAUAUUUUUCAUGCUCAAACCAAGCACAUCAAACUUAAUUAUCAUUUUGUACGAAAAAGUGUUGUAAUGAGCAUUUUUGUUACAUGUUAUAUUUCUUGUUCAAGACAACCUACACACAUCCUCUCUAACCCUCUAUCUAGAGUCAUUUGGAGAGCCUUGUUUCAAGCUAAUAUUAUCUUGACUCUCGAGUAUGUUAAGAAAUCAAUUAAAACAAAGGAAAAAAGGCAAGUUAAUAACUAGCUCCUACAAUCAUGUAACUACAAGCAAGAGUUCCCAUAAUAAAACGUCAACAACAAUUGCUUAAGCAAGAGUUCUCAUAACUUUGUUCAAAAUGAAUUAUGAAGUAAAAAUAGUGUCCUUCAUUCUAUUUUGAAAGUUUGUUAAUUUAUUUUAGGAAAAAGUGGGUUUUGACUCACUAAUUUAAAAAUAUAUAGAAAAAAUAACCCUAGUUUUAUAUUCAUUUAUUUAAAAAUAUUUUAAAAUAUAUGCACUUUUUCAUAAAUAAGAUAUUUAUUUCCUAAAGUACCCUUUUACUUAAUAAUAUGAAAUAAAAUUAUCAAAAAAACCAAUUUAUCAUUUUAAUUUGAUAAAAAUAUCUUAUAAAUAAAUACAUUAUAUUUUUAUUACAUAAUAUUAUAUACAAAUCAUUUUAAAAAAAUUCUCUAGAUCCUCAAGUAAUAAAUAAAAUCUUUCUAAUUCUCUAAUUAAUAAUGAUUUUAUAUAUUAUAUUAUAUAAAUCAAUUCAUCUUCUCAUUAAUUUUUUUUAAUAAAAUUGAAUAAAAAAUUUAUUACUUGACAUCAACAAUAAAAUAAGAAAUUUUAAAAAAUAAAAAUUCAAUUCAAAAUAAAAUACUAAAAAAUUAAAUACAAUUUAAAAAGAAAAAGAAAUCAAAUACAAUUAAAACCAAAAAGCACUUAAAAAUUUUAAAAAUAAAAUAUUGACUUUCAUUGUAUUUCCAACUCUUUCUUGAUAUCUAUAUUUUCUACUAGUAUUAUUUAACAAAGUGAAAGUUAAUAUUUGAUUUUCAUAUUUUUGGCUUUAAAAUUUUUUAAAUUUUAAUUAUAUUUUUUAAAUUUUUUAUUUGAAUCAAUUUAAAAAAUUCGUCAAUUUGUGACAUUAUCCUAAUAAGUAAUAGGUCACUUCAGGAAAUAAAUAUGUGACUUAUGACAUAAUAUAUGUAUUUUAAGAUAUUUUUAAAUAGAUGAAAAAAUUGAUUUAUAAAAAUUGAAGUUUUUUUGUCCUAUACUUUUUAAAUAAGUGAAUGGAAACUCACUUUUCCCUUUAUUUUAAACUAACUUUUUAUUCAAAUUAAGUGAUUUAUAUGUUCUGGGGUUCUUUUUAAGUUAAAGUUGAUAAGAAAAUCUUAUAUACAAAGUUUAUUGGAAAACAAAAGAAAAUGGAUAAAAACAAAACAUAUUUAAGUAAUAAUCAGUUUUUGUUCACCACGACAAUUUUUCUAAUUUAUAGUAAAUUGAUUUCAGUAUAAAAUUGAAGUAGUUUAAAUUUUUAAAUAAGAAUUAUCCAAAAAUUUUAUAAUCAAUUUAGUUUUAUUUUGUACUAGAAAUUAGAUUUAAGUAUUAUAACAAAGUAAAAAAAUUGAAAAAUAAAAUUUUAAAAAAAGUGACGUUUUUCAUUAACAUAAAAGUAAAAGAAUUUAUUUUUUUUCAUUAAGACAAAAUUAUCUUCAAAAAAAAAAAAAGUGAUAAAUUAAAAAUAAGUUAAGAUUUAAAUUGUUUUUAAAACUUCUUAAUCUUGAAAGCAACUUGGGAUGUUGAUCACUAUUAUGCUCCUAUACACAUAUCCCACAUUUUCUUGCAAUGUUCCCAUGCUCUCAACCAGACCAUGCUGGCCCUCACAGCUGUUGGUUUGGUGUAUCAGUCAAUUUGUUGUUAUUGUGAUAUUGACUGGUUUUUGUUUACUAAUUCAUAUAACCUUCCAAAUUGACUUCCUCAUGUUUGCAUUGACUUGGUCAAGUCUGCAUUGACUUGUCUACUACAACCAUCACCAUUAAUAAUUUCCCCUGUAUAUCUUGUCUCCAAAUAAAUACAACUGUUAAUAAUUUUCUACACAUUAGGGACCGAGAAACUUCCUAUGGACUAUUGAGAACAGUUUUAUACAUAUUGAAUAAUUUAGGUCACUGAUUAGUCUUUUUUUAAAACAACACUAAUCAAUUUAUAACAACAAAAGAAACCAGCAAAGUUUUGUUUAUAGGGGUGACAAAUAUUGAUAUGAUUUGUCAAGCUACUUCUAACAUACACUAAUUAAUUUAUAACAACAAAAGAAAUCAACAAAGUUUUGUUUAUAAGGUAGACAAAUAUUGAUAUGAUUUUUCAAUGCUACUCACUACUAACACACUUUCUGUAAAUUUGAAUUAAGUAUAAUCAUAUUUAAGUCAAAUUCCUAUUGACUUGUAUAACCCAUUUAAUAAAUAUAUUAUUGUUUUAUCAACCCACAUAAUAUGAAUUUGACUUGAAAUAUUUAUAAACUCGUAUUUGAUUCAUUUUAACUUUAAUUAAAAAAUACUUUCAUUGAAUUAUGAACAUGUCAAGUUAAAAAAUUAAUCAUAUAAAUAUGUACAAAAUCUAACUCAUAUAAAUUUAUACAAGAUUUAACUCAAUUUAACUAUUAAACGGGUUAAAAAAGUUAUCAUGUUACUUUUUUAAUAAUUAAAUAAUAUUUGAAUUUAUAUUUUGAAUCCGACUUUUAUUUAUACCAUAUUUGGAUUGACUUAAUAGAAUAUCUAAGUCUUGACAUGACAUGAUGACCAACAUCAAUUGUCACCCUUAUUUAUUUGAGUUAUUUGAUUAAAAGGGAUAAAAUAAUCCCUAAUUAAUUUGUAAAUUUAACUCAUUACAUUUUUUUCAGCAUAAAAAUUAUCUAUUUUUUCUCAUAAAAAAAAGAAGAAUUAAUUGGCAAAAAGGAAUAAAAUAAUCUUCAUAGUUGUAAAUUUAACAUCUUCCAUAUUUUUUUAAAGAAUAACUCAUUUUUUACAUAAAUGUUUUUAACUAUUUCAAGUAUUUACAUGUAAAUUUAAAAAAAAAAUGUUUAUUUUUAUUAAAAAAAAAAUGGAGGCAUUUUUGUUAUGGUAAAAAAAAAAAAAAGACGAUGGGUUAGAUUUGCAAAAUAAAGUUUAAAUAAAUAAAAUUUAAAAAUUGAAAAAAAAAUUGUAUAUAAACAAUUGAAAAUAUUGAACGAUAUGAAGCAUGAAAAUGGAUUAUUUUUCAAGUUCGGAGCAUUCAUUUCAUCCAUUUUACUAUUCAACAACCCUAACCCAAACCAUACGUUGCAAGUCAGCCAAUGCCGUUCCCAAUACUCACGUUGUAAGUGUCGAUGGGCCAUCCCCGAAUUCCUAGUACACGAGGAUUUGAAUUUAAAGCUUGUCUCAGCUAUAUAUUAUGCAUACACCCCCUUCUUCGUUAGUGUCUUCACAGACUUCACUUUCGUACAUCCAGCUCCGAAACAACAUGGAUGGUAGACCAACAUUGAUCUGGCUGCUCAUUAUUUCCUUGCACGGCUUGGGAUGGGUUUCAGGUCCCUUCCAUGGAAUCCAGCCUGGUCGGCGAGAGCUCACGGCCAGGGAAGGUAGGCAUUCAGUACUUUUGUACAAUUUAGCACCAUCAUGGCAAAUGAGGUAACUUUAACUCCCAAGUUCUAUUAUUGCGUGCACCUCAUUUAUGGUUUUUGAAGCACAUUAAAAUUAGGGGUGGCAAAAUCUAUGACUAGUCAGUUUUUUUGAAAUUCUGUAGAUUCUAUUAUGAAUGAUCAGUUUGAAACUUAAUUUGUAGGUUUCAUUAGCAUCGAUUGUGGAAUAGCUCCAGGCUCCCAUUACAUGGACGACAAGUUCCAGAUACUUUACGUUUCAGAUGAAGAUUUUAUAGAUACUGGAAUCAAUUAUAAUGUCUCCGAGGAAUACAUUGACGAUGAUCCACUGAAACAGUUCAUGAAUAUUAGAAGCUUCCCGGAAGGAAACAAAAAUUGUUACACCCUACGACCAGAAGGAGGCAAUAAGUAUUUGAUCAGAGCUCGGUUCAGGUAUGGGAAUUAUGAUUCCAAGAAUAAACUUCCGCCGUGCUGAUGAAUGGGUCAUAGUGGAUAUAAAAGAUGCAUCUGAUUAUAUCAAAGUAGAAAUCAUACAUGUCCCAACAACAGAUGACAUAUACGUUUGUCUAGUAAACAUUGGUUCUGGGACACCUAUCAUAUCCACAUUAGAGCUCAGACCCCUCAAUAAUUCCAUUUACGAUAAAUCCGAACCGGGUCGCUGCUACUCUUCAACGGGUGGGAUUUUAGUGUCACAUACGGUGGUUACGGUACAUACAGGUGAGGAUCAUUGUUUAGGUCCUUAACAAGAAUUCUUUUGUUCUAGAUCACUUCUGGUUGGAGAAAUUUACUAGUUUCUCAUCUUUCAGCUAAUUAAGUUUGUGCAAUCUUAGGGCGGAUGAUGUUUUCGACCGCAUUUGGAACAUAUUGGCCUGGUCGGAUGAAUGGGAUACCCGCAAAGCACCAUAUGAAAGUUCUUCCCUUAGUUACAGUGAGUAUAAACUUCCAAUGUCGGUCAUGAUGGAUGCUGUCAUACCCGUAGAUAUAAGUGAGCCCUGGAUCUUCUCUCUGGAUCUUGAUGAUGAUCCUUCACAAAAUUUAUACAUAUACAUGCACUUUGCCGAGGUUCAGGAACUUGGAGAAGGCGAUAUUAGAGAAUUUACUGUCUCAUUAAAUGAGGACGAUUCAUGGGGUGGUGGCGAGCCAGUGAUUCCCAAUUACAUGGUUCCGAACACCUUACAUCACCCCUUAUCAAUGCAAUGGAAGUUUACAAAAUAAAAGAUUUCCCACAGUCAUCAACUAAACAAGGGGAUGGUAUCUUCUUUUCUUAUCCAUAUAUAUCUCCAUAUAAUUUAGUUAUUCGCGAGCAGGGCUUAAAGAUGAUCCAGCUUUUCCCUUGUUUGUUUCCUUGGAAUUAAAUACUAGUUCUCGCUGUCAAGAACAUCCGGUCAGCUUACCGACUGACAAGACACUGGCAAGGAGAUCCAUGUCUCCCCUUGGAUUUCCCAUGGGAUGGCCUGCAGUGCAGUUACAGCAGUGACUCCCCCACUUGAUAGAGAUAUACUAUUAACCAUGCAUAAGCGUGAAUUUAAUAGAAUGUUAUUAUGAUGUCAUUCUAUAAACAAUUAUUUCUUUGUAUUUAAUUGGAGAUUUGCAUUAGAUAAAUUAAUCUUUCAGCAUAAUUUAAUAAUAAUUGUGUUAAUAUAUUUUAUAUAUAACUAACUGGACCAAGUAGAGAAUGGAUGUUUUGUACUGACUGUUAAAACAUAUUCUCUAGGACAUUAGAAAUAAGAUUUAUGUUUUUAAUCAUGAUUUAAUUAAUAUGAGCAAAUAUAAAAUGUCUUGUGUUUUGAUUCAUUAAAGAGUGAGUUUCAUUUAUUGGAGCGAUAAGACUCGAUGAGUUGGACAAAGACGCUUUAUGUUUGCGAUGUAUUAAAUAAUGAUUGAAUCCACGUCUCGGUAUAGAGAUUGAUGAUGCACUUUAAGUAAGCUUAUAAGGUUUCAUAGUGUAAACCCUGCAGGUGGAUUUUAAUCCGACACAUGAAUUAAGUUAAGCGACAAUCUUGAAGAUCUAUUGUUACUCAAAUAAAUUGUCAGUAAUUUGUUUGAUGUAAAUAGCAUCUGUAAUCUUAACGUGGGAAACAUAAAUUAUUAUGUAAUGGAAUUGUAAGAUUAAUAAGGAGUUCAAUCAUGAAUUUUUAGUGGUAUAAUUUGUGAUUAAUUAUAAUGAGAAUAUACUGGUUCUGUAUGAAUUCUUAUUAUAAUUAGUAGCCUUGUUAAUUUUAUUCCUGUGGUCCCUGCUGUGCCUUAAUUGUUUGGACUAUACAUGAAUUAUAUGUUUUAAAUAAAUGAUGGAUUAGUUUUUAAUUAAAUUUUAUUUAAUUAAAAAUAGAUAAUCUAAUUUAUUUAAAAUGAGCAUUUUAAGGGAAAGAGAGUCACGCUUAUAUCGGUUUUCUUGAAGCAAAUUAUACGCUUAAGAGUUUCUAAGAAAGCGGUCUUCUUCCCAUCGAAAAGAGGUAUAUUAGAAACAGAAAAGAGAGUGACAAAACCCUAGCUAUUGUUUUUUUUGCCCACUCAGAAAUCAUAGUCCGAAAAUUGAUAAGGUAAACAGCAGAAGAUUGUAGGAGAUUGUGGGCGUUUUUAGCAGAGAAAAAGGUCAGUCUUUUACAUAUGGUUUUGGCUUGCCUCCAUGCUUGUUUCAUCAUGAUUUGUUUCCGCUGCGUAAAUCAUGGUUUCUAUCAAUUGGUAUCAGAUCCAGGUUUGAAAUUCGUUUGGAGGUAUUAUUCGUACUGUCGUUUCUGAUUUAUUAUGAAAACAGAGUUAUAUGCGUUGGAUUAAAGAGACUCAUUUUUGAAAACGCAAGAGAUAAUGGCUGCAGUUGUUAUAUGAAUAUGCAUAUGUUCAUUGAUGUUAACACGCAGAUUGGGUGUUUUAUAUUAUAAUAUUAUAUUGCAUAUAAGGAUGUUAAUGGCUGCCGUUUUCAUCAAAUGCUUCAAUUAUAAUAUUGUAUUGUUGAAUGCUUCUAAUUAUCGCAAAUCAGAACAUGCUUGCUGCAGUUUUGUUUUUGAUAACAUGAAUGUUUUAGUAAACCAGCAGCUCGUUUAUUUCCAUUAAUUUGUGAGUAUUUCAAGAGUUGCUAGUUGUGAUUACUUACAUUUUCUUCCUCAUCGGCAGAUGAUUGAUUACUACUCAAAAAGUGCUAUUUGAUAGCCUAUAAUUAAUCCUUUUAAACACUUUUGAGUAGUAGUUUAGGCCUUUUAACUCAAUUGACAUGUUAAGGAUCCUUUAAAGCAAUUUUGAUCACUUUGUGUAAGUUUUGGUGUUUUUGUUAGUAUUUUAAUCACCAAAGCAAGUCAAGACUGAGGAGAGCUAUGAGGAAUCUUGGGCAAAGCUUAGAAUUCAUUUGCCAAGAGUGAAUCCGGAUUGCAAGGAGAAAAAGCAAAGAGAAUCUGCCAUAAAGCAUAUUCUUGAUGACAGUCGUAGCAGCCACUUUUGGAGCACUUUCUGAAGUUAAAAUGAUGCAUGCUAUAUACCAUUUCAAAUCUCAGGAAGUCAACAAUCCAAUGCUUCAAACGGUGUGCAAUUCGGAGUUGAAACGAAGAAGUUGCAGCCAUUACAAGCCAGUCACUCCGAGCUGAAGGAAGCAUUUUGCAAAGUGCUGCGAAAUCACCCUUUUGUUGCGAAGUGAUUUCAAAGCAUUUUUGUACAGUAAAGUGUUUCUCCUUCUGACGAUGCAUGAUUUAUGCCGCGAGAAGGAAGCUUGGAACCUCAAGGUGGAAGCCAACUUCGCAGCCCUGUGAAGAUAGCUCGGUGUUGCGAAAUAAUUUCGCAGCCCUCUUGGGUGUCGCGAAAUCUCGCAGACACCAUUUUUCUCCUGCGAAAUGGUUCCUGAAGCCUCCCGAAGUUUGCUACCGACAUUGGGAGAUAUUUUCCAUUAGAUUUUUGUUGUCUAAAUCCCAAAAUACUCCUUGUAAACCACCAAUUACAUGAUUCCUUAGUUUUUAAGUUAGUAAAAAGACUAAAUAUCUUUGUAACAAUUAGUUUUAUAUUAUGUUGAUAUAUAUACCUCUCGGGAGCCUGUUCUCAAGGAGGAGUUCCUUCUGUAACCGUUUGGGUAAGCAAGUAAAGUCUAUUUUCUUUCUACUGCCUUACCUUCUCACUUUGUAUUUUCAUUUUAUUUCUAAGUUAUGAAUUCUCUGAGGAGUUUUCCCCAGAGAAUGAGUAACUAAACCUCUAAUUCCUUGGAGCUAAGGUUGCCGAGGAAGGUUCCAAAUGCAAGAAUGCAAAGCUCUGUGGUUUUAGCUAGUAAUGAAGAGAAAGUGAAAUCCUUUAGUGAUUUCUAUGUUUUUAGUUAACUUAAAACACCUUGGAAUCACCUAGGCCAACACUUGGUAAGGCAAGUGAUUUCCAACCAUGGAAAUGCACUAGUUUACCCCUUGCGAGCCUCUGGUAGGUGACUUCAGGGUAGGAUUUUCUAGAAUAGCCAACACUUGAUAAGCUUUUGGACUCCUAGGAGACAUCCAUUAGUUAUCUCUUGCGAGCUUUUGACGGGUAAUCCAAGGUUAAAGAUCACCUUGAAUGGCUAAGGCUUAGUGAGAGGCUUAAACCAUUACAAGUUGCAUCAGUGAGAGAAUUAAAGUGAAAUCUAAUUGAAGGAGUCUCUAUACAUCACCGGUUAGAGAAUUGACUGUAUGUUGAAUCUCUAACGCGAGGAAAUGAACCAUCUGACCAGAGCCGUGUCUUUUGCAUGAGGAACCACCCCAGUGAACCUAAAACUCCAAGGAAUGUUUUUCUUCCUAAAUUAUUCCAAACUUCUGUUAUGUUAGUUAGUUUAAGUCUAAACCUUUACCAAUCAAAGUUUGUGUUUUACUUCUUAAGCUAACCUUGAAAUGAAACAAGACCAAUUCACUUGGAAUUGGUAUCAUUGAUUGCUUGUUAGUCAUUCCCAGUGAACGACCCUAGAGCCACUAUACUAUAGUAGCUUUUUCUUUGCUACCCUAGUGUAUGGUGUUAUAGGUAAUAAAUUUUGUUGAUUACUCCCUCAAUCAAGGAGCACCAGCUGAACACAAAUCAGCUGAGACACCAAUUGGGCAUGAAUCAAUGAUAUGUUUUGAUGUAAUCACUGUAACUCUUCUAGUAUUGUCUAUAUUUAUUUAUCUCUCUAUCUGAGUAAAUUAAUUAGGGACAGACUAGAAGUUAUAAUUUCACAUUUAUAUUUAAGAGGCAUGUUUUCUCCCAUCGAGUGGUACAUGUUGAUCUUAUGUUGCUUUUAUAAGCAUAACAUAUGUUUAGUUUAAUUCUCCCAUCGAGAUUACUGUCCAUGGAUGUUAUGAUGCAGGCCAAGAUAGUUGAUUUUAGGUUCUCAAGAUUUUCCUUAAUUGAAAGUGAAAUUCAUAUCACAACUCUUGUUGUUGGUACUAUUGGUUACAUUAAUGCGGAAUAAGUCCAUGUUGCUUUGCGAUUACGCAAUUCAUAACUCUAUUUCUUUGAAGAGAUUACCUUACGAACUAAGAACCCUAUUUUCUACUUUAGGGGCCAUUCUAGGCAUGUGGGUGGUGUUAAAACUAAGAAAAAAAAUAGUAUACUAGAUUUAGUCAUCAAGUGCCUCUCUGUAAGGGUGGUAAAGUUUAAUAUAAUUCAUCAAUAGGACUUAAAUCCAACAUGUACAUUUUUGCAAGUUUGAGUUGAAUAUAAUUGCGGGUUAAAUUCAUGUCAUAACUUGUUUAAUAAAUAAAUAGUUUUUGAGUCAAUCGACAUAAAACAAAUUUGACCCAAAUUAACUCAUUUAAUAAUUUUUUUUAUUAACCUAAUUAUGACUUUAAACUAUUUAACUCAUAUUUUACUCAUUUUAAAUUUAUUUUUAAAUAAAUAGGUCAAUUGAAUUAUAAACAUGUUUAUAUAGUUGAGAUAUUAAUCAUAUAUUUGAUUAUUAAACAAAAGGACCUGAUUAUUAAAGGGGUUACACGACAUGCUACUUGUUUAGUAAUUAGGUAAUAUUUAUGUUUAUAUUUUUAAUACAAUUAUUAUUCGUAACAAUUUCAAGUUUGGGUUUGAGUUGACCUAUGUAGUUAAAUGUUUAGACUUUGACAUAACACGAACAUGACCCACUUACACAAAUUGCCAUUGCUACUUUAAUGCAAGUACUACAUAUCCAAUAGUUUAACUGAGAAAAGUGAAAUUUAUAGCUUUGGAAUUGUUCUGCUGGAGCUGACCACUGAAAAACCUGCAAUCAUAUAAGAUGAAGACAACAUUCAUAUAGUUCAAUGGGUAAAGUCCUUUGUGGAAAGAGAGAACAUUGGAAGCAUUGUUAGUCUUGGGCUACAAGGAAAUUUCAAUAGAAAUUCAGUUUGGAGAGUUUGGGAGACAACAUGCCUACCAUCAAUUUCCAUCCAAAGGGUGACCAUGAGUCAUGUAGUGAUGGAAUUGAAGAAGUGUGUGGAAGCAGAGAAUGCUCAUGAUUAAAUUGGAAGGAUGGAGAAACAAGCGAGGGAAUCAAGCAAUUUGAUUGACUUAUAUAGUCUAGUUUCUUAAAAAGUAAUUUUUUGCUUUUGAGAAUCAAAAAUUGUUUUUGUAUUUUCUAUUAUCAAACAUGUUUUUCUGUUUUAUUUUAAAAAAUAGUUUUCAUUUACUAAAACAAUUAACAAACAGGCCUUUAGGAUGUAUUUGGUAUAUGAGAAUAUGAAUCAUAUUAAGAUAAGAAUGAAGAUCAAUUAUAAUCCCAUGUGGAAAAUAUCAUUGUGAUUUGAUAAAUUGGAUAUACAAUGGAUCCUUCUUACUCAUAUUGGAUUUGUCUUCAUUUGGCAUUAAUGGUCCUCAAAGUUCUAAAAUACAAUUACAAUUUGCUAUAUUAAUUCACAUUCUUUAACUUGACUUUGCUCCUUUGAAACUUCAAUGCCCAUUUUCUUCUUUUUCCGUAAGCCAAAAUACAAUGAAUUGACUCAAUUUUCAUACGAUGCUAGUCUUCUUCCACACAACAUGACCCCACAGCUCUUAGCAUUCCCACUUAUUUUGCCCACUGAAUAUGAUGGGAAAGACAAACUUGGAUAGGAAAAAAAACAAAACAUCACUGGUUUUGGCUCUGAUAGGUUCCAUUGCAACAACUCAGAGCUAGGCCCAAGAACAUUUUAUUGAUCAAAACCCUGGUGGGAGGAAGCUUGGCACAAUUAACACAUUAAGUAAACAUGAAUAUUAAUCUUAGUACUUUUUUUUUUUUUUUUGCACAUGUGUCAUAUUUAUGAAAAAUGCUAAGAUAUUGUAAUAAUACCUAUCAAAAUCCAAAUUUGGAUCAUUAAAUAUAUAUGAUAAAAUCUUAAUCAUUGAAUGAGAAUACAAACAAAUGAUACUAAGGUAUAAAAGUACAAGCAAAUGAGACUAAAAUAUGAAUAAUGGAAUUUGAAAAUAUAUAUUUGAUAUCACCUUAUUAGUGUUGUCUUUUUAUACCAAAUAUAUAUAUAUCGUUUUAUAAUGUACAUGGACCCUACAUUUACUUGCUAUGUUCCUACUUCAUCCUCGAAUGUUCCUAUAACAAUAAUCCUUAUAUUUUAACCACAUGCUUUGCUGGCACCACUCACAGCCAUUAGUUUUCGGGCAUUAUUUAAUUUUGUUGUUAGUGUGAUAUUGACAAGUCAAUAAAAUUCUAAAAUUUUGUAAAAAAAUGAAAAAAUUUAAAAUUUUGUUAAAAAAAUUCAUAUUUGAAACAAAAUUUUGAAGGUGAGAGAAGGAAAUAUGAAGGAAAUUAGGAUCAUGCUAAGAUACCAAAGACUUGCUUUUCAAUGUCUAUUUUCAUUCAAUGGGCAAACUUUUUCCAAUUAUUAAUAGUGAUACUUGUGGGAGAUAAGAUGAUCUAGACUUGACCAAGUCAAUUUGGAAGGUUAUAUGUAGUAGUACUAUCCGUCUAUUGUAACUUGAUAAAGAAAAAAAAUUAAUAACUUAAUUUUUUUUUAUGUCAGUACACAAAACUAAAAAUUCUAAUUUUUAUCUAAAAUUGAAGUAUAGUUAUUAUUUCAUGUUAAUUUCUAUUCAUAUUUGAAACAAAUUCAAACAUCUCCAUUCAAGUUGUAGAUAAAAACCAAAUACCCACUUAAAGUAUUAUGAUUCUUUGUAAUUUUGAAAUGAAGUAAUCAACCAACCCUACAAUUUUAGUUUUCAUUUUAUUCUUAUUUCCUUCUCUUACCUUCAAAAUUUUGUUUCAAAUAUGAAUAUAAAUUAAUAUAAAAUAAUAAUUAUACUUCAAAUUUAGACAAAAUUUAAAUUUUUUUAGUUUUUUGUAUUGACAUAAAAUUUAAAUAAUUAAUUUUUUCUUUAUCAAGUCACAAUGGAUGAAUAGUGUUAUAUAUAACCUUCCAAAUUGAUUUGGUUAAGUAUACAUUAUCUUGUCUCCUUCAACUAUCACUAUUAAAAUUUUCUAUAGGCAUUGAAAAGUAAGUUUUUGGUACCUUAGCAUGACAUUAAUUUUCUCUAUAUUUCCUUCUCUUACCUUCAAAAUUUUUUUUCAAAUAUGAAUAGAAAUUAAUAUAAAAUAAUAAUUAUACUUCAAUUUUAGGGAAAAUUUAAAUUUUCUAAGUUUUUUGUAUUGACACAAAAAUUAAAUAAUUAAUUUUUUCUUUAUCAAGUCACAAUGGGUGAGUAGUACCACAUAUAGCCUUCCAAAUUGACUUGGUUAAGUCUACACUAUCUUGUCUCCCUCAACUAUCACUAUUAAACUUUUCCAUAGACAUUGAGAAACAAGUUUUUGGCAUCUUAGCAUGACCCUAAUUUCCCCUAUAUUUCCUUCUCUUACCUUCAAAAAUUUGUUUCAAAUAUGAAUAUAAAUUAAUAUAAAAUAUUAAUUAUACUUCAAAUUUAGACAAAAUUUAAAUUUUUUUAGUUUUUUGUAUUGACAUAAAAUUUAAAUAAUUAAUUUUUUUUUAUCAAGUCACAAUGGAUGAGUAGUGUUAUAUAUAACCUUCCAAAUUGGCUUGGUUAAGUAUACAUCAUCUUGUCUCCUUCAACUAUCACUAUUAAAAUUUUCUAUAGGCAUUGAAAAGUAAGUUUUUGGUACCUUAGCAUGAGAUUAAUUUUCUCUAUAUUUCCUUCUCUUACCUUCAAAAUUUUGUUUCAAAUAUGAAUAGAAAUUAAUAUAAAAUAAUAAUUAUACUUCAAUUUUAGCGAAAAAUUAAAAUUUUCUAGUUUUUUGUAUUGACAAAAAAAUUAAAUAAUUAAUUUUUUCUUUAUCAAGUCACAAUGGGUGAAUAGUACCACAUAUAGCCUUCCAAAUUGACUUGGUUAAGUCUACACUAUCUUGUCUCCCUCCACUAUCACUAUUAAACUUUUCCAUAGGCAUUGAGAAACAAGUUUUUGGCAUCUUAGCAUGACCCUAAUUUCCCCUAUAUUUCCUUCUCUUACCUUCAAAAAUUUGUUUCAAAUAUGAAUAUAAAUUAAUAUAAAAUAAUAAUUAUACUUCAAAUUUAGACAAAAUUUAAAUUUUUUUAGUUUUUUGUAUUGACAUAAAAAUUAAAUAAUUAAUUUUUUCUUUAUCAAGUCACAAUGGAUGAAUAGUGUUAUAUAUAACCUUCCAAAUUGACUUGGUUAAGUUUAUAUUAUCUUGUCUCCUUCAACUAUCACUAUUAAAAUUUUCUAUAGGCAUUGAAAAGUAAGUUUUUGGUACCUUAGCAUGACAUUAAUUUUCUCUAUAUUUCCUUCUCUUACAUUCAAAAUUUUGUUUCAAAUAUGAAUCGAAAUUAAUAUAAAAUAAUAAUUAUACUUCAAUUUUAGGGAAAAUUUAAAUUUUUUUAGUUUUUUGUAUUGACACAAAAAUUAAAUAAUUAAUUUUUUCUUUAUCAAGUCACAGUGGGUGAGUAGUACCACAUAUAUCCUUCCAAAUUGACUUGGUUAAGUCUACACUAUCUUGUCUCCCUCAACUAUCACUAUUAAACUUUUCCAUAGGCAUUGAGAAACAAGUUUUUGGCAUCUUAGCAUGACCCUAAUUUCCCCUAUAUUUCCUUCUCUUACCUUCAAAAUUUGGUUUCAAAUAUGAAUAUAUAUUAAUAUAAAAUAAUAAUUACUUCAAAUUUAGACAAAAUUUAAAUUUUUUUAGUUUUUUGUAUUGACAUAAAAUUUAAAUAAUUAAUUUUUUUCUUUAUCAAGUCACAAUGGAUGAGUAGUGUUAUAUAUAACCUUCCAAAUUGGCUUGGUUAAGUAUACAUUAUCUUGUCUCCUUUAACUAUCACUAUUAAAAUUUUCUAUAGGCAUUGAAAAGUAAGUUUUUGGUACCUUAGCAUGACAUUAAUUUUCUCUAUAUUUCCUUCUCUUACCUUCAAUUUUUUUUUUCAAAUAUGAAUAGAAAUUAAUAUAAAAUAAUAAUUAUACUUCAAUUUUAGGGAAAAAUUAAAUUUUUUUAGUUUUUUGUAUUGACACAAAAAUUAAAUAAUUAAUUUUUUCUUUAUCAAGUCACAAUGGGUGAGUAGUACCACAUACAGCCUUCCAAAUUGACUUGGUUAAGUCUACACUAUCUUGUCUCCCUCAACUAUCACCACUAUUAAACUUUUCCAUAGGCAUUGAGAAACAAGUUUUUGGCAUCUUAGCAUGACCCUAAUUUCCCCUAUAUUUCCUUCUCUUACCUUCAAAAAUUUGUUUCAAAUAUGAAUAGAAAUAAAUAUAAAAUAAUAAUUACACUUCAAUUUUAAACAAAAUUUAAAUUUUUUUAGUUUUUGUAUUGACAUAAAAUUUAAAUAAUUAAUAUUUUCUUUAUCAAGUCACAAUGGAUGAGUAGUGUUAUAUAUAACCUUCCAAAUUGGCUUGGUUAAGUAUACAUUAUCUUGUCUCCUUCAACUAUCACUAUUAAAAUUUUCUAUAGGCAUUGAAAAGUAAGUUUUUGGUACCUUAGCAUGACAUUAAUUUUCUCUAUAUUUCCUUCUCUUACCUUCAAAAUUUUGUUUCAAAUAUGAAUAGAAAUUAAUAUAAAAUAAUAAUUAUACUUCAAUUUUAGGGAAAAAUUAAAUUUUUUUAGUUUUUUGUAUUGACACAAAAAUUAAAUAAUUAAUUUUUUCUUUAUCAAGUCACAAUGGGUGAAUAGUACCACAUAUAGCUUUCCAAAUUGACUGGGUUAAGUCUAUACUAUCUUGUCUCCCUCAACUAUCACUAUUAAACUUUUCCAUAGGCAUUGAGAAACAAGUUUUUGGCAUCUUAGCAUGACCCUUAUUUCCUUUAUAUAUAUUUCCUUCUCUUAUCUUCAAAAAUUUGUUUCAAAUAUGAAUAGAAAUUAAUAUAAAAUAAUAAUUAUACUUCAAAUUUAGAUAAAAAUUUAAAAAUGUCAAUUUUUGUAUUGACAUAAAAAUUAAAUAAUUAAUUUUUUCUUUAUCAAGUCACAAUGAGUGAAUAGUACUACAUAUAACCUUCCAAAUUGACUGGGUAAGUCUACAUUGUCUUAUCUCCUACAACCAUCACUAUUAAACUUUUUCAUAAGCAUUGAAAAGCAAGUUUUUUCUCUUGCAUCAGAUAGAGUUUGUUUUGGUUCAGACAGAUCAUUUGUUUACCUUGGACAGAUUAAGAGUUUUUAUUUGGGGGAGGACACCUGGAGGGAAACCCCCCACAAGCAUGACCUUAAUUUCCUCUAUAUUUCCUUUUCUAACCUUAAAACUUGUUUCAAAUAUGAAUAAUAGAAAUUAAUAUAAAAUAAUAACUAUUCUUCAAUUUUAGAUAAAAAUUAAAUUUUUUAGUUUUUUGUAUGACAUAAAAAUAAAAUAAUUAAUGUUUUUCUUUAUACAUAACCUUUCAAAUUGACUUGGUAAAGCCUGCAUUGUCUUUGUCAUCUUUUUCAACUAUAUUUGUUAAUAAUUAGAAAUUGUUUUCCUAUUGAAUGAAGCUUUUCAAUAGGUACCUAAAAGAAAGACUUUGGUUUCUUGCCUUACCCUAAUUUCCUCUGUGUUUCCUUCUCUUACCUUCAAAUAAAUACAACUAUUAAUAUUUUUUUUAUACAUUAAGCUUCUUGUUGAGUACACUUGAUGGGAAAGAUCAAGUCAAUGUUACUCAUGAAUUUCUAAUGAGUUUUCAAUGUCCAUAUUGGUUUUGACUUGUGAAAUAUUAAAUUUUAUUUUGGACAUUCAGAAUAAUUUAGGCCACUAUUUAAUAUAUUUUUUAAAAGCACUAAUCAAUUCAUAACAAUAAAGGGAAACCAAUGUAGUUUUGUUUAUUCACCUUUAAUUAUUUCUCUUCUAUUCAAAGUUGUUAGUUUGUAUUUAAUUUAUCAUAUGUCGGUUGCUUUAUAAAUUAAAAUACCACUUUGUCCAAUGUUGAAGGCUUGGUUGAUUUCUAUAAAUUAGAGUUUUUUUAUUUAUUUAUUUUUAAGUUAUAAAACACUACUCCCAACCUUCCAACUUGUAAUUCCGGUGGAAAUUUUGAAAAACUUGAAAGUUUAGAUUUUUUUUUUUAUUAUUAUUGUUUAAUCAAUCUCUAUAUUGCAUGGAAUAAGAAUAUUCCGUCAAUGCAUGAUGAAAGAGAGACUUUAAAUAACACUAGAUGCAGCACAUGGUCAAUAAAUUGAUAUUCCAUAUUAUAAUUUGCAUUUUCUAAUGACUCCUUUUUAAUUGUGUAAAUAUUAUCCAUUUUAAAUCUAAUAUAUAGGUUCUCACGGUUUUAAAAUGCUUAACACACAAUUAAAAGGAGAAUUUGGAUUAUGUAAUAAUUCGCUCUCAACAUUUUAUGUAGAUAUUAUCCACUUUGAACCUUUACGAUUUUAAAAUGCAUCUGCACAAUUAAAAGAAACUCAUACACAUAUAGCUCUAUGAAUUUUUUCCCUUAUCCCCUAUAAACACGACAUCCUCAUACAUAUAUAACUUUCAACUGUAUAGAUAUUAUUCAUUCUAAAUCCAAUGGAUUCACAGUACUUUAAAAUGAAUCUACAAAGUUAAAAUUAGUUUGUAUAUGUAGUUUUAGGAUUAUUAUUUUUCCCCUCUAACCAAUAUGAGAUGUCACAUAUUCAAGUAUUGGAUUUGUGAUUCUUUUCUUGCUUACUUGAGUAAGAUUGGAGUAUCAAGAUAAUGGUUGUAAGCCACCAAUAGUCCACAGAGACAUGAAAUCUUCCAACAUUCUAUUAAAUGAAAUGCAGCAAGCCAACAUUCCUAAGAAUAUUUUCCAUAAUUGCUUCCUUAUUCAUGAAAUAUUAAUUACUUCCUAUAUAUGAAGAUACCAAUCAUGUAGUGGUAGACUUGAAGGAAUGUUUGGAGACAGAGGUGGCUUCCAGGAGAAUUCGAAGUGCAGGUAGCCACAGCAUCGGAUCAGGCAAUUUCCUAGAAGCCACAUCGGAAGUGCAGGAAUGUUUGGUGUAAAAAGCUUAGCCGGUCUAUUAAGAGAGAAGAAACAAGACAGUUUUUGUUCAUUAAUUCAUAUAAUAUUUCCAAUUGACUUGGUCAAGUCUGCAUUGCCUUAUCAACUACAACCAUCACUAUUAAUAAUCUACCCUAUAUAUCUUGUCUCCAAAUAAAUACAACUGUUAAUCAUUUUCUACACAUUAGGGACUGAGAAACUCCCUAUUGAGAACAGUUUUAUACAUUCUGAAUAAUUUAGAUCACUGGUUAAUCUUUUUUAAAACAACCCUAAUCAAUUUAUGGCAACAAAAGAAAACUGGCAAAAUUUUGUUUAUAGGGGUGGCAAAUAUUGAUAUGAUUUGUCAAUGCAACUCGUAGAUUUGAAUUGAGUAUAAUCAUAUUUAGGUCAAAUUCCUAUUGACUUACAUAGCCUAUUUAAUAAAUAGAUUAUUCUUUAUUCAACCUACAUAAUAUGAAUUUAACUUGAAAUAUUUAACUCGUAUUUGACUCAUUUUAACUUAAUAUAUCAAUUAAAUCAUAAAUAUAUCAAGUAGAAAUAUUAAUCAUAUAAACAUGUACAAAAUCUAACUCAUAUAAACUUAUACUAGAUUUAACUCAACUUGACUAUUAAAUAGGUUAAAUAAGUUAUCGUGUUAAGAUAAGAAUGAAGAUCAAUUAUAAUCCCAUGUAGAAAAUAUCACUAUGAUUUGAUAAAUUGGAUAUACAAUGGAUCCAUCUUCCUCAUAUUGAAUUUGUCUUCAUUUGGCAUGAAUGAUCCCCAAAGUUCUAAAAUGCAAUUACAAUUCGCUAUAUUGAUUCACAUUCUUUAACUUGACUUUGCUCCAUUCAAACUUCUAAAAAAAUAAAAGCUAAUCUUAAAUAGGAAAACAACCAAGAAGAGGGGUGAAUUGGGUUUUAAAAAAUCUGUUUCAAACACAAUAAAUUCAAGCAAAAUAAGCAUAAAUCUAAAAAGAUCAGGUUAAAUAAGUUAUCGUGUUACAUUUUUAAUAAGUAGAUAAUAUUUGAGUUUAUAUUUUUAACAUGACUUUUAUUUGUAUUGUAUUUGGAUUGACUUAAUUGAAUGUCUAUGACAUGAGACGAUGAUCAACACCACUUAUAGCCCUUAUUUAUUUAUGAAUUAUAUGAUUAAAAGGAAUAAAAUAAUCCCUACUUUGUAAAUUUAACUCAUCAAGAUUUUUCAGCAUAAAAAUUAUCUAUUUUUUCUCAUAAAAAUAACCUUUCUUUUUUUAAACUUAUAUAUAAACAAUCGAAAAUAUUGAAAGAUAUUAAGCAUAAAAAUGGAUUAUUUUUCAAGUUCAAACACGGAAUGGGAGCAUUCGUUUCAUCCAUUUUACUAUUCAACAACCCUAACCCAAAGCAUACGUUGCGAGUCCCGAUGGGCCAUCCCCGAAUUCCUAGUGUACGAGGAUUUGAAUUUAAAGCUUGUCUCAGCUCUAUAUUAUGCAUACACCCUCUUCUUCGUUAAGACUUCACUUUCGUACAUCCAGCUCCGAAACAACAUGGAUGGUAGACCAACAUUGAUCUGGCUGCUCAUUAUUUCCUUGCACAGCCCGGGAUGGGUUUCAGGUACCUUCCAUGGAAUCCAGUCUGGUCGGCGAGAGCUCACGGCAGGGAAAGGUAGGCAUUCAGUACUUUUAUACAACUUAGCGCCAUCUUGGCAAAUGAGGUAGCUUUAACUCCUAAGUUCUAUUAUUGCGUGGACCUCAUUUAUGCUUUUUGAAGCACAUUAAAAUUAGGGGUGGCAAAAUCUAUGACUAGUCGGUUUAUUUCAAAUUUUGUAGACUAUAUAUUUUGAAUGAUCAGUUUGAAACUUAAUUUGUAGGUUUCAUAAGCAUCGAUUGUGGAAUAGCUCCAGGCUCCAAUUACAUAGAUGAUAAGCUCCAGAUACCUUACAUUUCGGAUGAAGAAUUUAUAGAUACUGGAGUCAAUUAUAAAGUCUCCAAGGAUUACAGUGACGAGGAUGCAUUGAAACAGUUCAUGAAUGUUAGAAGCUUCCCGGAAGGUAACAAGAAUUGUUACACCCUACGACCAGAAGGAGGCAAAGGUAAUAAGUAUUUGAUCAGAGCUCGGUUCAUGUAUGGGAAUUAUGAUUCCAAUAAUCAUCUUCCGAAGUUCAAACUAUAUCUGGGUACUGAUGAAUGGGUCACAGUGAAUAUAGAAGAUGCAUCUGCUUAUAUCAGAGAAGAAAUCAUACAUGUCCCAACAACAGAUGACAUAUACGUUUGUCUAGUAAACAUUGGUGGUGGGACACCUUUCAUAUCCACAUUAGAGCUCAGACCGCUCAAUAAUUCCAUUUACGAUCAAUCCGAACAGGGGUCGCUACUACUCUUCAACAGGUGGGAUUUUUGCAAACCAGAGAAUGCGCUACACAGGUGAGGUUCAUUGUUUAGGUCCUUAACAAGAAUUCUUUUGUUCUAGAUCACUUCUGGUUGGAGAGAUUCACUAGUUUCUCAUCUUUCAGCUAACUAAGUUUGUGCAAUCUUAGGCCGGAUGAUGUUUUCGACCACAUUUGGAACCUAUCGGCCUGGUCGAAUGAAUGGGAUACCCUCGAAGCAGCAUAUGAAAUUUCUUCCCUUAGUCACAGUGAGUAUAAACUUCCGAUGUCGGUCAUGAUGGAUGCUGUCAUACCCGUAGAUAUAAGUGAGCCCUGGAACUUCUCUCUGGAUCUUGAUGAUGAUCCUUCACAAAAUUUAUACAUAUACAUGCACUUUGCCGAGGUUCAGAAACUUCGAGAAGGGGAUAUUAGAGAAUUUACUGUCUCACUAAAUGAGGACGAUUCAUGGGGUGGUGGCGAGCCAGUGAUUCCCAACUACAUGGUUUCGAACACCUUACACCACCCAUCUGCGGUGAGUGGAAGUACCACAAACGAAUUGUCAUUUGCACUAAAAAAGACUAAUAGAUCCACGCUUCCACCCCUUAUCAAUGCAAUGGAAGUUUACAAAAUAAAAGAUUUUGCACAGUCAUCAACUAAACAAGGGGAUGGUAUCUUCUUAUCUUAUCCAUAUAUAUCUCCUUAUAAUUUAGUUAUUCACGAGCAGGGCUUAAAGAUGAUUCAGCUUUUCCCUUGUUUGUUUCCUUGGAAAUUAAAUACUAGUUCUCGCUGUCAAGAACAUCCGGUCAGCGUACCGACUGACAAGACACUGGCAAGGAGAUCCAUGUCUCCCCUUGGAUUUCCCAUGGGAUGGCCUGCAGUGCAGCUACAGCAGUGACUCCCCCACUAUAAUCUCACUGUGAGUUUUAUAUAUAUAUAUAUUUGCAGGGACUUGGUGAAAGCUAAUCUUUCCUUGAUAAAUCACACGAAUUAACGAUUUACUAAUUACCCUAGCUGGCAAGCAGGAACCUUUCAUCGAGCAACUUGACUGGGAAUAUCCAUCCUUCAUUUUCCCAGCUCAAAUCAUUAGCAAAUCUGUAAGUAUUAGUGGCUAUCAUGAGUGCUACACAGUGCCAGCAGGCACAUAUAUCUUCUCUGUAAUCUGAUCGAGCUCUUUACCCCAAAAAUUAUACUUAUUUCAGGGAUUUAUCAUACAACAACUUGACUGGAACGGUACCAGAAUUUUUUGCAGACUUGCCAUUGUUAAUGGUCCUGUAAGUUGUUAUAUAUUGAAGUUAAAAGUAAUACGAUGUUUGAUUGCUUGGUAGGAUAUGCAGGUAAUCUAGUAUUUGAUAUUCUGUGUUUGCAGUAAUUUGACGGGGAACCAGCUAACAGGUUCAGUUCCCCAAACUAUUAUGGAAAUGUUCAAGGAUAAGGAUAGAACACUGAGGUAUCUUCCAUUAUAAUUUUCCACUACUCUUUUCUUAGUGUUUGGUUUGAUGGAACUCUUGACUUCAAUUACAUUCUGUUUUGUGCAAGUCUUGGCGCAAAUCCAAAUCUUUGCCCGUCAGUCUCUUGCCAAGGAAAGGAGAAGAAGAAGAAGAACAGGUUCCUUGUUCCUGUUCUCAUAGCCAUUCUGACUGUAACUGUGAUCCUCGUCCUCAUAACUGCCCUUGCAAUGAUCAUCCGAAAGUUCAAAAGGAGAGAAACCAAAGGUAUUUUCUUUCUUUCAUUCUCAUUUUUUUUUUUUCCCUUUUAAAUGAGGAUUUAACAUUUUAUUGUGAUUUCCUUAGCGACAACCAUAGAGACGGUCAGUGAACGCCCCAAAGAGGGGUCAUUGAAGUCAGGGAACUCUGAGUUCACUUUCUCUGACGUUGCAAGUAUCACCAAUAACUUUAGUCGUACCAUCGGUAGAGGAGAAUUCGGACAAGUUUAUCUAGGCACUUUGGCAGAUGGCACCCAGGUUGCGGUCAAGAUGCGUUCUGAAUCAUCAAUGCAAGGCCCCAAGGCAUUACGAGCCGAGGUUAGACAAAUCAAUCCAUCCAUGGUUCUAGAGUACGAAAAUUUCUCCAUCUGAUGUCUGACACUGAAAGAUUUUGAGAUAUUGCAGGUGAAACUCUUGACGAGAGUUCAUCAUAAAAACUUGGUUCGUCUGAUUGGGUAUUGCAAUGACGGUACAAACAUCGCUCUCGUUUAUGAAUACAUGUCCAACGGAAACCUGCAACAGAAGUUAUCAGGUAUAUAUAUGUAGUGACCACUCUUGAUUACAGGUAUAUAACUGUCAAUGGAAGCUACUUGUGGACUUUAAUAUUUAUGCAUUUGCUGCAGGGAGAGCAGCGGCAGAUGUUUUGAAUUGGAAACAGAGACUUCAAAUUGCAGUAGAUGCAGCACAUGGUAAGUAAUUAAGCCGAGAUCUUCCAUAUUAUAGUUAAUUUGCAUUCAAAUGUUUCUUUAAUUUGUGAUUCUUUUCUUGCUUAAUUGUGUAGGAUUGGAGUAUCUACACAAUGGCUGUAAGCCACCAAUAGUCCACAGAGACAUGAAAUCUUCCAACACUCUAUUAACUGAAACACUGGAAGCCAAGAUAGCUGAUUUUGGGAUGUCCAGAGAUCUUGAAAGUGGUGCUCUCUUAUCAACUGACCCAGUAGGCACACCUGGAUAUCUUGAUCCUGAGUAAGUGUUAACAACAUUCCUUACAAUAUUUACAUAAUUGCUUCCUUAUUCAUGAAACACAACUUCCUAUGCAGAUACCAGUUGACGGGAAAUUUGAAUAAGAAGAGCGAUGUUUACAGCUUUGGGAUUGUUUUGUUGGAGCUUAUCACCGGUCAGCCUGCAAUAAAGAACCCUGGGAGCAUUCAUAUAGUUGGAUGGGUUAGUCCUAUGAUUGAAAGAGGGGAUAUUCAAAGCAUUGUUGAUCCAAGGUUACAAGGAGAUUUCCACACCAAUUCUGCCUGGAAAGCCCUAGAGAUAGCCUUAGCAUGUGUAGCAUUAACAGGAAUGCAAAGGCCAGAUAUGAGUCAUGUAUUGGCAGACUUGAAGGAAUGUUUGGAGAUAGA